UAUUAUUUUUUUUUUUCAGAAAUUCGAAAAUUCAAAAAUUCAAAAAAAAAAAAAAAAAUAAAAUAAAAAAAAAAAAUUGCCUAGGCCUUAUCUUCUUUAGGCCUAACAACUUUCAUAACAAAUAUAUAUGAAUGAAGAGUUUUGGGCUAUCGCUUAGAAAGGAAAAUGGUGAAGUUUUGUUACUUUGGAAACUUGGCUACUAGCAAGACACCUCAUUCGUCCACUCCCUCGACCAGAGACUUGGGGGACUUCUACCAUAUGCUACUGCACCUUGAUACUCGGAAGUCUCACGACCACUCAGUGAAUUGGAUUUUUUCAAGUCUCCAACCGAGAAGUUUUCCUCACUCAGGAAAUUUAGGGAGCACUACCUCAACAUACAAGCUUCAACAAAAGGAAAAAUUCAAAGAACUUAGUGAAGAAGGUCUUGGUGUAUUUAACACAAUACGUUGAAAUGAAGCAAAGCUUGUUUAUUGAUAUCUCUGAUAAGUUACAAAUAUGUACAUAUACAUGAAUCAAAAUAAACAAACAAGAGGAGUCUUCACAAAGGUUGCUCAGGAAAAGUCUCAGCAGUUAGCAGAGCCCCAGAAAGAGGAGGCAUCAGAGGGUGAUUAUUCGAAGCUUCAGUACGAAGCAGAACCCCGGAAGGAGGAGGCACCGAAGGUUGAUCAUUUGGUGCAUUAUUACACGGUAUAGCCCCAGAAGACGAAGACAAUAAAUGCCUUUGGAACAAACCCACAAACCUCUGGUGAUUAAGAAAAAUCUGACCAUCAGAUUCCUGCAGCUGGUCGAGCUUCCUCUUCAUGUUUGUAGCAUAGUCAUGUGCGAGCCUGUGCAACUAUUUAUUCUCAUGCUUGAGCCAUCUGAUCUCUUGUUUGAGACUUAUCACUUCAGCCGCCAAUGAUUCAACUUGGCGGGUUCGAGCAAAUAGGCGUUAGGCCAUAUUAGACACAGAACCUGCACACUGAACACUAAGAGCCAAAGAAUCCUUAACAGCCAACUCAUCAGACCGUUUGGAAAGUAGUCUGUUAUUUUUGGGAGUGAAAAGGUUCCUGGCCACCACUGCAGCGGUCAUAUCGUUCUUCAUCACAAAGUCCCCAACGGUAAGAGGACCAAUAGGGGAUAAGAAGGAUGGGCGCUAUAUGUUGUCUUGAGAAGGCACGACUGCCUCUUCACCAAAGUUCAAGUCAAAAUGACGGUCGAAUGGGCCAUACAUUUUCAGAAAUGAUGAAGGAGAAAUGAGGUGCAAUAAAUCUUUGAAGUAAGGGGAAAAUUCCUACAAGCAAUAACUCUCUGAAUGUACUUCUUGCACACAAUUGGUGCCCUUAUAAAAGAAAGGGCAACAGGGCCGUUGGUUCAAAAAUCGAAGAGGCAUCAUUCUUCGGAUUCCGAAGAGGCACCACUUUUUACACGCAACAGCAGCUCAUCGGGUACCACAGAUAACUUUGCCAAAGAUCUCUGACAAAGUUUAAACACAUAAAUUUUGAAGGUUCAGCUACCCUACCAUUACCCACAAGGGUAAAGGAAUAGAACCACUGCUUCUGGAAAGUCCCUGUGUGUGUCAACCUCCGUGCUCCGUGGCAAGGCAGACUGGUAAAAAUGCCCAACCUUUACUCACAUCGAGAAAACACUCCCAACAGGAUUACUUGCUCAAAAAUCGAAGAGGCACUGCUCCUCGAAUCUCGAGAGCCAAACUCCCACCAGGAUUGCUUUCUCAAAAAUCGAAGAGGCACCGCUAUCCGAAUCUCGAGAGCCAGACUCCCAACAGGAUUACUUGCUCAAAAAUCGAAAAGGCACCGCCCUCCGAAUCUUGAAAGCCAUACUCCCAACAAGAUUACUUGCUCAAAAAUUGAAGAGGCACCGCUCUCUGAAUCUCAAGAGUCAGACUCCCAACAUGAUUGCUUUCUCAAAAAUCGAAGAGGCAUCGUUCUCUGAAUCUCGAGAGCCAGAUCCCCGACAGGAUUGCUUGUUUGAAAACAGAAGAGGCAUUGCUCUCCGAACUUCGAGAGCCAGAUUUCCUCAAAUAAAGCUUGUCUGCAAUCUUCACACGCAACAUCAGCUUUCCAGACACCACAUACCACUUUUUCAAAGUGCUCUGACAAAGUUAAAACACGUGAAGCUUGCAGCUCCCACUACCUUGCUAUGACCAAGAAGGGUAAAGGAAUAGCACUACUACUUGUUGUUAAGGAGACUCCUAUAUAUGUCGACCUCCAUCCUCCACAGCUAGGUAGGUCUGCAAAUAAAAAAAUGCCCAACUUUUCUUCACAUCCGAGAGGGCACUCUCAGCAGAGUCUCUCGAAAUACUCAACUUUUUUUCCCCCCGAUAAUAACUCUGUAAACAAGCCACACCAGAGCAAGAGCAUCUCAUAUCAUCAGGAUUAAAAGCAAGAGUAUCCCAUAUCAUGUUUUUUCCCUGCCUUUUUCUUUGGCCUUGUUCUUACCUGCAAGACAAGGAGAAAGAGAGCAAUCAGUCAGCACUUGAAAUCAAGCUUCCAGUUAAGAACUGACUACCUGGAACCGCUUGCCUAAUUACUUACCUGACAUUGCUCUCAAGUGCUCAUUUUCAACAUCUUAUGCUUCCAGAGAAGAUACCACAUCUGCCUGAGGAAUAGAUAGGGCAAGUGAGAAAGAUACAAGGAAGCAUGUGGAGACAAGCGCAACAGAACACGUGUUGAUUCAUCUAUUACUUCGUCAACAGCAAAAGUAUCCCAUAUCAUCAAGGUCGAACGCACUCUUGAUUUGAUGGACUUGUUUUGACCCUCAAAUUCUUAAGUCGGCCUUAUACUCUGGAGGAAACCAGAAAACCCUCCAGCCCAGUUCAAGAAUAAGCUUGUGGAAAUUUACUUAUUCAAAAGCAAAAGUAUCUCAUAUCAUCUCUUCUCCAUUUGCUUAUCCUUAUCCUUGUUGCUGUUCACGACACAAGGAGAAGGAGAAUAAUCAACCGGAAGCCGAAGUUGAACCUCUGAUCCAGGUUGCUUUCUUGGAAGUCUGAUUGCUUACCUUGUCUGUUACCUUUUUUGGCAAAUCUCCUAGCUCGGCGACUUGGGGGACUCCUACUAUAGGGUUUUGUAUCGCACUUAACCAAGCCCAAAACUACAAGUAAGCUUCAAGUGAAAUUGAUACAUUACCUUGUGCAUCUUCAUCGGUUAAAGAUACAUUACCUUGUGCAUCUUCAUCGGUUACAGAUACCAUCCCUGGAUGGAGGAAAAGUACUUCAAGAGAAGAUGCCACAUCUAUAUAUGAGACAGAUAAGGCAAGUGAAAAUGAUACCACACAUCGGUACUCAGAAGUUUCGUGAUUACUCAAUGGCUUGGAUCUUGCAAGUCCCCAAUCGAGGAGCUUCCCUCACUUGGGAACUUAGGGGAACACUGUUUGUACCAUACUUGACCAAUCCUGAAACUACUGAGCACCGGUCAACGUUAUACCGUCAAGGACCCAGAAGAGUUUCCCUCCAACCAGGAGGCCAAUCACAGUGUGACACAUGUCGACAUCAGAAGCCAAUCAUAGCGUGACAUGUGUCAAUAUCAGAAGCCAAUGACAACACAACACGUGUCAAUGUCAGAAUGAAACUAGAAACUCUCUUCUAUAAAUAGAGAUCAUUCUCUCAAAGAGAUCUCAUAGCCAAUCAUAGCGUGACACGUGUCAAUAUCAGUACCGCUAAGGUUUGGCCCUCUCAAAGAGAUCUCAGAGCUAGCUGGCAAAGGUGUUGGACGCAUGACGGGUUCUUGCAUACCUUCACCUACACAUGGCAAACUCGGAAGUUCGGCAGAUUUGGAACAACCUCUGCACCAGGCGGAUCCUCGAUCUCCCUGUCUGUAGGUAGGUCACCUCUAAAUAGCAUCUCCAUAUAGGAAUAAACAUCUGCCGUUGCCAAAUCACAAGGAUAAGAAGGCCCAACCUAAAGAAGACACAGAAAGAUGUUAGAAACGAAAGCCAAAAUGGUGAAAGCAGAAGAAAUCACGAGAGAAAAGGAAAUACAUACACCUCUCUCAAAUGGCACACGGUCAUCGAAUUGAAAAGGCUUAAACACUUCUUUCUUCUUAUGACAAAAAUUGACAUCGCUGCCAACCUGAGCACCCUCAAGUGGUGGCUUGUUUAAAACUUGUUGACGCUGCUGCAAAAUAAAUCCAUCUUUGUGCGAAUCAACUUCAUCUCCCGCCUUUACAAAAGCAUCCGGAUAUCGAGGAGACAAGCAUGGGUGUUGAGGAGCUAAAGCUACAGGUCUAUCUUGCAAGGGAGCCGCACUAGCGCAAUCAAGAGGUGCCAGUUGCAUAGGAACCACAGGACAACCCUCUUUCAACAUAUCAUUGUCUGAAUGAGAAGGAUUGGUACCACUUGCCAUCCCCAAGUUCUUAUAAUGUACCUUUGACCACCAACGUACGUAAACAUGGGUCACUGGAUUACUCUUGAACUCGUCCUUGGCUGGCAGGGUGAUAACAACUUUUGUACAUGCACGGGUACAAGACUCCCAAUGCAUAUACACGGCUUGCAAGGAUGCCGAUUGAUUCUUUUCCUUCAGCUUGCUUGGCACGUUUUGGACAAAACCAAAUUGCCUGCUGAAACGGUGGGGACUAUAUGGCUGAACAAUGCAUUGGUCUUCUUGUCGCAAAGAAACAAACCCCGAGCGAAGACUUAUAAGAUAAGACAAGUCUAAGAAGUGGAGAUGCGAUUCGUCUACCAUGCCUCGCCGCACCAAGCCAACUCUCGCUAAGGGGUCCAUCCUCAAAUCUUCACAACUUUUAAAUAGCGCUCGCGCCUGCAAAUCAUCAAGGAUCUUCGCGGAGAGCAUGCCAGAAUACUUCGUCAUCAAAGGCCCCAACUUGGCUGCAGUCGACGAAGAAGGCAUUAACUUGUCUAGAGUCAAUAAAGAAAAAUGAGUGCCAAAGUAUUCACCCAACCAACCAUACACAUAGUGGUAAGGGAGCACAGCAACACGAUCUUCAGUGCUUGCCGAGUUCGAAACAAUGCUCAAGCCAUUAUAAAUGUUGGCUAAGACCGGAAUAGCAAGGCUAAAAGACUCCCCUGCAGCCAUCUUGCUAGCAACUUUGAAAACUCCAGAACGAACUAAGUUGACGUCGCCUGUUGGGAAAACAAACUUACAAAGCUACCAAGCUAAGAAAGCAGCUAGGUAAGACUCAUCCACAUGCUCUGAUGCUAUGCCAAGAUCCUCAAACGCUCUCAACUCGUCAGAAGAACGGCGCUUGGUUAAGCCAAUAACACCGGACGGGUCUGAGUCUCCAUUUGGCCUAGUGGUCUUAUUACUACCAUUUUUCUUCAAAGGCUUCUUAUACCUCAUGGCCUCCCAGUACCAAAAUCGAAUCCAUGAGGAAAUCCUCACGCCUGAUUUACCUUGAGCAUCCUAGAAAAGCUUGUGAUACGCCAAAAACAAACAGCGGCAACUCGCAGGCAAUCAUUGGCUAUUGCAAAGAGAAAGUUCCUCAGAGCUGGGAACGACCUCGUCGUAAAACUUACCUUGGAUGGGCAAGCCUCCUAUCCUGUGAAGAUCCCAAAGUGAAAUUGACAUCUCCCCUUGCGCCGUGUGAAGUGUAUUGGUCGUCGAACACCAAUGCUCAAAGAACGCACGAAGGACAGAAGAAUGGCGAUCAUAACUAAACAAAGAUGCUUACACAGCGUGGUAAAGGCCCACGUUAGUAAGCAGAUCUUUAGAUCAGCUUAAGACAUCUUUAAGCCACUCCCAACAAAACUCAUCAAAGACGGCCUCUCCAGUAGUCGACAGGGUAGCAUUCCAAGCCAUAGCUCCGCUGCGGAUGUGAUCACUAAGAAGAUUAAACGAGGCCGAAUGAUUGUCAUGAGCAUGGUGCGAAGGAUUCAAGAUAAAAACCCUCAAUAUGCACGCGUUCUUCUUCGUAUUUGGUCGAACAAAGUCUACCACCUCCCAAGAUACUUCGGAAGACCACGACUUAAUAUGCAUGGAGUUGUCUUUCGCGAGAAGAGCAAGCGCCUUAGGACCAGUCAGUGGUGUGUAAAGCUUCAAUGUUGUCCCCUCAUCUUGCAAAUCGCCAUCCUUCACAAGAAUGGUGAUGGUGUUGCUCUUAAAACACUUGAAAAAUACCAUGACUGCAAAAAAAAAAAAAAAAUCAGCCACAAAACUUGAGCAGAACGGCAAAUAGGGCAGCUACAGAGUGGUCCUUUAAAAGCAUGCUACACUGGCAAAGAAAACCAAAAUGCUAUGCAAUUGCACUACGCAACCCCGCUACAGGCUCUUGCACAGCACCACACGGCAGCGUACCACCGAGGAAAAACUGUGAUCAAAAGGCACUACACAGCAAAACCCCGUUGCAGUCUCUGGAGUAAGCAUUAGGCAACCUGCUCACUCCGCCACCAACAACCACGUCUCUGAAAGCUUCGUGAGAGUCACGGCAUCAUGCUCUGCCUUCUUAAAAUUAAAGAUUCCUGGCAUUACUGCAAAGAAAUCCAUCAGUGGGGGCACAUACAUUGUGCAUAAAAAAUAGACAUAUCAUAUUUUAUAUAUAUAAGACAUGCACACCCACGGCAAGUGGCAAGGUCAAUGUGCAUGGCAACGUCACCACCAAGGAAAGUUGUGACCAAAAGGCACCACACAACAAAAUCCAGCUACAGUCUUUUGCACAACACCACGUGGUCUGUGACAAGCUCCAAGCUCCAAGCUCCAAAGUUCACCAGUCCGACAAGUAGCAAAGCAGAGAAGAACGUUUACAACAGAAGGAGGUUAUGUCUAUGGUUAUUUUAUAGGCUCAACUCGUCCAUCCAAGUGAAGAAAAGAAAAGAAAAUAUAUAUAUAUAUAUAUAUAUAUAUAUAUAUAUAUAUAUAUAUAUAAUAUAAUAAAAAAAAUUUGGGUGCUUCAUGCACCAUGUCAAAGAAAAUAUAAAAUAUAUGUAUAUAUUAUUACAAAAUUUAGGUGCUUCCAACACCAUGCAAAGAAAAUAAUAAAAAAAUACAAAAAAAUGGAAAAGCAAAAGAAGGUGGCCGACCAUCAUUUAUAAAAAAAUUGUAAGGGAUUUGGGUGCUUCACGCACCAAGUUUUGGAAUUCUGGUGGUGCAUGUGCACCAUGCAAAAAAAUAAAAUAUAAUAAAAUAAUAAAAUAAUAAAAUAAUAAAAAAAAAAGAAAAAAAAAAGGAGAAUGAUAGCCAUCAUUUGUUAAGGGAUGGUGGUGUCCAGAAAGCAAAAGGGACAGACAUGCAAAUUGGGAAAAAGAAGGAAAAUAUUGAUGGUGCCAGUCUCAUCGACAGCGAAAAAUUCAUACACACACACACACAAAAUGAAAUAAGGCUCAUUUAUUGAUUUCUCUGAAAAUUUACAUAAAUGUACAUUUUACAUAUGAAAAAAAAAAUACAGGAGGGAGCCUUUACGAAGGUUGCUCGUGUGAAGCCUCAUCACUCGGCGGAACUCCAGGAAGAAUAGCUGCCGGAGGUUGACUGUUUGGAGCCUCAACACUCGAUAAAACUCUAGAAGACGAAGGCAAUAGGUGCCUUUGGAGUAAGCCACAAACAUCUGAUGGUCACUCUGAAUCCGACCUUCGGAUUCCUGCAGCUGGUCGAGCUUUCUUUUCAUGCUCGUUGAAUAACUAUUUACGAGCAUGUGCAACUCUCUGUUUUCGUGCUUAAGCCCUCUAAUCUCUUGCUUAAGGCUCGCCACCUCAGCCAUCAAGGAUUUGACCUGGCGAGUACGAGCAAGAAGGUGUUGGCCCAUAUUUGAUACAAAGCCUGCACACUGAACAUUAAAGGCCAGAAAGUCAUGAACAGCCAGCUCAUUAGACCACUUGGAAAGGAUCCUACUAUCCUUGGGGGUGAGAAGAUUUCUAGCAACCACCAUAGCAGUGAUAUCGUUCUUCAUCACAAAGUCCCCAACCGUAAGAGGACCAGUAGGGGAUACGAAGGAUGGGUGCCAUAUGUUCUCUUGAGAAUGCAUGUCAGCAUCUUCCCCAAUAAUCAAGUCAAGACGACGGUCAGAUGGGCAAGCCAUUUUUAGAAAUGUUGAAAGAAAAGAAGAGGUCGGAUAGAUCAAGAUCUUAGAAGUGUAAGAGGGGAACUUCUACAAGCAGCAACUCUCAAGUGUGCUUUUGGAACACAAUUGUUGCCUCUAUAAAAAUCAGAAAUCGAAGAGGCUCAUGCUUAAAAAUCGAAGAGGCGUCAUCUCAGAAAUCGAAGAGGCGCAUGCUUUCUCAAAAGUUGGGCCUGCUCAGAAACCACGGGCCGACCUUCAAAUUUCAAAAGAUCGACUUUUUAGACUUGUCAGCACCUUUCACAUGCAACCUCAGCUUUGCGGAAAUUACGGGCGAUUUUGUCAAAGAUUUCUGACAAAGUCGAAAACGUGUGAAUCUUACAGUUUCAAUUACCCAACGGUUGCUGACAAGAGUAAAGGAAUAGUGCCACUGCUGGCUGUUGGAAAAUUCCUUUAUAUGUCGACCUUCGUCCUCCAUAGUAGGGCAGACUUGUAAAAAAAUGCCCAACCCUUCCUCACUUCCGAGAGUGCACUUCCAGUAGAGCCUCUCGAAAUACUCAAGUUUCUUUCUCUCCGGAAAUACCUUUGCAAACAAAUGACACCAAAGCAAAAGUAUCUCAUAUCACCAGGGUAGAAAGCAAGAGUAUCUCAUAUCAUGCUUUCUCUCUGUCCUUUCCUUUGUCCUUGUUCUUACCUGCAAAGACAAAGAUAAAGAAAGCAAUAUGUCAGAACCUCUACUCAAACUCCGGGUAAGGAACCGACUACCUGGAACCUUUUCCUAGUUGCUUACCUGACAUUGCUUUCGAGUACUCGUCUUCAGCUGCUGAUGUACUUCCGAAGAAGAUGCCACCUUUGCUUGGAGAACAGAUAAGGCAAGUGAAAAUGAUACCUUGAAGCAUGUGGAGACAACGUGCUGAUUUCCUUCAAAAUCAAGUUUCCCCUUCCCUGCACAAUCAACCAACCCAACAGAAGGAGUCUGAGUUGAAUCCAAAAGCUCGAGAAGCUUCAACAACAUAUUGACGGCACCAUCACCGAAUAACAAAGCCUCGCUGUGCAACGCUGUCCAAUCGCCACCACUUCUUCGAAAGCAAGAGUACAUAUCAUACUUUCUCCCUGUCAUUUUCUUUGUGCUUGUUCUUACCUGCAGGACAAGGAGAAAGAAAGCAAUCAACCAGCACUUGGUAUCAAUCUUCCGAUCUGGAACCAACUGCCUGAAACCCUUCCCUGAUUGCUUACCUAGCACUGCUCUCGAAGUACCCAUUGUCUCAACAUCUUAUGCUUCCAAAGAAGAUACCACAUCUUCUAGAAGAACAGAUAAGGCAAGGGAAAAUGAUACAUUGAAGCAUGUGUAGACAAGCACAACAAAGCACGUGCUGAUUCAUCCGCUACUUCUUCAAAAUCAAAAGUAUCUCAUAUCAUCAGGGUUGCAAUCACUCUGGGUAGUGGACUCGUUUUGACCCUUAAAUUCUUGGGUCGACUCGCUAGGCGUUGUGGGCUGCACAUGCCGAUUCACCACCCUUGAAUCAAAUCCUUAAAGAUCAAGUCACCAACUGGAAGAAUAGCCUAUCAAUCUUGAAGAUCAUACCGUUAACCAAACUGCUCAGGUGUGAAUUAGAAAGAUUGAACAAAGCAACAAGUCGUCACCUUCACCUCGUGCCUGCUUGCCAUAUAUUCGAGUCAACCUUCAAGAAUCAAGCCUCAACGGCCUUUGAAGAAGCUUCCAGCCAAAUUCAAGAUCAAGCCUCGACGGUCCUUGAGGAAAUCACAAGUCCGAUUCAAGAUCAAGCGUCCACCACCCUUGAAUCAAAUCCAGUUCAAGAAUAAGCUAUGGAAAGUCAACAAUUGGAGGAAUCCAGAAAAUCCUCCAACCCAGUUCAAGAUCAAAGAUGUGGAAAGUCAACAAGCGCAAAAACAAAUACGUGCCAAUUCAUCCACUACCAAAGCCAAAGAUCAUCUACCACAUGAAGCUCCUUGUGGUCCAAUUUCAACCUUCAAGAUCAAGCCUCGACGGCCCUUGAAGAAAUUUCAAACAAAGUUCAAGAACAAGCCUUAACGGCCCUUGAAGAAACUUCCAGCCCAAUUCAAGAUCAAGCAUCGACGGCCCUUGGAUUGACAUCUACAUUAAGGAACUUCAAAAUGCAUCUCCUACACGUGACAAGCACAUGUAUACGACGCGCCUUGAAGUGGGGGCAUUUGUAGACAUUGAAAUUUCGGUGAAAUAAAUGUUGACCAAUAGUUACAAUUUCAAUGCUCAUGUGUCACAUAAAUUUUAGACGUACGUGUGACUAAACGAAAAAUCAAAAUAAAUCAGAAAAGUCAUCAAACAGGACACGUGUCAACACCUGGUAGAAAUGAUUUAUUUCAUCUAAUUAUUUAAAUAAAAAAAAUCAAGUUUUGGAAUUCUAUAAAUAGAAGCCAAUUUCAUUCAUUUCAAUUCACCAAUUCACAUUACACCAAAACCUUGAAGCUUUGAAACUCUAAAGCUCCCAAGCGAAUCCUGAAGGAUCAAGAAAGCUCUAUUCGUUCUUCAUCAAACCCUCCUUCAAGAUCAAGCCCCGACGGCCCUUGAAGCACUUCCACUAAUUCAAGAUCUAGCCCCGACAGCCCUUGAAGAAAGUGUUCAUCGUUCAUCAUCCAUUCAUCCUAAAGAUCAAGCCCCAACGGCCCUUUGGAUCAACAACAUCAACAAAUCCACACAUACAACUGUUCUUCAAGAUCAAGCCCAAAAGCCCUUGAAGAUCCAUCCAUCAACUGUUCAUCAAGAUCAAGCCCCGAGUGCUCUUGAAGAAACUUCCAACAGUUCAUCCAAGAUCAAGCUUCGACGGCCCUUGGAUCAACGAAGCAUCCACAAAUCAACACCUUACGGAGAUCGAAUCAGAGGAUCAAAUUUAAGAGAGAUUGUAACCCCUAAAUCAUUACUACAAAUAUUAUUUUGUACACGGGUUCUUGUCUCGUUUGUUUCAGGAAUUUUCGUGUUUACAAUUUCCUAAUGUCAUUUGUACUAAAUCAUUCACGUGUACUCACUAAAGGAGAGCUUGAACCUAUGUACUUAUGUAAACCCUUCACAAUUAAUGAGAACUCCUCUACUCCGUGGACGUAGCCAAUCUGGGUGAACCACGUACAUCUUGUGUUUGCUUUCCUGUCUCUAUCCAUUUACAUACUUAUCCACACUUGUGACCAGAGUAAUCUAGCGAAGGUUACAAACCUAACACUUUCUAUUGUACUAAAGUCCUCACUGAUUUUGUGCAUCAACAAUUAUUUUUCAUUUCUUUGUGAUUUUUGACCUCUUGCUUUUCAGUUCAGUUUGAUUAACCUAUUUUCUAGGAAAAUGGCCUUUAUGAAAUGUGGUUAGACAUAGUAAUUUGUUUUUUCUGUUGAAAAUUACAGGGCACAGUUAAUAAUUUCUCUAUCAUUAUUCUAUUUGAUAAAUUAGCUUCUCCAUCAAAUUUGAAGUCUGAAUAUGCCAAUAGAAUCAUAUAAUUAUAAUAGUUGGGACAAUUUCUACAAAUCUUUUUGUGACGUUUUUUAAUGGGUAUAUUGUUCCAUUGCUUUCUUGCAGGUAUAUAUUGCCUAUUUGAGAAUGUGAAUGAAGACGCAAGGUCUUGAUGAUACCAUAUAGGUACAAUAUAUACCACAUCAUUUAAAUGCUAAUCGAUUACUAACAUAAUGCGGUCUUUACAAGAAAAGCAGUUGAUUCUGAAGAGGGGCUUCAAUGUACAGAAGAAUUACAAGGUCUUAUUAGCUAUUCAUAAUUUUAUAUAAUAAUUUAGAUAAAAUAUCGAUGAGAAAUAAUAUAUAUACCAAAUAAAAAUCUCUAAAAUCUCUUUGUGUUUCGUCUCAGUGUAGCAGACGUCAUCAACAUGGAAGAUGGCUAGCCAGGAUUGGAAAGGUUGCUAGAAAUAAGGAUCUCUAUCUUGGGCAUUCAGUAAGUGAUUUUUCAAACUUUAUUUGUGUUUUCGUAUCUAAAAAGUUUCUUAAUAUUUUUAAUAUAAUCAGUGAAACCACGAUUUCAUGUACUAGCUAGCUACUAGGAUGCUUGGUUUUUGUAUGAUUCCAAUUAUUUGAGGUAUCUGGGUAAAGUUUUGUUCAAAGUAGGAAAAUGAAUUUAAACUCAAGCUUCUUUACAAGCUUGAGGAGAGAUUUUAGUCUUAUAAUGAUUAAUAAUUAAGAUACAAUUAGGGUAAUACAUGUACUACACAUAUUGCUAACUAUGCUAGACCAAAAGUAUCAUCAUCACUGCUUAAACAUACCAAUCAGUUUACAUUUUGUGAACGCAUAUGACGAUUGAGGGGUUUAACCUUCAAUUGCAAUCUUAUUUGUAAAGGUUUUGCUAUCCCAACUGAUACACGUGUAAUUUUGUGUUUACACCAUACUAAACCAUUUUUUUUAUAUGUUUAAUCAAACUCUUAUCUAAUGUACAUUUCACAGAGAAAUGCACAAAAAAUUGAUGACAUCCUAUAAAAUUGCCAGAAAAAAGGUCAUUUCCAACUAAUGCAAAACCAGACUUCUUUCCCAGCAGAAAAACACUAGGUAAACACAUUCUAUCCUUAUUUUGUUCAUGAUAUAAUUCUAUUGUGAUACAAUUUUAUUUCAUGUAUGCAUGUAGUUUCUUUUCCCCAUAAUUUUCAUAAUUUAUGAAGAAUGUAUAGGAACGACAAUGAUUGAGUGGAUUAUGCAAGUCUCACCAUAUAAACUGUAAAUUACACAUGAUUGUUCCUUCCCCCCUUUCAAAGCCAAGCUGCUAAUUGUGCAAUGUUUAGUUGAAUGCAUGUAAAAGCCAAGCUGCUUAUCUUAUCGACCUCAUUCACUCAUGUGUCUCUCUAUUCAUUGAUGAUUGUGUUGAAUUUAUUCAGAUUAAAUGUGUCUUAUUUAUGCAGUUAUGCUUGAAACAGUGGUUCCCGCCGCAACGCGUGGGCUUAUUUUCUAGUUACUUUCUAAAAGUGUGAAAUAUUGAAAUCUAUGAAGUGUAUUUAGGGUUUUGUGAUAUGAUUUUUGCAUCAGAGAGUUUCGCAAUGAAUUUUGGGGAAGAUAAGAAUCAACACAUCAGUUAUGUGUUUUGAGUAGGGCCAAUAAUUUGUUGGGGUGUGUGGGGGUGUGAUAUCCACACACCCUAUUUUACUUCUCACACACCCUUUUAAUUUUCGGCAGUCGGAUUUGAUGAAUUGAAGAAGAUCAACGGAUAGAAAUUAACAAGUGUGUGUGAGAAGUAAUUUAAGGUGUGUGGAUAGCACAUCCCAAUUUGUUACAGUAAUUUUGUCGUAUAGUGGUUAACUUUGGCCAUUUCUUAAUCGUUAUCCUUGAGAGCAUGGGCUCUAAUUUUCUCAAGUCUGUUUCCUUUUCUCUAGGCAAGGUUUUGUGUUGUUUGGGGUUUUUUUUGUCUCUCCUUCAAAUGUUUAAAAGUUGUGGAGUUGUGUGAAAUAUGACAUAUGUUCGUGUCUCUAUGUGUAAGGCUCCCUAAUAAUUAAUUAGUAUAUAAAAUAAUUGAAAAACAAUAAGAACAUAAAAAUAAUUUAUUUAGAAUAAGAGCAUUUUUGUAAUCAUAUUAGUUUUCAUUUAGAUUUACCUAAAUUACUAAACAACUUAUAUGGAAUGGUAUCAUUCCUAGUCCGAUUUUAAAAGUUCAAUUAUGACUCCUUCACAUUCCAACUCCUCCUCAAUUCAAUUCCUCUCAUUCUGAUUACAAAUUAGUAAACGAACCAUUGUGUGUGAGUGUGACUAAACUAUAUUUGGUGUAUAUUUAUUUUGAUGUAUAAGUAAUUGGCUAAAAUUAUUGUUGGUCUUAAUAUAUUUAAGAAUAUUAAAUAUUAUGGAUACAAUAAAGCGAACUCGUUUUGUAUUGUGAAGUGAUUAAAAACACUUGGGGAAUUGCUAAUAUUCGACUCCGUGAUAGUAAGAGUAGUUACAUCCCAUAAAACUAUCGUUUUUAGGCUCACUUCUCCGGUGAACUGGUUCAUUCAUACGUUUAUCCUAUUAAGAGCAAAAAUGUAAGGAACUCAGAGAAGAGAAGACUAAAUUGUGAACUCAACCAUCAUGAGUUCCUCUUCAGGUACAAAUUGGUAUCAAUUAGGGUUUAAUUAGUUUCGAUAAUGUUUCAUUAUGACUAUAUAUAUUAUGUUUUCAUGUGGUAUCAGAGCCGGUCAAUCAAAGCCUUAAAUUUGCUUCAAAUAUCAAAAUUGUGUUGUUUAUUUCCGCUGCGUUUUUGUUUAUCUUAUAAUUGUACAUACUUCAAUUAUAUCGUCUGUUGUGAUGUUCAUAUCAACUCUCAAUCCUUUUCGUCUUGUUAAUAUGGAUGACAUUGGAGACCAUGCUUUUUGUUUGUCCGGUGGAUUUAAUAGAGGAGUUAUUUGACUAUAACUUAGGUGAUGAUUUUGAUUCCUCUCUUGAUUCUUUAAAUGAAUUACCAAAGUAGUUUAUUUAUCUUCUUUUUUUUCUUCAAAGGAUUCACUUAUGAAAAUAAGAAUGUAGUUCAUAUACAUAAACAAAUAAACUUGUUUCCAAAGAAAUUGUGUGCUGGGUUCGUUAUAACUUAGUGUAAGGUGAGUAUGAUUGACGUGAAGUUUUGUGAAAACUUCUUGCCCAAAGGUGGUGUUUUUUGCUUAAAUUCUUGGAUUUUAUAUUUAGCUAUUUAAGACUUGUAAAUUCAUUCAUAUAUAUAUAUAUAUAUAUAUAUAUAUAUAUAUAUAUAUUGACAUUUAUCUUGCCCAAAUGUCUGACUGGUUCUAUAGCUUUAGAGUGACAAUGCAGCUAUUUUUCUCUUAACUAUCACAAAUUUAUGGAUUUGCAAAGGAUGUUGUUAUGCUCAAUCUCGUUAAUAUUGAAGUUGAAAGGAAACAUUUUCAAGACUUGGAAGUAGCAAAUCGAAAUGCAUUUAAGCAUGUUGAGUUUCUUAUUGUUUUAAACAGCUCCAAUCUCCAACCCUAACUAGUGAGAGCACUAGUCAACAACGAGAGGAAUUUUCUAAGUGGGAAAAGGUGAAUCAAAUGUUUCUUUUCAUCAUGCAAAAUGCUAUGAAGGAUCAUAUAAGCGGUGGCAUUCCAAGCUGCGACUUGUCCAAUGAGUCUUAAACAACAGAAUUGCAUCAAACGGAUACCAAAAUAGAUUCAGGGCAUUGCAAUUAUGCUAAAAGGACAAAUUCGGGUCCUUGGCCAUGUCAUGCACAACAGUUUCUGCCGAACGGAAACUUAAUUUUUCAACUAUCUUCAAAUCACACCAAAUUUUACAAGCAUGUAGAACUCAACACAAUGAUCAACUUUCAUAACUAUCCCAAUGAUCAAUGCUAGCUGGAAACGGGCCAAAACCAUUGGGAAAAUUGGAAUUGGAUUUAUAGGUUAUUAGAACCAAAUUUGCGCACCUCCGUGAUCAAUGGUUGAGCACAAAUUCGAGUAAACUUGUGCAUGCAAAAUAGUAAAUCAACCGUAAGAAAACCUUAGGCCGAGGGUGUGCCGGCCAAAGGCUCUCUGACGGUUAAGUUAGUGAAUGAUUUUUAGACUCAAGCAGUGGGCAAGAGAAUUCAAGUGUAUAGAUUGCGUUACCGUAGAUGGAUCUUAUAUGGGUGUAUUCAUACUGUGGGAGAGAGACCUUUUUAGGAUAAAAUCUUCAUUCUAAGUCGAGAGAAUCCUAGAGGAUAUCUAGUAAGUAGAUAUUGUAUCCUCUUAGGAGUUGUGAUUACUUGUGGCGCACGCCUAUCCCUAGAUUGUAAGGACUCCAAGACUUAUAGGAUCCGAUUGUGUCUAAAUUCGAAUCAAAUCACGUGUCUUAUGAAACAAGUAUGGUCAUCCAACAGAGUCGCCAAGACUCUUCCUAUUGCCUCGGAGUAGAGUGAUGGUGGCACCCUGCUUCGUUUGAUACAGCUUCGCCCGAAGCUGGCAAUUACAUGACUGGACUUAUGAGAUAACAGUAUUCGUAUCAACCUUACUCUAGCCUUGAAAAAUCAAGGUCCCACAUAGGUUUCUAAAGACCCCACUCUAAAACAGAUAUCAACAUAGGAACAAAGCAUACCAACUUAAACAUUGUGUAGAAUGGAUGAAGUUUCAUACCUCACUCAAUGAAAAUGGUUGCUGGAUUCUCAGAAAAAGGGAAAACCGCGGUAAAAACCUUAGACUUUGCUACUUCGACUAGGAAAAGUGGGUAAAAAUUUGAAAAAUCCAACCCCAUCAGGACGUUCGAAUCGUCAAAAGCCUUCUAUAGACACCAAGAUCACCUAAAUAGAGGUCGAAUUAAGGAAAAAUAGUAUGGUGAAAUUUCAUGUGUUGCAAGUCCAAAACCGGGUAAAAAAGGACCCAACUCAAGUAUGUCUUGUUCAAAGUGGCUGCAGGGGUUUUUAUUAGAGGUUUAGGAGGAAAAUUAUCAAAUUGCCCCCAAACUUAAAACGCCUCUGACUUCUUCAUUUUUCUUAUAGACUCUGACUUCUUAAUUAUAAUUCUGAUUCGUGCAUGGAUUCCCCUAUGCACUUCUGGGAUUGAGCUCUAUCCUAAAAUACGAAGAGUGACCCAGAAAGGUCUAUGAAUUUUUAAUAACUAAUUAACAAAAAUCAAACUUUAUAACUAAGUAAUCAAAACUCUAUAAUUAAAGGAAAAUAAUAAUAAUUUCUUGAAAAUACGAAAUACAAAAAAUUAAAUAGUGAAAUCCGAGGACGGGACAACACUUGUGGCCCACCUCACUUGAGCUUAGACCUAGCAAUUUCUUACACAACAUGUUUACCCGACCCGAAACGACACAAAAAUAACGAGUUUCGGAUCAACACGUUAACUAAUUGUGUCGUUAUUGGCUCACACGUUAACAACUCCUUAAUAACUUCUUAACCGGUUUACCCACAGGUAACAUGCUUCAACCUGAUAAGAAAAAGUGAAUUUGAUAAUGUUAAACUAAUAGAAAAUCUUACUACAAUAGCCAUAGUAUUUAAUCUCACUUAGUUGUUCUUAUAAAAUUCCAAAACACCUUAAAAAUAAGCAAUUUAAAAAUACCAAAGCACAUUAAAAAAUUCAUAAUAAUUAAUUUAUAAGUGUGAAAAAAAGGUGAAAAAAAAUAUGCAAACACUCGUGAUCUCAUUCUCUGUUCUUUGAGGAUGGGUAUAUUAUCGUUUGGAUUUUUAAAAUCCUACAAACCCUCAUGCUUUUAGGAGGAGUUCAAAAUGAAUAAAAAUUCGUAAUAAUUAACGUAAAAGUGUGAAAAAUGUUAAAAGAAUGUACAAACGCUCGUGACGGCAUCCUUUAAGCUUAGACGAUGGUUAUAUCAUCGUUUAGAUUUUUAAAACCCUCCAAAUAGUCAUGAAUAGUGUUUAUUGUUCGAGCACAAAAUUAGAUAUAUAUAUAUAUAUAUAUAUAUAUAUAUAUAUCUAAUCACUUGUUAACCGUCGAUUGUCGUUUAUGCUCUAUUCUUCUCACUGAAUUUCAUUUUUCAGAGUUUCGCUUUUGAAAACAUGAACUUUUAGUGGAUGCAGAAGAUGAACUAUUCAGAUUGUCGAUAUCAUGUUGGAAUGUUUACGGUCAACUGAAAAAUGAAUCGAUGUUAUAUAAUUUCUAGAGACUUCAUAAACUCCGAAGAAUAUAUUCACUAACUGUAAAAAUUAGAAUAUAAUAUCAACGAUCUGCACUGUUCAUCUAUCUGCAUCCGCUAAAGUAUCAUGUUUUCAAGAAAAAUGAAUUGGACAAAAAAAAUACGAAAUCCGAUUUGAAGAAUGGAACGUAAACAUAAGCGAAAAUCAACGGUUAAAUUCAAAUAUAUGAUUUAUGGGAUUAUGGUAGCGAAUUUCGGAGUUGACCUCUUCAAGUUGUCGAGCUUGUCAUUACGAGGGUAUAUAUAUAUAUAUUUCACUCUUUUACAUUAAUUAAAAAAAAUUGUUAAAACAUCAUACCACAACAAUAGUCGUAUGAUUUAAUCUCACUUACAUUUUUUGUAUUACGUUUUUUAUUUACUUAUUUAUUUUUUAUAUAUAUUUUCUUUAACAUGUAACGAGUAUUAUACGACAUGACACGUGAAGAUAUCGGGUAUGUCAUAAAAACGACACGUAAACAAUGGCCUCCUCCGGUAUUGAGGAAGAAUACAAUUUGCAUCUAUACAUGCAGAUGAAUAGUUAAAAAUACGGGAAUAAGUUUCAAGUUUUUUCCCUUCCUUUUUACAGUUUCGUCAAGUUGGUUUUGGUUCCAAAUAUGUUGCUCUACGUAUGCAAUGGCAUCAUAGCAGAGAAUAAAAAGAGAAAACGUCACAGCCAUCCAAAGCAAAAUCGUGCAGCACUAGGAAACCCCCACCUAGGAAUUUACCAAAAACCGUCCACAUUCAAGAUUAAAAUUCCGCCACUGACACUAUAAAACUUACCAAUUGUUGCAUUGAUUUGCAUCAACUGGCUAGCUCUUCUUGCAAAAAAAACUUCUUUCUUAAACCAGCAUUAUUAGGCAUGGGAGAAGUUGAUCUAGCUUUCAUCCAGGACCCUGAUCACAGGCCUAAACUCUCCAUCACCGAAGUCGAGGGCAUUCCCUUGAUCGACUUGUCUCCGAUAAGCUCCCCAGACUCCGCUACUGACCCUAAACUCGUUGAAGAGAUUGUUAGGGAAAUAGGUAAUGCAUGCCAGGAGUGGGGCUUUUUCCAAGUGAUAAACCAUGGGGUUGUACUGGAUAAGCUCCGAAAGAUUGAGACUGCUGCUAGGAAGUUCUUUGCUCUGCCUUUGGAGGAGAAGAGGAAGAUCCGGAGGGAUGAAAAAAGCGUGUUGGGUUACUAUGACAGCGAGCGCACGAAGAAUGUCAGAGACUGGAAGGAGGUGUUUGAUUUCACAGUGGAGGAGCCUACUUUAGUUCCGGCUUCGCCUGAACCUGAGGACAAGGAAGAGACUGAGUGGUAUAACCAAUGGCCUGAUUAUCCUCCGGAGUUCAGGUAAUUCAUCGAAUAGUAUGAAUAGAUUUAGCUAAUCAUAAAUUGUUAUAGGUAGAAAAAGUUUAGGAUUCAUAGGGUCAAUUACACCUACCAUGCUAUAGUUAAAAAAAAUAAAAAAUAAAUAAAAAACAUCUCACUCGCAACAAUUCAUUUAUAUGAUGUAAUGCACUUCCUUGACCAGGGAGGUAUGUGAGGAAUAUGCUCAAGAAGUCGAAAAGCUAGCUCUGAAGCUGAUGGGACUUAUUGCCUUGAGCCUAGGCUUGCCAGAAGACAGGCUUAGCAACUAUUUCAAAGACCAAACAAGUUCUAUCAGACUCAACCACUAUCCGGCUUGUCCUUCCCCUCAGUUAGCUCUUGGUGUUGGCCACCACAAGGAUGGCGGUGCUUUAACCGUGCUGGCACAAGAUGAUGUCGGAGGGCUGGAAGUGAGGAGGAAAACAGACGGAGCAUGGAUUCGGGUCAAGCCCACCCCAAAUGCCUAUAUCAUCAAUGUUGGUGACAGCAUUCAGGUUUCACUCUUCAAACUUGAUACAAACUUAUUAUGCUCAUAAAAAACACGCAUCAAAUCACUUCACAUAACAAAUGAAUAUGUUUUAUGCAGGUUUGGACCAAUGAAAAAUAUCAGAGUGUGGAACACAGGGUUGUGGUGAACUCGGUGAAGGAACGAUUUUCUAUUCCUUACUUCCUCAAUCCAUCACACUACACACUAAUCAAGCCUUUGGAGGAUCUGACAAAUGAGCAAAACCCUGCCAAGUAUAAGCCCUACAGCUGGGGCAAGUUUAUGACCAACAGAAAGCUCAGUAAUUUCAAGAAACUUAAUGUCGAGAACAUCCAAAUUCAUCAUUUCCGGGUAUCAGAAUAAGUGGGUUGGAUCCUAAAGAGUAUUACUGGGUGAUAGUAUGUUAGUUCUUUUUCCUUUUGUAUAUCAGUUCCAAAAAUAAUGCCACGCUGUAUAGAGAACUUGUAACGAACUUGUGGACAUGGGCUGCUUAAUGUGUCAAUAAAAUCAGUAAUAUUUUUCUGCUUCAAAGACUAAGAACGAAUUUAAGAGAACCCCUUCACCUCUAUUAAUAACAAUAAUUAGUCCUAUUCUAUGUCCUUAUCAAGAAAAGAACGUAGCUCUGAUCGCAUUGAAAUUAAUUGUCUGUGCUGUAAGGAACCUAUGAAUUUAAGGGUUGAACACAAAUCUGGAACCUGAUUUAUCUUCAGAUCUGAGGUGUACGCAUGCUAUAACUUCCGAUAGACGUGAUUUGCAAUACAAUUAGCAAACGGGGUACAAGUAACAAUAGUACAUUACUCAAGUGACAAAAGACCUUGGCUUAGUUCUGAAUGGACUAAUAAUUUCGUAAAUUUUAUUGCGAGUACAGUAAACUGAUACAAUCUGUUUUAAUCCAUCCUACUUAUUUAAAAGCAUAAAGUAAUACCCUACAACAAAUUAUUAGUCUGCAAUGAGGUCACAGCAAAGAAAAAGAUUACCAAAAAAAACACACAAUUGACAUCCAUCCAAAAUUUUAAAACCUACAAGUCAAUAUACUUGUUGCCUCCACUGCUUUGGGAGAAGUUGAUCUAUAUUUCAUCCAAGACCCUGAUCACAGACCUGGAAUACCCUUGAUUGACUUCUCUCCAAUAAACUCACCAGACUCCAAUGUCGACUCAAAAUCCAUUGAAGAGCUUGUUAUAGAAAUAGGCAAGCCAUGCAUAGACUGGGGGAUUCUUCCAAGUGAUCAAUCAUGGGAUGGUAUUGGAUAAGCUAGAGAAGAUUAAGAUUGCUGCUAGGAAGUUCUUUGCUCUGCCUUUGGAGGAGAAGUGGAAGGUUCGGAGGGAUGAAAAAAGCUUGUUGGGUUACUAUGACAUGCAUGCUAAAAAUGUCAGAGACUGAAAUGAGGUGUUUGAUUUAACAGUGGAGGAGCCUACUUUAGCCCCCGCUUUGCCUGAACCCGACGACAAGGAAGAGACCAAAUGGUGUAACCAAUGGCCCAAGUAUCCUCGGGAAUACAGGUAACUCAUGUGAACUCUAAGGGUAUAAUAAGCCAAACUUAUCUUUGGAACUCGAUAUGUUUGAUCUAAUGUACUGCCCUGACUAGGAUUGCUUGUGAAGAAUAUGCUCGAAAAUCUGGCUCUCAAGUUGAUGGGACUUAUUGCCUUGAGCCUAGGGUUACCAGAAAACAGGUUCAGCAGCUACUUCAAAGACCAAACAAGUUCUAUCUUGAUCAAUUAUUAUCCGCCUUGCCCUUCCCCUCAGAAAGCUCUUGGUGUUGGUCCCAUAAGGACGUUGGUGCUUUCACUGUGCUGGCUUAGGAUGACGUUGGAGGAUUUUUGAACUGAAGAGAAAAACAGAUGGAGCAUGGAUUCGUGUGAAACCCACCCCAAAUGCCUAUAUCAUCAACGUUGCUGAUGUUCUUCACGUCCGCUCUUCUAACUUCACAUUAUCUUUUUGUGCUCAAGACCACUUUGAAAUUUGAGUAAUUUCUUUUCAAAUUAGUCAUUUCUCAAGAUGUGCUAACUAUCCUGUACAGGUUUGGAGCAAUGAUGGAUAUCAUAGUGUGGAACACGGGUUGAUUUUUUAAAUCCGAGAAUGAUAGGUUUUCGAUUUCUUACUUCCUCAAACAAUCACACCACCCAAAUCCAGCCAUUGAAGGAGCUCAUUAGUGAUGCCAAGUAUAGGCCUUACAACUGGGGCAAGUUUAUGGCUCACAAAAAAAAAGCUGAGUAAUUACAAGAAACUCAAUAUCGAGAAGUAUAUCAGAAUAAUCGGGUUGAAAGAUUAGACCCGGCAUUUUAGAUCCGUUAACCCAAUCCGACUCAUCCGCUUAAAUUAGUAUUUAGGUGGAUGCUUAACGAGUUAGGUUGUUAACAGGUGAAUCCGUUAAUCAUCCGUUAAAUAAUAGGUUAUCUUAGGUCAACCCACGAGAUUUGUUAGCACUUGCUAAGUGAGGAUGUUUGAGUAAUUUCAAUAAAGACUUAACAAGAAAACCUGGCCGACUCGCACACGCAGCCCCGCGCUUUGGUUGGCCCCCUUCUUGUGGCGCCUUCUCGCUCUCUACUCUUCUGAUGAAAGCCGCCUAAUCUUCUGAAGUCUUCAAGCAAUUUAACACUAAAAGCAAUACGCUCCAACCACUUCGAGAAAAAAAAAAAAAAAAAAAACAUAUGAGAAUCAAAAGGGAACAUUCAUACGGCAGACAGCUUGGAUACGAAAUAAAGAAACCCAACUGCCAGAAACUCACAGAAACAUAGAAAAAUGGUGAUAUUGAUAGCAUGGACAAAUUGAAAGCUUUGAAAUUUAAAAUGAAAUGAGCAAAAAGAGAGAAGCUUAUGGUUUUGGGUUGGAUUUGAUUUGAAUAUACUACAACUAAUGCUGGAUAGCAUGAAAAUAAUAGAAAAAUGGAAGCUGGGAGUUGGGAGUUGGGUAUGGUAUUUUUCUGGGACCAAGCUUCUCUGUCCUCCCAUUUCUCAUACACUCUCAUCCCUUUCUAUAUUGAUUUUUUUAUAGAAAUAAUAAGACAAAAAGCAAUAGUAAUAUAAAAUAUUAACGUGGUUUAACCAUAAUCGCAUAAAUAUGAGAGAAUGAGAGUGUAUAGGAAGUAGGAGGGCAGAGAAGCCAGGUUCAUUUUUCUCUGACCGCGCCAUAACCAAUGCCGGAUAGAUGAUUGAAGUUGAUGAUGGCGAUGAUGAUGUUACAGCCCAUCCUUUUCUUUUGCUUAAAAAAAAUAAAAAAAAAUAAAAAAAAUAAUUGAUAUGUGUGUGUACGAUGGUACUGUUCAUUAAUACUUGUGAUUUGAUUAAAAUAUGUGUAAAUUGUAUUGGAAUGAAAAAAUAAAAAAAAAAUUGUUAAUGGGUGUUAACGGAUGACUUAUUAAACUAACGGGUUGGAUUUUGUUGACUCGUUAGCUAAAUGGGUUGGAUUUGGAUGACCCGUUAAAUUAACCGAUUAGGUCGAAACCAAUCCAAAUCUAAUAAACCUGACCCAUUUACAGGUCUAGGAAGGAGUAUUACUGAGCAAUAUAGUUACCAGCAAACACAUUAUGCAUAAAAAAACCAGCAAUAUUAUCCAGAGUGUUGUAAACAUUCCUAGUUUAAGUGUGUACGUAAAUCCUAGAUUUGAUUUGAUUCUAGUUAUCUUUUCCUAUUACAAAUUGUAUUCAUUGGGGAUGAAUGAAUAUCUUCUCUCAUUUUACUAAUAUAAAUAAAAGCACUAUGUUGGAGGGAGUGCCCGCCCAUUCUGUCUCGCCCUAAAUGGAAUAGCUCUCUUAGUUAUACUGGGCCCCGACCCUACCAUUAUACAAACACAUGUCUCUCAAUCUCUCUCUUCUCCUUGAUGCCAGCCUUCUUACCCUUGUCAGAUAAAAUAGGUUAAAACAUGUUAUCAGCACGCUCCUACUGCUGCGCUUAGGAAUCUGACGUUGAAGAAUUUUUCUACAUCAAACCAGUUCAUCCAUAUCAUCACGCAAUCAGGUUGUUUCAAAACAACGGUUUUUAUUUAAUAUUUUUGCAGCCCUGAUAGCAUGAACAUUCACCAUUAUGCAUGACCUAACUUUACGUUUUUCAAAUUUUAGAUUCUACAUAAAUUGUGUAUGCAUUAUAUUCAUAAUUGUUGAAUUAUGUGAAUUUGAUAUUUUCCAUGAAUUGCAUUAAAUAUAUGUACAUGCAUUAUAAUACUAUUGAAUUGAAUAUGCUUUGAAUUAAAUUGUAUAUGAAAAAAAAUUUACGAUUGGUAAAACUAGGGUUCUUCGAACCCCUAACCUCACCCAGGCCUGCAACCUACAGACUGAGUUGCGCCAAGCCGAGAACCAUCACGCCAUGGAGGCAGAAGCUCCGAGCUUCACAACCCAGAAAACUCAACACCUCUAAUGGUGUCCGUGUCCACAUCGACCACAAGCAUGGCCAGCAGCCAUUGCCCUGAACCUUUGGUUCUUGUCGCCGACAACCAGAAGUCGUCCCUCACCGGAAAUUGGACUGAGAUUCGAUUGAAUCUCAUCGAAAUUUUUUGAAAAUCCAAUUUAAAUUUUCUAGGGUUUGGUUGUUAUAACGUUGAGAUUACAUCAUCUCCGUUCACCACCGUGGUCGUCAAGGACCACCAUGACUUAACCCGAGUCUUAACAAACCCCAGACUGUCGCCAUGAGCGACAGGUCUGGCGUUCUUCUCCGGCGAAACUCACCCAUCACACGUUAGGGUGUUUAGUUCAAAAACUUGAGCCUUUCUUAGGCUUCGCCCGUUCUCAGUGCAGCUCCAAUCCGUUGGGCUUUGGAGCUCCCUUCAGCCCAACUAUUUUCCCCAAGCCUACAAAGAAAAAAAAAACCAAUUUUUUUUUUGGGCUUGCUUUGAGGCAGCCCGUAUGAAAAUCUUUUUUAGUUUUGUUUUGGGCUUGCCUGCAGCAGCCCAUCUCCCUGGCCGUGUGGUUUUUUUUUAGGGGCUCACCUGAUGCAGCCAAUUUUGUUCCUCUCCUCCCCGUAGGCCUGAAGCCUGCACCCGAAAAACUCCAGCCCAAUUUUUGGGCCUAGGUCGCAUGGACCAAAUUUGCUUAGCCCACCCAUGGGCUUUGGCCUAUAUUUUUGGGCCCCGAGUUUUGAUUGUUUAAUAUUUUUAGACAACAUGGGUUUUAUAUUUUUUUCACCCACACUUUAAAUUUGGCCCGAAGUCCAAAUAAUUAAUUCAAUUAUAAUUGUAAACCUAAAGUUCCAUUUGCAUAUUCUUGUUGCAUAUUUUUGUGUAUAUAUUUGUGUUUGUCUGCAGGAACAUAUGAACUUGAAGUUCAUAAUUAUUUUGAAACCUGAAGUUUCUUAAAAACUUGCCUUGUUUGAAAACGUAAAGUUUUCAUUUAAAAACAUCACCCAUGAAAACCCGAAGUUUUUUCAUGCAAAAUUAAACCAAUACAUGUAUAUUAGAACGUGUUGUUCUACUUCUAUAUGAAUGGAUUGAGUUUUUCUCGAUUACACUAACCACAUCUUGUCCAUUUAGUUUGUGAUAGGAACAUGUCGAAUUUGAACAAACUCGACUUCACCGCUUUGGAAGUCUCUGGAAGGAACUACCUUAAGUGGGUCCAAGAUGUGAAACUCCACCUCACUGCAAAGAACUUGCAUCUCGCCAUUGAAGAAGAGAGGGACAACCCUGUUGGCGAAGCUGAAAAAGCCAAUGCUAUGAUCUUCAUCCAAUGACAUAUCCAUGAUGCCUUGCAAACUGAGUAUCUUACUGAGGAGGAUCCACAUGCAUUAUGAAUCACUUUGGCUGAUCAUUUUGAUCAUCAAAAUGACAUAUUCUUACCUGACGCAAGACAUGACUGGCGGCAUUUGCGCUUCCAAGACUUUAAGUCUGUGAAUGAAUAUAAUUCUGAAGUUUGUCGAAUCCGAUCACUUCUCAAGUUUUGUAACGAAACUUUGAUCGAAGAGAAUCUCCUGGAAAAGACCUAUUCGACCUUCUCUACUUCUAAUAUUGUUCUAUAGCAACAAUAUAGAGCUCAGAAGUUCACUAAGUUCUCAGAUUUGAUCUCUGUUUUACUUCUUACUGAAAAGCAGAAUCAGCUGUUGAUGAAGAAUCAUCAAGCUUAACCUACUGGGGCGACUACUAUGCUUGAAGCACAUUAUAGCACAACCAUCGCCCAAAACGCCAAAAAAGGCGUGGUAGGGGCAGCCAGAAGCCAUCCCACCAAGGUCAACAGAGUUAAGGCCCAUCCAAGGGAGGAAACAAAGCCAUAAGAGUUCAAACCUUUUUCCCAUGGCCCCGAACUUCAAGAAUAAGGGCAAAGCACCUGAAACCAUGAAUGCAGACAUGUGUUAUCACUGUGGUUCAAAAGACCAUUGGUCAUGUGUUUGCCGAGCUCCCAAAAAGGUUGCAGAUGAAUAUCAUUCUUGUUAUAAGAAGUUUGAAUCAAACUUUGUGCAAGUGGAUUGACCGGAGACUACAAAGAUGGAGGUUUUUGACUUUCAAAAGGAUACCACCCCCGUGGAAGAUUAGAAUCUUAGACAUAAACAAUUUUCGUUAGUUAAAGUUGAAUAAUGGGGCCAAAUUCCACCUAUUGGUCGAACCCCCCUCUUUGUUUUUUUGGUUGAUUUUUGAAUAAUUUUCCUUAUAUUUGGAUUAUUUGUUGGAUGUGCCUGAGAGGGUUGUCAGAGGUGCAUUCUUAGGUAUGAAGUUAAUGAAAAAUUAAUUUGGAUUAUUUGUUGGUGAUUAGUUGGUGCAUUCUUAGGUACCAUUGGACAACAUUUCACUAACUUCAUACCUAAGAAUGCACCUUUGACAACCCUCUCAGGCCCAACCAACAUAAUAGAAGGAUACGGUAAGGCAUGUAUAAUGUUGUCCAAUGGUAAAAUCUUGACCAUUACUGAAACACUCUAUUCUCUACAUUCCAGAAGAACGUUGUUAAGUUUCAAGGACAUUAGAGAUAACAAUUACCAUGCUGAAACCCACUUAGAAAAUAGAGUUGAAUUUCUAUGCAUAACUUCCUACGAAUAUGGCCAGAAGCGUAUUCUAGAUAAGAUGGAGCGUAUCCCGAGCGGUCUGUAUACUAUGAUCAUACGCCUUAUCGAAUGCCACUAUGUGGUCAACCCUACUACUGGGACCGUGAAGGGAUUAUUUUGUAAAACAUGUUCAUUUGAGCAACAUCAUAUAGCAUGCAAUUAACAAUUAAAAGGCGGAAUCAUGCUUGUAUACUCAAAAACAAAACAUGACCAUGAAAUUCAAAGCCUAGUAGAUUGGUGAACCAAUAAUCAACUCAAAAAUAAGUGAGUUGAAAUUAAUACCUUUGUAGAUUCCUCUUUGCAUAAGCAAAGGCUAAUCACCCAAAGAGAUAGGGCCUUCAUUCCUUGCUUCUUAGAUCCAUGGAUUUGGAUGGAAGAAUAGGUUCUCCAAGUUCCCAAAAUUGAGAACCUCUAAGUCUCUACACCAAGGAGAGAUUGGAUGAUGAAUGAGUGACCUUGGAGGAUUAGAUGACUAGCUAAUCACCUCCAAGGUGUUGGCCUCUUUAGAGAGAAAAUGGAGAGACAAUUCUCACCCAUUUUCCCCAAAAAUAAACCCUUAUUUCACUUAAUGAAUAUUUAGUUAUAAAGUCAUUUAUAUAGUCACUUCUUUAAGUGACCUAAAUAACCAAAACAACCCUAAUUCAUCUUCAUGGCCGGCCAUAUAGGGAUUUAUGGGCUUUUGGGCUUUAAUGAAUCUUUAUUCAUUAAAUUGUCAUACAACUUAAGUUAAUGGGCUUGACGUUCGAAGCCCAUUUGGGCCUUAAGGUCCAAAACUAUCCCGUGGUCUUUAACGAACUUAUUCGUUUGAUUAAUUAACAUAUUAAUUAAUCCUUGCCAUAAAUAAUUAAACCAUUUCAAUUAAUCUUACUCAUUUCAUUUAUUUCGUCCAUCUCUACCUUACACGGUGUACGAUCCAUUAGGUUCCUUUUAGCGAGGUAGUGGGCGAUUAAAACCAUUUUACAUCGAUUGUGAAUUGAAACUAUUUUCAAUUCUCCCUUUAGUGAUUACACACGUUUAGGGCUUCCACAAACCAUGAGUGACACCUAGCCGUAUGUCAUGGUUACCCAAGCUAAUCAGAAGAGGUGGAGAACCUAUUCAGUCUGGGAUUACAAAUGCAAUACGGUCUUUCUCUAAUCUAAUACUCUUGACCACAUUGUUUGGUUUGAUAGUUUAUUUUCUCAUGUCUACUAUCCAAUGUGUGUCUUGUGCUUAUAUGAUUACCUUGAAUGUGAUUAGGAACACAUUCCCAAAUCUCAUUCAUACUCUGGCCAGAGAUUCAAAUCAUAUCAGAGAGAGUAUUCUCCCUCAAACAGUUUGAAGGUUAGAGAUCCCUUGUUGCGCAUUCACUUGUCUCCAUAGCUAAGCGGCUUGACCCCAACGAUGCCGUGGACACCCUCCUGGUGGGAUGACUUUGACAUAAUCAAAGAUCAAGGUCUCUUAACCACAAGACAACUAUGAUGCCUCAGGUCAAAGGACUACUUUGCAUUAUCCCAACCAUGAGUUCUCAUGUGACAUGGAAUAUGAGAACUCUUCGUUGAUCGCGUUCAGUGAACUCAUUCUCUAUUGAGCACCUACCGCACUUGUCUUGAUGUCACACACACCAAUGAUUCGAGACUAAUCACUCUCCCUGAUGAGAGAAGACAUAGUACGUACCGAUCUUGACGGACUGUCAAUGCCCAAUUGGCAAUCCUAUGAUCAGGAACGUUUAGGAUGUGUCUACGAAAGAAUGGUCUCAAGAAUCUAACUUCAUUAGAUUACAUUCUCCCAAUCACAAAUUCCUUGGACUUUAUUGUUUAAGCAUAUAACAUUUAUAUGAGACGGCUCAAACAAUAAUGUAUGCCCUUUAUAUGUAAAACUAGAUUAGUUUAACAUGUGAAAUGUCCGUAAAGUAUCAUCACAUGAUUGGCUUUAGGGCACAUUUCCAACAAUCUCCCACUUGCACUAGAGCCAAUCAGCUUGAUCAUCAAUGAUGAUAUCUCUUCUGUAGUCAUUUCAUAAAUGGCUGAAUAGUAGGCCUAGACAGUGGAUAUCUAUAUGUGUUAUCCAUAGAAGCAACCUUGAGAAUACCGACGUCACCAUUAUACAUGAUUCUCAAUCAUGUGGUUCAGUCUCUCUCAUUUGUGUUCGGAUCUUGAUGAGACCUUGAUUCCCAGGCUUGAGCUAUCGCCCCAUUAGUGUCAUACACUUUCUGGUUGGAACCGAAUAGAGAGUUCAUAAAUGAACUUUCCCAUCCAAACAACAUUGUUGUAAACUUCUAUAUGGCAAUAUAUCUUGCAUUCAUAAUGGAACACACUAAAGUCAUUACUUUAAUGUUUCCAUCCAAAUAUCUCUUUAGUCAUAAUAAAGAGAUAUUCGUUUAUCUCUUCAUUCAUAAUGAAGAAACAUCCAAUGAUGGAUUAGAUUCAUAAUCUAAUACAUUUACGCUUCCAUUACGUUACUUUGAUUCUUCCUCGAUCUUUGAGGAAUUUAUCCUUUAGUAUUUCUUAAAUACUUAAGGACUCACUUGACAGUUGCCAUGGUUCUGAUCCUGGGCUUUCACUGAUAUCAUCUUGUACCGUUCUAGGUACAACUCAUAUCAAUGUUUUUCAUACAAUAUGAAAUACAUAAAUCACCUUUCUGCGUAUGCAUAAAGGAUUCUAUUUACGCAUUAUUUCUUUGGGAGUCAAAGGGGCACGUUCCCUUUGAGAAGGGCAACUUGCUAGUCUUACUAGAGUCAUCCUUCUAAUUGAAGUUUAUCAUCAUAUGAGAAACUUCCUAGCAUCCAUUGUCUAUUAUUAGGGAUUGAUAUAAUCCAAUUAUAUCAUGAAAUAUAUCAUUAUAGAUUUCCAUCCCAUGUAUAUAGACUAUAUCUCCCAUAUACAUUCUAUCUUCAUAUAAUGUAUUAAAGUCAUAACUUUAACGAAGAAGUAUUCUUUUCAUUUCCAAAAUUAAUAUAUCAUAUAUAUUUAAAUUUUUAGGAACAUGAUUAACUCCCACUAAUCUUUUGUAAAACUAGUAAACAAAAGAUUCAUUUACAUCUUUAUGAGAAAUCAAACGAUUUGAUCAUUUUUCUCAUAAAAUACAAAUAGCUCCCACUAACUUGCUAAGAUCCAUGAUGGAUGGAUCUCUACAACUUACAUGUCUUGUGAUUUAUAGUUUUAGACAUAUAUUAUCAAGACUAUCUUAAUAAUGGUUUCGGAAACCCAUAUUAUGUCCAAACAUUGAAUCACCAUUUAGUUGUAGUUAGCAAUCUUCGAAUUAAUUGAAACCAAGACUAUCUCAAAGAUGGUUUCUUCAAAGUCAACCAUUCUCUUUGAUUGUAGUCACCUUAAGCUACCAAUUAGCUAUGAAGGUUUCAUUAUUUCGAGUCAAAUGGUACUUUACCAUUUCCUUGAGUAUAUAUCGUAUAUGCACUCAAUGUAGUUAUAAGGAUUUUCAUUCUUAUUUCUUUCGAAUUAAGAGGUGCAACUCUAUGACAUAGUCAUAAAGUUCAAAACCAUUCAACUGAGACGGUUUAUAAAUCCUUAUCGACUACCUUGGAGCUUGUGGUAUAGGAACUAGGUUGUUAUAUUUGUUGAUUACUUUCUUGUCUCUCAAAGAACCCAUUCUUUGAGUUCUAUCUCUCGUUCAUUUGCUUUUAGGCAAUCACAUUGUAGAAUUACAAUGAACUAUCCAACAAAACAACAUUUGUUAGUUGGUUUAUAGAAGCGAUAUCCAAAAGUUAUUUUAAGGAUAUCCUACAAGAUUAUUAUCAAACAAAUAUUGCUUGUUAGCACACAACCCCAAAUCUUUAACAUGCUUAAGAUUUGUCUUUCUUUCCAACUACAUCUUAUGGAGUCAUGAAAAUAUUGGAAGAUCUUCUCAUUGACAAUCAUAUUGUUUUUAGAAGUAUAUAUCCUAUAUAUGGGUAAUAGAUAACAUCUAACGAACUAAAUCUUAUUCAAGUUCGUUCUUCUCCUAAUGGAGAAAUACAUUAUAUUAUGAUGCUAUUUCCUUGAUAUCUUUCAAGGAAACUUAUCUAAAGUGUUACCUUUCCUUGGAUCAAAUCUAAGGAGGUAAAUACUUUAGAUGUCUUACUCAUCAACUUACAUUUCUUGAAUUCUUUGAAACAUUUUUCAAAGUAUUCGGACUUGUGUUUAUUCAAAAUAAACUAUAGUCCAACCGAGAGUGAUCUUCGGUGAAUGUUAUCCAACAUGAGUAGUAUUAUGUUUGUGGACAAGUGCCACUAACAUCUAAGUGAAUUAACCUCAACAACUUUGUGAUUCUUUCUUCUUCCAAAAGAAUAAAGAUUCGAACAUUUCGCCUCUAUACAAUUUUAACAAGAAGGUAUUGGAUCCGGAUCUAACGAUCCAAAGCGUCCAUUUAUGACCAACUCGUAAUUUAUGUUUUAGAGGUAUCACAACUUUAGUUGGGAUUAGUCACUACCUUGCAACCUUUUGGGUUUUAAGCAUCAUUAUUUUCUAAACAGUUAACACCACCAUAUUAUCUCUACUAUAAAGAUAAUUAAUUAGAUUACCAUAAUCUAAUCAUUGAUUAAUAAAGAACAUUGUUUUGUCAAACAAAACAUUUAUCCAUUUCACAUAGUGACAGAAUUUAGUUCCUUAAAAUUGGAAUAUAAAGACAAUCUAUGUUUUUCCAAUUUCUUUGGUAGUUCAUAUGAGGAAGUAAGUACCAUCUGCUUUCGCAGAGAUCUACAUUUGAUUCACGCUUCGAAUGUGAAGUACUUUCUCUUCUCUCAUUAAUCUUCUACUUCUUAUUAGCCACACUUUUACAACGAUUGUAAAACAUAGUCACUAAUACGGAAUCAAGCAUUCAAGUAGAAGAACCAACUGUUUUGAACUUUUCAAGAACAAUUUACACCUUCGAAAAGUGUGUUCUUGACACUUGCAAGACAUUUCUUGCAAAUACCCCUUCCAAUGUCCAUCCUUUCAUAAAGAAAGUUUGUUCCCUUGGAGUUAUUUAUCUUCUUUAUUUGACUUUCACCUUUGACUACAUUAGUCAUGGUCCCUAAACUCUCACUAUCUCUCUUGAAACCUUUUUCAAUUGUGUUAUACACAUCAAACAAUUUUGGAGAGCAUGUGGUUAUUGUUCACUAUAUAGUUUACAAUAAACUUAGUGAACGAUUAGGAUAGGGAAACAAAGGUGAAGUCCUUGCCUAGUUUCCGUCUCGUUAAGUGGUUUAUCACUUCAACACUUAAUGAUUCAAAAUCAUCAUAAGUCCAUGUUAAUGGACUAUUUUUGUCAACCAACCAUUAUGUUCUAAACAUAAUUACAAACCUUCAAGAGUUGUACAAGGCAACUCUCAUUUCUUCAUACAACAAUUGUAAAUGAAGAAUCAUGGCACAUUUAAAGUGUUCAUGCCUUUGUGCUUUCUUCUCAAGUUCUUUGUUCAUUUAACAAAGAAACAAGCACUAAGUGUUUGCAUUGACUAAGAGUUGUUCAAAGCAACUCCUAUUUCUUCAUACAACAAUUUGUAAUUGAAGAAUUAUGACAUUAAAAGUGUUGUCCUCUUUAUGAUAGACCUUUUCUAACAUAUUCUUCUAAUGAUACAUUAUCAAUAGUAAGAUUGUGAGGAUGAGACUACUUUGGUACUUUUACAAGCCAUUAAAGACAAUCUAUGGUUUUGUAGUACCAAGUCCGUAAAACUAAAACGUUCGGUUUUGUCAAGUGUUGGAUAGCGUUUGCAAAAUAUAUUGGUAAUCAAAUACAUAACGAAUAUAAAUUGAUUGAUUUUAAGCCAUUUGAUUCGGGUCUUUAAAUCAAAAUAGCACCACCCCCACUAUUUUUGGCAAAUUCCAUAUCCCUCAUAGGAAUUCGAGAGUUUUGGAUGAAACUCCUAGUAGGUUAUGGGAGGCUCACUAUUACCAAGCCCACCUCACGAUGAUACGAUAUAUGGCUAGCAACAAUAAUAAUGAGAGAGUACGCUUACUCAUUUGCAACUCAUGCAAGUACCCAUCUUAUUUGGCCUCUAGAGAAUGUAACCUCACAAUGAUAUGAUAUUGGUUCCAUUGCACUUAGUUAAGUUCUUCCCACCAUGCUUAGUGUGUGAAGGGGUUCAAGAAUAGCCUCACGAUGAUACGAUAUAUAGCUAUCCUCGUUGCCUACACUCACCUCAUCAUAUGUAUAUGGAUUCCUCCUGAGUAUAAGCAUGCACUGUGUACUCCCCCAUGAUAGGGUGAAGCCGGUGUACAAGUCAUAAACGAUUGGAUCCCACCACGGUGGAAGGCCACGAAGAGAUAUUCUAAACAUCUCUCGCUUAUCAACUUAAUAUUGGUUUGGUUGAGGGUUUUAGGUCUCAUCACAUAUAAACAUACAUUUUAAUCUCUAUUAAAACUAUUUUGGUCCUAUAACAACUAUUGGUCCAUCUCAUUGUUUUAGUUGUACAUAAUACUCCCACUAUGCUUUUAAAACGAUUUUUAAAGCAAGAGUAUAUGAUACUACUAACAUAAACUUUGCAUUCAUUUGAUGGACUACAUAGUUGCCUUAGGGCCUAAGGAUGAUUAUGAACCUUUGUUUAGAUUCAACACGAGCCUUGUGUUGAACCUCAGUCUAGGAAUGAAGAUUGAUUUUAGUUACGCGUUUAAUCACAUUAAGGCGUGUUGUCUUAUGGCGUUGGACCCAACUACUUCAUUUUCAUGCAUAUCAUAUAAAAAGCAAGAAAGAAGUACUUCAAAGUAAAGGUGAGCUUAUGCUCAUUACAACAUUUGCAUAUAACAAAUUACUUUAAAGUAAAGAAGAGCUUAAGCCCUUUUUACAACAUUUGAUCAAAUCAAAUUACAACCAAAAUUUAAUCUACACAUUCCCAUGGUUCAAACAAAUUUGAAACGCCUUUCACAUAGCUCAAUUAUAUUAGGCUUAGGUUCAUAAUCACCCUUUAAUUAAUUAACACUUUAACUAAUUAAUUGAAUGCAACAUUUUCAUUUGGUUUUUGUAUCCAUAAAAUUGAUUUAAAUGGAGCUAAACAAAAUGAAAAUCCAAUUCUCAUUUAAAGAGACAAAACAAUUUUGUUCUCAUCCUAUUUGGGCCAUCUUGCAAUUAACCUCAACUUUUGGGCCAUAUUGCAAAUACAAAAACUUUUGGGGUCACUUUGUAUAAUACACAAAAGUCACAACUUCAUGUAAAUACAACUAGAACCCAAACUUUUAAUAAUGCAAAAACAUCAUUAAAGGAACAAAACAAUUUGUCCUUUAGCGUUUUUGGACCUAAACGUAAAAACGUAAACUUUUGGGCCAAAGUGCAAAUACACAAAAGUAUCAAAACUUUAUGUAAUUGCAUAAAAGCCCCAAAAGUACUCCCUUUGAGGGAGUGGCUGGUUUUAGGGAGGGAUAAGGUUGGUGUGUGUGUUGAUUAGUGAGUUUUGUCAAAAAACAUGCAAGUGUAUGUAAGAUAAGUUUAUGAAAUAAUUCAAUCACAAUUAUUUCAAUCAUCAUUUAUACAAAUAUCUAACACUUUAAAUACAUAAUAAAUCAUUUAAAAACAUAUCACAUAUACUUUAUGAAAUAAUUCAAAACUUUGAAUCAAUACACCAAACCUUUUUGUUCUUGGCAAGAACAUCAAGAACAAUGAAGAACAUCCAUGAAAAACCCAAAUUUUUCCAUGAACUUUUUCCACCCAAAAACAUUCCAAAACCAUUCUUACUUAAGGGAAAUAACAUCUAACCAAACUAGGGUACUUAGGGGUUCCAAAGAACACAUUAAAACACUUUUAACAAGUCAAACAAGAACCCAAAAAUUCACCCUUUGAUUUUGGCCGAAUUUUCCCAAAAGCAUGGCACCAAAUUUUAGCUCCAAUAUUCAUGCUCAUAUGAACAACAUCUACAACAUUUGAGAUAGCAAAUUUUCCAACAAAAUUUACUUUCAAAGAAGCAAGAAUAAAGCUUGUAACAAUUACAACUUUUAGAUCACAUACUAUGAACUACAAAACCCAAAAGGAUUCACCAACUACUAGACCUAGGCUCUGAUACCACUUGAAGGGAUUAUUAUUUUGUAAAACAUGUUCAUUUGAGCAACAUCAUAUAGCAUGCAAUUAACAAUUAAAAGGCGGAAUCAUGCUUGUAUGUACUCAAAAACAAAACAUGACCAUGAAAUUCAAAGCCUAGUAGAUUGGUGAACCAAUAAUCAACUCAAAAAUAAGUGAGUUGAAAUUAAUACCUUUGUAGAUUCCUCUUUGCAUAAGCAAAGGCUAAUCACCCAAAAAGAGAUAGGGCCUUCAUUCCUUGCUUCUUAGAUCCAUGGAUUUGGAUGGAAGAAUAGGUUCUCCAAGUUCCCAAAAUUGAGAACCUCUAAGUCUCUACACCAAGGAGAGAUUGGAUGAUGAAUGAGUGACCUUGGAGGAUUAGAUGACUAGCUAAUCACCUCCAAGGUGUUGGCCUCUUUAGAGAGAAAAUGGAGAGACAAUUCUCACCCAUUUUCCCCAAAAAUAAACCCUUAUUUCACUUAAUGAAUAUUUAGUUAUAAAGUCAUUUUAUAUAGUCACUUCUUUAAGUGACCUAAAUAACCAAACAACCCUAAUUCAUCUUCAUGGCCGGCCAUUAUAGGGAUUUAUGGGCUUUUGGGCUUUAAUGAAUCUUUAUUCAUUAAAUUGUCAUACAACUUAAGUUAAUGGGCUUGACGUUCGAAGCCCAUUGGGCCUUAAGGUCCAAAACUAUCCCGUGGUCUUUAACGAACUUAUUCGUUUGAUUAAUUAACAUAUUAAUUAAUCCUUGCCAUAAAUAAUUAAACCAUUCAAUUAAUCUUACUCAUUUCAUUUAUUUCGUCCAUCUCUACCUUACACGGUGUACGAUCCAUUAGGUUCCUUUUAGCGAGGUAGUGGGCGAUUAAAACCAUUUUACAUCGAUUGUGAAUUGAAACUAUUUUCAAUUCUCCCUUUAGUGAUUACACACGUUUAGGGCUUCCACAAACCAUGAGUGACACCUAGCCGUAUGUCAUGGUUACCCAAGCUAAUCAGAAGAGGUGGAGAACCUAUUCAGUCUGGGAUUACAAAUGCAAUACGGUCUUUCUCUAAUCUAAUACUCUUGACCACAUUGUUUGGUUUGAUAGUUUAUUUUCUCAUGUCUACUAUCCAAUGUGUGUCUUGUGCUUAUAUGAUUACCUUGAAUGUGAUUAGGAACACAUUUCCCAAAUCUCAUUCAUACUCUGGCCAGAGAUUCAAAUCAUAUCAGAGAGUAUUCUCCCUCAAACAGUUUGAAGGUUAGAGAUCCCCUUGUUGCGCAUUCACUUGUCUCCAUAGCUAAGCGGCUUGACCCCAACGAUGCCGUGGACACCCUCCUGGUGGGAUGACUUUGACAUAAUCAAAGAUCAAGGUCUUAACCACAAGACAACUAUGAUGCCUCAGGUCAAAGGACUACUUUGCAUUAUCCCAACCAUGAGUUCUCAUGUGACAUGGAUAUAUGAGAACUCUUCGUUGAUCGCGUUCAGUGAACUCAUUCUCUAUUGAGCACCUACCGCACUUGUCUUGAUGUCACACACACACACCAAUGAUUCGAGACUAAUCACUCUCCCUGAGAGAAGACAUAGUACGUACCGAUCUUGACGGACUGUCAAUGCCCAAUUGGCAAUCCUAUGAUCAGGAACGUUUAGGAUGUGUCUACGAAAGAAUGGUCUCAAGAAUCUAACUUCAUUAGAUUACAUUCUCCCAAUCACAAAUUCCUUGGACUUUAUUGUUUAAGCAUAUAACAUUUAUAUGAGACGGCUCAAACAAUAAUGUAUGCCCUUUAUAUGUAAAACUAGAUUAGUUUAACAUGUGAAAUGUCCGUAAAGUAUCAUCACAUGAUUGGCUUUAGGGCACAUUUCCAACAGACCGCGCAUGAAAUUAUACUUUGGCAUGAUUAUUUAGGACAUCCUGAACGAAUAGCUAUGCGCUGAAUCCUCAAAUCAUCACAUGGGCAUCCAUUGACCCGAAGUUUAGGUUUGAUCCAAGGAAUCGCAUGUCAAGCAUGUUCCAUGAGAAAUCUUAUUAUUAAGCCUUCUUAUGACAAGAUUCGUUCGAAUCCUCCUAUUUUUCUACAACGGAUUCAGGGGGACAUUAUGGACCGAUUCACCCUCAUUGCGGACCAUUUAGAUACUUUAUGGUUUUGGUUGACACUUCCUCACGUUGGUCACAUGUGUGCUUGUUGUCCAUAAGGAACACUACAUUCUCCAAAUUGUUGGCUCAAGUUAUCAAGCUCAGGGUUCACCACCCUGAUUAUCCGAUCAAAUCUAUUCAAUAGGAUAAUGCUGGAGAAUUCAUAUCUAAAACUUUUGAUGACUAGUACAUGUCGGUUGGGGUUGAACUUGAACAUCUCGUACCCCAUGUUCACACAUAAAACGACCUGGUAGAAGCUUUCAUUAAGUGCUUACAAAUGAUUCUUCGAUCGUUGGUCAUACGUACCAAGUUCCCGAUCGUUGCUUGGGACUAUGCAAUAUUGCACGCAUCAAAGUUGGUCCUCCUGAGGCUUGUUAUGACACAACCAUUUAGUGCCCUUCAGUUGGUUAUCGGAUACGAACUCGACAUAUCGCAUCUGCUCAUUUUUUGUUGUGCGGUUUAUGUCGGAUAUGAUUCUCCUUCAAUUAUUCAUUACUUAGAACCUUUGACAGACAAUCUAUUUACCACUUGAUUCAUGGAUUGUCACUUCUAUGAGAUAACCUUCCCGUCAUUAUAGGGAGAUAAGAACGUCAACAUUCCUUAAGAACAACGCGAUUUAUCAUGGAUGACCCCUACUUUGUCUCAUUUAGAUCCCCGCACUACUUAGUUUGAAACUGAUGUGUAAUGCAUAUUAGAUCUUUAGAGUAUAGCUCAGAGCAUGCCAGAUGCUUUCACCGAUCUAACGCGCUUGACAAGAUCACAUAUUCCAGCUGCGAAUACUCCUGCCAAGAUGAAUGUAUCAACUGUACGACGGACUUCUCUCAUAGAGCUCGGGGCACCAAUCUUGGUGAUCCCUGUACAUUAGCAACUAGCCAAUCAUCUGCCCCUAUACAAAGCAUGACAGACCCCUUGGUUUAAAAGAUUCACACCCCCGAAAGAGGAAAUCCAAGACACAAGGUCCUGAAGAGCCUAUCGUGAAUCUAUCACUUACUCAUUCUAUCCAACUCAUGAGGAAAUUUUAGAUUAUGGAAGCGUCUUUGAAGAGACGAGUCCUCCUUCUAAGAAUCGUAAGAUUUCGGUCUGUUAUGCUAGGUUAAAUGAUGUGUGGCAUAGAAAUGAGAUGAUUGUCGACGAUGCAUUAGCAUUUGCAGUAGCUACUGAGAUUAUGUUAGGCGAUGGCAUUGAACCACGUUCCAUUGAUGAAUGUCAACGUAGAACUAAUUGGUCAAACUGGAAACAAGCAAUUCAAGUCGAACUCAAUUCAUUUGCGAAACAUAAGGUGUUUGGACCUGUAGCUCAUACUCUUCCACAUGUGAAGCCCGUUGGCUAUAAGUGGGUUUUCGUUCGGAAGCGUAAUGAGAAGAACAAAAUUAUGCGUUACUAUGACGAAACUUAUUCACCAAUUAUGAAUGUGAUUACUUUUUGCUACCUUAUCAGUUUGGUAGUUUCUGAAAAACUGAGUACACGGCUGAUGCACGUAGUAACCGCGUAUCUCUAUAGGGAUCUUGAUACAUAAAUUUACAUGAAAGUUUUCGAAUGACUUACAUUGACUGGUUCAAAUAUUUCCAAACGCCUCGAACACGCUAUCGAUUCGGCUGAGGCGUUCACUCUACGGUUUGAAACAAUCCAGAAAAAUGUGGUAUACCCGUCUGAGUGAGUAUUUGACUAGUUUGGCAUAUGUGAACAACGAAUUAUGCCCUUGUGUGUUCAUUAAGAAGUCAUAUUCUGGAUUUGUGAUUGUUGCAGUAUAUGUUGAUGACAUGAAUCUUAUUGGAACUCGUGAGAACUACAGCAUGCAUGAAGUCAGAAUGUGAGAUGAAAGAUCUAGGUAAGACUCGAUACUGUCUCGAUCUCGAGUACAUCAAUCGAACUACACCCAGAAGGUGUUGCACCGUUUUAAUGAGGAUAAAGCGAAGCCUUCGAGUACUCCUAUGGUCGUUCGAUCGCUAGAUACAAAAAGAGAUCCAUUCUGUAAUGAAAAGAUUUUGGAGCCUGAAGUUCCUUAUCUAAGUGCGAUAAGAGCUUUAUUGGACUUAGUUCAAUGCACUAGACCCGACAUCUCAUUUGUUAAUCUUUUGACAAGAUACAAUAAUGCACCUACACGCAGACACUAGACUGGCGUGAAAGACAUCUUCCAUUACCUUAAGGGUAUUACAGAUUUAGGCAUGUUCUGUCCUUACGAAUCCUCGAGUGAUGCUGCACUCUCUACUUCUCGAGUCGAUUCUUACCUUAUUGGUUAUGCCAACGCAUGAUACUUAUCUGAUCCGCACAAGACGUAUUCUCAAACGGGUUAUGUCUUUACCGUUAGAGGCACCGCAAUCUCUUGGAGGCCAACUAAACAGACCUUAGUUGCCACUUUAUCCAACCAUGCUGAAAUUCUCGCCUUACAUGAAGCAACUCGGGAAUGCUUUUGGUUGAAAGCAGUUAUGGGCCAUAUUCGAAGCUCCUACGAUCUUUAUCCUGUUGUUGAUGUCCCAAUGAUGAUCUUUGAAGACAACGUAACAUUCAUCGAACAACUCAAUAAGGGUUAUAUCAUAUGAGACAACACCAAGCACAUUGCACCGAAGUUUUUCUUUUCACAUCAACAAAAAGAGCAUCAGAAGAUUGAAGUCACGCACCGUUCACAAGAUAAUCUAGUCGAUCUCUUCACCAAAUCAUUGCUGAAGACGACAUUUUAGAAGCUUGUUCAAGGAAUUGGUAUACUUAAACUUUUUGAGUUGUAACAUUGCUAUUUCUCUUUGGAAUUAUGUCAAACUCAAGGUGAGUAUCCUGAAGAAUUCUUGCUUGAUCUUAAUUUACUCUUUUUCCCUACAAUUGGGAGCAGUUUUCUCACUGGGUUUUUGCUACUUAAUUAGGUUCUAACGAGGCACCCACCUUAGGCUGGUCAUAUCCCUGAUGACAUCCUAUAGAUGUUUCUUUUGACUUUGCAUUUCUCACACAUUUUUCCUUAGACUAUGGAUUUUGUCCAUCAUCGGGUUUCUGCCAUAGCCUUAAGGUUUUUUAGUAAGACUGACUUACUUAUGCAAACUCCUACUUUAUUGAGAAUAAGCGUUGUUCCUUAGAUUCAGUGCCAACGAGUCGAUUUCCUCAACUUCUGCAUGAUAAUAAAUAUACGUUGAGUAUUUACACACUCAAUGGGGAGUGUUGUAAACAUUCUUAGUUUAAGUGUGAUUAUGUAAAUCCUAGAUUAGAUUUUAUUUUAGUUAUCCUUUCCUAUUACAACUUGUAUUCCUUGGGGAUGAAUGAAUAUCUUCUCUUCUUUUACUACUAUAAAUAAAGGCACUAUGGAGGAGGGAUAACACACAUAUUCCCCUACAAUUAUACAAACGCAUAUCUCUCAAUCUCUUUUCUUCUUGCCGUCGGCCCUCUUACCCUUGUCAGAUAAAAUAGGCUACAACACAGAGAACCAUUUUACCACUAUUUCAUUUAGGUUUGCACUUAUUCUAUUCGGACCUCAUGAUUUCAUUUAUUCUAUCAGCAUCCUGAUGCAGGGUGCAUCGGAUAAAAACGAUUGAGAACAUAAAAUUAGGAUAAAAAGGAUGGAUAGGUAGUAUAGAUAGAUAGAUAGAGUCCACUAUCUCAUUGUGCGAGAAGAGACCUAAAAAUCCUAAGAACUUUGGUUCUAGUACCAGCCUACAACGUAAAUAUUAGAAAGAACAAAGAUGCAGACUCUUAAACAAGAGAAAGACACAUAAAAACGAGUUUACAACUCAAAUAUCAAUAUGAUAAUUCAAGCAACUUAUUCUCUUCUUCUUUACAAAUACAAGUAUUUAUAGGCUUAAAACAUAAGUGAAAAAUAUGAAAAGGCAUAAAAAAAAAUAAAGGCUUACAAUAUUAUCUUUUGUGAAGUAGAAAAGGAAUUGGCUACAGUCACACAUUUGCCAUUCGAUUUUCACAUUAUUUACAACAAUGCCAGAUAAACGGGCUAGGUUGAAAGGGUAAUUACCAAAGUUAGGAGGGUAAUAUUGUCCGUAUGAUUGCGUUCCCUAGGCCUGAUUCGGGCUUAUUUUGAGUUACUAGUUUUGGGCCAAGUAUGGGCUUCGGAAGUGGGUUGUCCAAUGUGUUGGGCUGGCUUGCACAGAAAGUCGUCAAAACGACUCUUUUGCCCGCUUCAAUCCAGAUCCAACGGACAAGAUCUGGAGGCACUUUUGUCAUUCUGCGUUUAGGGGUGGUUGUUGUCGAUGUGGUCAGAGGCAUGGUUCGCAGAGGGGUUGAUAGGUUGCAGGUAGAGAGAGCGUUAAUGGGAGGGGUUCCAGGUGGACAUAGUGAGGUUUAGGUGCGGGAUUACAGGGAGAGAAGGUGAGAAGGUGGGUGCGGUCAAGCUUGAUAUGAGGGUAAGGUUCUGGGAGAAGGACGGGUGUUUGUUGCACAAGGAGAGAGAGAGAGAGUGAGAGAGAGAGGUAUGGUUACCCAAGGGGGGUGGGGUUGAGGGGAUGGCUAUAGAGAGAGAGAGAGAUGUGUAGGUUAAGGUGCAGAUGUAGGGUUGGUUAUUUCCACACCAAAAAUCAUCAUCCUCUUUUGAUAUUGGAAAUUAGGCUCUGAUUUAUCAGUCAUAUGCUUCUUUGCUGUAUAAGAUGAGUUUGGGUUAUAUUACUCAUAAAUGAAAUUUUUUUUUUCAGUAAGAGAGUGAAAAUCCCUAGCCUUAAGAUUUUCAGGUAUUUUGUCGGCCAUAAUAAUUUGUUUUUGCUUCUUUAUAUGUGUGUCUGUCUCCAAAUAUGAGAAUCUCUUAAUUUGCUUAUGUAGCUUUUGUAAUGUAAUAUGAUGAUCUCUUAAUUUUCCUUUGCAUAUCUUCUUUGCUUCCUCUGCUAGCUCUAUAUGUCAUUCUAUCUCCAAAUAAUUAUUCCAUAUUUUCUAUUUUUAUAGGAACCAAAUCAUUGAAUACACAUGGAAAAUUAAAAGGGGUUUAAUUUUUGGAUUGGUUUAAAUUUUUUAUUGUUAUUGGUUGUAUUGCUGUCAAAUAUUUGAUGGGAAGUUUAAAAUGGAGAACUUGGUUGAUUGGGACAGAGAGAAUCCGACAGAUGCAGACUCUAAUUUACUGGCUUCGAAAUGAAGAAGUUAUUUCUCGGUUUAGUUCAGUUCUCAAUUACCACUUUUCUGUAAUGAAACAUUUGAAUAAUACUCACCGGGAUAUCCAAUUAAUUAGGUCAGUUUUUGUUUAAUUGGGAUUCUUAAAUUUGAUAUUAGGUAUUUGAAUUUGAUUGGGUUUUGGAUUGCAUUGUACACUGUUUCGGGUAUCUUUAGCAAAAUAGGACCCGUCUUCUCUGCCCUCCCGGUUCCCAUACACUCCAUCCCCUCCUAUUUUGUGCGGUCACGGUUAAGCCACGUCAACAUUUUAUAUUGAUUUUUUUAUAGAGAUAAUAAGAAAAAAAUUAAUAGUGAUAUAAAAUAUUGACGUGGCUUAACCGUGACCGCACAAAUAGGAGGGGAUGGAAGUGUAUGGGAACUGGGAGGGUAGAGAAGCCAGGUCCAAUAAAAUAGGAUAUUUUCUUUUUAGGAUUCUAGAAGUUUAGUUGAACGCCAAUAUUAAAUUUCUAACCCCUGUGGUGCCUCUCUCUAUUUGGAGAAAUUUUUAGUUGUGACGUUAACAUAGAUGAUACAUCAUGUGUUUUUAUACAAGUGGUGGAAAAUUCUAAUUUUUAAGUUAGUAACUUUUUAACAUACAUAACCCACAAUUUAUAUAAGAACAUGUGGUGUACCACCUCGUGUGACAAUCACACUGAAAAAUCUCUCAUCUAUUUGAGUUUAAGUUGGGGAUGGUGGGACUGGCUUACAUUUUUCUUCUUUUUGCUUUGCCUAUAGUAAUAUUAUUGUUUAUUUCCAAGAUCUGAGUUUGUCAUUCAGAAGAGAUGUUUCAUUCAGAAAAUUGAAAUUUCCCAAAUCUUUGUUAAUAGUUGUAUCCCUUGCAGAAGGAUUUAAUUUUCUUGUCUACUUUUGAGCUUAAUGUUUUCCAUGUAUGCAGCAUUACUAGACCAAUAAAAGUGCAGUGUAGUGGAGUAAUUAGGACUGUUUCUGUUCCUUUAUUUUUUAUUUUUUAUGUUGAAUUGACAAGUGGUUUUAAAAAAUGGUUAAUUGUUUUUAUUGGUUUUAGUUUCUAUGUUUGGUUUGAGAGUAAAUUCAGAGAGCUAAAAGGCAGUAAAGUUUGAUAUUUACGUUUAAUGUUGUUUUGGGUUUGGAUUAAUUUUGUUUGUUUGAUAUUAGAAAUUGAGUGAUAGGGAAUUCGCACUUUUCUCUCUUUUGAAUAGCGUUGAACUCGUUUCUCAUUUUCUGUUUGGUUUCGUAGAAAAUUGAGGGAAAAAGGGAUAGAAGAUUAAUGUAUUCACUGAUUUGAGUGCCUUAAGUUCAUUUAUGAUUGAAGUUAUUCCCAUUGCUUUCAUCAUUUAUGUUAUGUUGUUUUGGGUUUCUAGCACGUUGAAGAUGGUAAAAUCAAUUAUUUUGAUUUUGGAAGUCGAGUUUGUUUUUCAGCUUUAGUGCUUGGGAGAAGCAAAAAUGUGAUUUCAUGUAUGGUUGUUGUAUUUGUCUGUCAUUUGAAAGGAAUUCAGACAGAGAGAGAAGCAGGUUUAUCCUCAUCCAGUGGAACCUGUAACUGAUAGCUGUAGGUUUAUCCUAAUUCUCACUAAACUAGAGCGUAUCUUUAUUGGACUCCUCAUGUUAAAACAUCAUGCGCCUACAUUACUCUCAAUAAGAUUCCUUUACAUUAAGUUUAUUAAGCAGUAUAAUCUUAUUUAAGUUUUAAUUGUGCAUUUUGAUUUGUAGCUAGGGUGACUGAAUGUGAUUUAGUGAAUCCUAUUAUCCUAUUGUUGGAACAAUUCAAAGAGUGUUUUGGCCUCUAUUUCCUUUCGUUAUUGGCUCCUAAGGUGAAUUUUCCCCCUUACCCAAUUUACUGUUGUGCAUUUGACCCAUAAUCAUACAUAGGAGAUAUUGGGUGAAAAAUUGUAAAAGGAUCUUUUGAGAAAAAUAUGGAGAAUACCUCCUUAAUUCUCACUUUCCCCUUAAGAGAUGUACUUCCAGGCAGACAAUGAUUGUUUGCCCUCCCACUUCCGGUGCCCUCCUAUUUUGUGUGGUCACAGUUAAGUCACGUCAAUAUUUUAUAUUUUUUUAUAGAGAUAAUAAGACAAAAAUAAAUAGUAAUAUAAAAUGUUAAUGUGGCUUAACCGUGACCACACAAACAGGAAGGCACGGGAGGGCACCGGAAGUGGGAGGGCAGACAAUCCUUGUCCCUUCCAGGCAGUGUGAUGUUGAGAUAUUUUUAAAUUCUUUCCAAUUUUAGUAAAAGGUAGCAUACUUUUCUUCCCACGGUUCACCCAUCUCUUGGUUAUUUAAAUUCUCAUCAGCUCGGUUCACCCAUCUCUUGGUACACGAAGGUAUCAAGAUGAUCAAUGCUUAGUAUUUCGGGAUUAAUAAAGUAUGGUACAAACAUUGGACAAUAAUGUUAUUUCAUGCAACCAAAUUUUACUUUUUAUUUUAUUCCCUCACCCACAUGUUAUCAUUAAAAAAUAUAAAAUAUAAAUAUAAAUCUCUUUCUGCUUCACGUUUUUUUUUCCUUCCUCUCCAAUUACAAUUCUCUCCAAUCUCUAUAUUGAAGUCAAAUCCGUCGACGAGCAAUACAAAACAACACAAAGACAACCUCUAGGUUAAGUAAAAGUCUUUUAGUAUGAAGAAGUUGAGAUUCCAUCGUAAAACCAAUUGGUAAAAUGAGGAGUAGUCAAACUAUUUAUAAACACACGUAAGGUUCAACAUCGCAUCAAUAUGAGAUUCAUUCUCAACACAUCUCCCUCACGUGUGGCUAUUUUUAAGCCUAACAUAUGGACAAUACAACUCUGAUGACAUGGAGCUCGUAUAGCCAUUGGACUUAACACGUGGGACAACUUGUUCUUAUACCAUGAAGAAGUUGAUGUUCAAUCAUAAAACCAAUGACAAUAUAAGAAGUAGCCAAAUUACUUAUAAGCACAUACAAUAUCACUCUUUUCAUAAAUGUAAGAUUCAUUCUCAACAUAUUAUUAUUUUUUUUUUUUUACGACAGAAAAUAAUAUUCUAAACUACCUUAAUACAUGGUUGGGAAAUUGGAUUUGAACUCAAUGCAAAGCGAAAGACACACUGAUCAGUCUCUUCCAGUUAUGUGGCUCUACGUUUGCAAUGACAUCAUAGUAAAGAAAAAGAUGACUCAUAAAUCUCCGCCUACUAAUUAACAAAAACCCGUCCAGAUUCAGUAUGUCAAACUUCAACCACUCCCACCAUAAAACCAUUACAAAACCCCGUCCACUAGCAACCUUCUAAAAUCACAAUCAGCAGCCAUGGGAGAGGUUGAUCCAGCUUUCAUCCAAGACCCCGAGCACAGGCCAAAACUCUCCGCCACCGAAGUCAAAGGCAUACCCUUGAUCGACCUCUCUCUGAUAAACUCUCCACACUCCGUUUACGACCCCAGAGCCUUUGAAGGGCUUGUUGCAGAAAUAGGCAAUGCAUGCAAGGACUGGGGUUUCUUCCAAGUGAUCAACCACGGGGUUCUGUUAGAGAAGCGCCAAAGGAUCGAAGCUGCUGCUCGGAAGUUCUUUGCGCUGCCUUUGGAGGAGGAGGAAGAUUAGAAGGGAUGAAGGGAAUGUUGGGUUAUUAUGAUACCGAGCAUACCAAGAAUGUCAGGGACUGGAAGGAGGUGUUUGAUUUCACUGUGGAAGAGCCUACGUUAGUCCCGGCUUCGCCUGACCCGGAGGACAAGGAAGAGACGGAGUGGUAUAACCAAUGGCCGGAGUAUCCCCCUGAACUAAGGUAACUCAAUGAUCACUAAGAAAAUACUGAAUACAUACACUUUAAUUAGCAAUUGGUAAUUAUAUAAACAUGUACUUGUAAUCAAAAUUGUAUGAAUCUAAGAGUUAGACCGAAUUCCUUGACCAGGAAUGCUUGUGAAGAAUAUGCUCGAGAAGUUGAAAAUCUAGCUCUAAAGUUGAUGGGAUUAAUUGCCUUGGGCCUAGGCUUGCCGAAAGACAGGUUCAACAGCUACUUCAAAGACCAAACCAGUUUUCUCAGACUCAACCACUAUCCGCCUUGCCCUUCACCUCAGUUAGCUCUUGGCGUUGGCCGGCACAAGGAUGGCGGUGCUUUGACAGUGCUGGCUCAGGAUGAUGUUGGAGGACUGGAAGUGAAGAGAAAAACAGACGGAGUGUGGAUACGGGUUAAACCUACCCCAAACGCCUUUAUCAUCAAUGUCGGUGACGUUAUUCAGGUACCAAUCUUCGAACUUCCUAAGUCCUCGCAUUCAGCUUCAUUCGCAUAACAAAUGUAUAUGUUUAUGCAGGUUUGGAGCAACGAGAGAUACGAGAGCGUGGAGCACAGGGUGAUAGUGAACUCGGAGAAGGAAAGGUUUUCCAUUCCCUACUACCUCAACCCAGCUCACUACACACAAGUCGAGCCAUUGGAGGAGCUGAUCAAUGAACAAAACCCUGCUAAGUACAAGCCCUACAGCUGGGGAAAGUUUAUUACUCACAGAAAGCUCAGUAACUUCAAGAAGCUUAACACCGAAAACAUCCAGAUUUCUCAUUUCAGAAUAUCGGAAUAAUUUGAUUCCAAGGAGCGUUCUGAGCGAUGAGAAUGGGAUUUUAGCUUCCUGCACAUGCCAUGCUGUGUAUAUAUCCACCCAGAGAAUAAUACCUCCUCCUGUGUUGAAAUUUAACUACAAAGCUAAAAAAUAUAUCAUUUUACCUCCUUUAUAAGCUCUGUCCAAAAAGAAUCAAAUCAACUUAGUAAAGAACAGAACAAGAGCUCUUGAUCAAGUCCAAAAUUCUGCAAUAUUGUAUGUUGAAAGUUAGCAUCCUGCCACAAAUGCCAUCUAAUCUAUCUCAACCUUAGUUGAAUUUUUAUUUCCUUCGACGUUUGCGACGGCAUCCUGUAAAGAAAAAGACAAUAAGAACAAUAGUAACACCAUAUGAUGGUGUUAUCAUCAUAAAAUUUCUCCAAGGCCAGCACGAACUGUCACAACCUUCCAAAAUAACAACUGACAAAAACCUAUCCAGAUGAUAAAACUUCAAUGACAGUCACAUGAUAAAACCUGCCAUUAUUCUAGUAGCAUUCUUGCACAAAAGAAAACCAUUGAGUUGCUUUCUAUCCAAAUCAAAAUCACCUACCAUGGGAGAGGUUGAUCCAGCUUUCAUCCAAGAUCCUGAGCACAGGCCAAAACUCUACCAUUGAUUGACUUGUCUCCCAUAAACACCCCGGACAACAUUUCUGGCCCAAUGCAUGCAAAGAUAGUAGUGCUCUGACCGUGCUGGCUUAGGAUGAUGCUGGAGGGCUGGAGGUGAAGAGAAAAGCAGAUGGAGAGUGGAUACCGGUUAAACCAACCCCAAAUGCCUAUAUCAUCAGUGUGGGUGACAUUUUUCAGGUUCCGCUGAUAGGAUUAAAGCACACCACAAAGUAGCACACAAUUGUCCUAUUAAUUUUCUUUAUUAACACUAAGAUAUUUUCAAUUCUAGCAUAUGAAAAUAAGGAUCUUUCCCGCAGAAGAUUGUUUUAUGUAAUGACUUAAAGUAUCACAAAAACAGGUUUGCUGUCCCUACUGACCAGCCACUGGAAAAUAAUUAUUAGACCGACUUACAAUUAUCUAAAUUCAAUGAACUUUUAUGGGCAGACACUAGGCACACAGAGGUACAGUGUCACAAAUAUUUGGGAUUUUUGGAGUUGAUUUGUUAUUUAAAUUAAAUCGAACAAAAACAUGACAGAAACAGAUUUUAAAUUAUAAAAAUAGAUUGUAUUUCACAAAUUAAGAAAAUGAGUUAGGGGAAGUUCUAUCCACCACCAAAUAAUCAUGCAAACAUGUUAUGUUUCAUUCAAAUUCCUUUUAUUUCCGGAUGAAGAUGCUUAGGUCGGUUCAAUGUUAGAACAUAAUCUAUUACUCUUUCUUACGUUGUAUGUUAAGAGAAUGGCAUUUUCAAUGUAACUUAGUCCCUAGCAUGCAAUCUAGAAUGGUGUGUUCAUAGAUUUAACAAGUAGAAAUCAUUAAGAACAAAAAGAGUUUGAGUCAUCACAAAGCAUCGUAAGUAUUGGCGUUGUCUUACUUAUCCUAGAAAUUGGUUCACAUGUUAAUCGUAAUUAACAAGUACUACUUUAUAACAUAUGUAGGUCCUCAUUCAAAAAUGGCAGGCACACACAUAUGCAUAGUAUUAGAAUUCUAGAUAUGCUUACUACGUAUGCAUCCAUAGAGAACACAUAGAGAAUUCAUUGCUGACAUAAGUAGUGAACUAAUUUUCAUCUUUUCAUAAAAGAAAUUGAAACAAAAUGUCAUAACAAACUUGCAAUCAUAUUCGAAGCUUCAAAACAGCCCGUAAGUAGUAAAAAUUUACUUACACAUUAUUCUCAAAUUAAACCAAAAGUAAGACAUGAGUUUGAGAAGAUAGAACCGAAAGAAGAGAAUGUCAAGAUUUCCUCCUUCCUCUAUUGCUUCCCGUUAGCUUCCAAUGCAACUGCCCUUUUGUUUUCUCUUUUUCUUUCUUGCCGCUGCAACCUGCAGCCUUCUCUUUUUUUUUUUUUUUCUAAAAAAAAAUUAUUUCCAUAAAACUCUCCUUUAUUUCCUACCCCAACGUUCCUUUAAGCCAAAUCCUUGCUGCAUUAUUUACUUCUCCAUAACUCCCCCUGCUAAUAGCAAUUUAGUGAUGACAAUAAGUGAGAGGAAAUGGUAAAACAAUUGUAACUUUUUGGGUAGCCUUUAUGCCAAUUACUCCCACUUAAUCCUCAUCUUUAAUUCCAUUUCCUUUGAUAUUUAAAUAUGUGUCAGCUGGCUUGUUCUUGGCUGCAUCAAUUUUGGCUGCUAGAUUUAUUGGGUUUAUUGCUUUCAUUGCUUUCUCGUUAGUUACAAACUGCUCAGCUGCUAGGGAACCUCUCAGUGUUAAAACAGGCAUAACUUCUUCUGAAAACAUGCUCCAGAAAAUAGACAUCUGUAUAUUUCCAAGCAUAUAAGGCUCAUUCUCUAUUUCGUUCUGAGUUAUUCGCAACUCGCUUCCAAAGUCAGCUUAUCUGCUUAAGCAGUUUUGACGAAUUUGUUAUUUAAACUCCCACUUGUCCUAUUUUUCUCUUCUUUGCUUAACAAUUCCUUCAAAACACAAAAACAAAAUAAAUAGCUCAAAAAUAUAAGGAACUAACUAAGUAAAGACAAGUGAGUUUGAUGUAAAAUAUAUAUAAAUAUGAACUUAUCAUCCUCUCUCCAAACUUAAUACUAGGAACUUAUGUGCAGGAUGCUUGACUACGCAUUCUGAUUUUGGUAGGCAGUACGUGGCGAUCUUAUGUGCAGAUUAUUUAGAAAUUUCCUAGUAGCCAAACUUGCUUUCGACUUCCAACAUAAGGACCAAAGGACAUGCACAAGAAUUUAGAACCAUUUUGAGCAAUGACAGAUAUGAGAGUUUGGAACACAGAGUGGUGGUGAAUUCGAAGAAGGAAAGGUUUUCCAUUCCAUUCUUCGUCAACCCAGCACACUACACCAUAGUCAAGCCUUUGGAAGAGCUCGCAGAUGAACAAAAUCAAGCGAAAUACAAGCCGUACAACUGGGGAAAGUUUUUCAGUCAUCGAAAGCUAACUGAUUUCAAGAAAAACAGUGCUGAAAACAUGCAGCUUUGUCAUUUCAGGGUAUCAGAAUAGCACCGAUUGGUUAUAGUAUUAUUUCAGCUUAUUGCAGAUACAACACAAUGCGUGUUAUACGAAAUAAUUUGUUGUUGAGAAGUAACCAGUAAGGAACUUGUGAAACAUGGAAUGGUUGAUGCAUCAGAUGAGCAAUAUAUGUGUAGUUUUGCUUCAAAAACUAAAGGCAUAUUUCCAUAGAACCCUUUUAGAAAAUCAAUGUAUGGGAUACAAGCAAGCAUCUAUAUUACUCAAUCAAAAGAGUCACUGGUUAGUUCUAUGUUAAACUGCUAAUACUGAAAGGAACUCGAAAUCCAAAUCCCAAGUUCCUAACCUAUUUUCCGACCCACUCUCACCACUUGGAACGUCCAAAGGAACUCGAAAUCCAAAUCCCAAGUUCCUAACCAAGUCAAUCAUCUUUGUGGUUUACAUGGACUUGUUGGUUAGACGGUUCAAAUUUUUACAUUACAGGGUAUAAAUAUGUGAUAUGAUGCUAUGAUUGUAUCAUAAAUCACAUACUGUAAACCUGUACCACAUUUCUACAUUUCUAAUCAAGGUGGACUUCACUUACUAGUUAAAAAGCAAUCAGUACUAGACAAAUUUGCAGGUGGUUCAGUAUUUGGCCAACUAAAAGGGAACAAAAGGCUUUACAUGUCAAAGUCUGGUUGGUUAGUCCAAGCACGAAUGAAUACAAAAAUAAUACACAUGAGCGCGGAUCAAUUCUUUGACGAUCCUACAAGAUAUGACAUUGAAAAGUUGCUCUCACCAUCUUCCACAUUCUCAAGCAUUUGGCAUCAGCAAAAUUAACAGUAAAAGACCAAAUGCUUGUUUAUUCAAGUAGUAACCUCUAAGUCUCUGGACAUGCAAUUUUAAAUUUAUCAGUCAAAUUCAACAGAAGUUUUUGGUCCAACCCAAACUCUCUUUACUUUUUUAACUCAAUAGUAUAAAUACAUAAAACAAUGAAUCUGUUUUCCAAUCAAUUUGGUGGUGACCAAACCACCAGAAACACAAACAGAUAUAGAUCAAAGAAAGCAAAAUUUGAUUCCAUCAAUCUCUACUUUUCUCAUCGUUCUUCUUCUUUGUGUAGCAAAUGAAAUCGAGUCGGCACCUACAAACCCCAGCAAGCAGCACUUUGUGUUAGUUCAUGGGUCAUGCUUUGGUGCUUGGUCUUGGUACAAGCUUGUAACCCUAAUCAGAUCAUCCGGUCACAACGUCACUGCCCUAGACCUAGCUGCUUCCGGGGUCGAUCCACAGCAGGCAAAAGAUCUGCGAUCGAUUUCCGACUACUUGAAGCCCUUGAGGGAUUUCAUGGAAGCUGUUGAUGGAAAGGUGAUCCUUGUUGGUCAUAGUCUUGGCGGGUUGGCCAUUUCUCAAGCCAUGGAAAGAUUUCCAAGUAAGAUAUCUGUGGCUAUUUUUGUCACUGCCUUGAUGUCAGGCCCGGCCAACAUUUCCAGCCUUAAUAAAGAGGUAUCUAGUUGCACUUUUUUAUAUUGCAAAAAGCCCCAUCAUAUAACACUAAUGGCACUUUUCGUAACCGUAAUCAACUACAGAAAAAUUAGAUUGAGGAGAAUCAAAAUCCAAAUUUUCAUAAAAGUUGUUUACUAAAGUAUUUUAGAAUCGGAUUAGAAAUAGUAUUCAAUCUAUAAAACUGUUUACUAAUUCAACAUAAUCGGAAUAUAAAUUAUGAGAAUUACUAAAAUGCCCUUGCCACAAAUCAUUUUAUAUGCUUAUUUUCUUUAAUACAAUUUGAUAUUAUCUCUACUAAUUAAUGAAACCCUCUUUGUCAACUAAAAGAUGAUGAAAAGACAACUUAGUCUUCUAUCACAAAAAAAAUAAUGGGCAAUAAUGUAAUUUCACAUGUCUAAAUUUUACUAUUUUUUAUUGAAGUCUCACCCAUAUGUGACGUUAAAAUACCUCUGACUCCACCCCCCACGUUCUCUCUCUCUCUCUCCCCCCCCCCUUCUCAUGCACUCUGCAGUCGCAUCUUCUUCCUUUGGUUUUUCUCACCAUUUUUUCCUCUCCUUCUCCUUCCAUCUGUUACCUACCCAGAAAUAUCAUUCUACAAAAUGGGGCAUAAAGAUUAUUCCCUCUCCUCCUUCCUCUCUCUAUUACCUACCCAAAAAUAUCAUUUUAUGAAAUGGGUCAGAAGGGUUAUUCAUCCCCUCCUUUCUUUGUUUUUAUUUCCUUUUCUUACCUCUCUUCCUUUGUUUUUCCCAUUUUCCUCUGCUCAUUCUCUUUGUUACCUACUCCGUCGUUGGUACAGGUUAGAAUUUAGGGGAAUAGACCUUCAGAUCCGGGAAUUCACGUGCACGCAACUACACGCUGGGCCAAAUUUUGCAGGUUGUGCUGAUUAGUCAAAACCUAGAAGUCAUGCAACGGUGCAAGGGCAACUAAGCUUCUGUCGACGACUUCGAACUUCACUCUGGUACUGUGCAUGUGAAGAUGGCGGUGCAGGAUGCUGAAGCUGUAAGGGAGUUGGCGAGAAAGAGAAACAUAUGAAGGGGAGGCUUAGGCAUUGAAGCGUUUUAAGGGCAUUUUGGGAAGGAAAGUAUGAUUCCGAAUGGAGGCUUGGACCCUACCAUGUUCUCAUUCCCAUAAGGAUUAGUAAACACUGAAAUAUUUUCAAUUAGGGAAUGAUUCCUCUUCAUUUCAUCUCAGGGUAAAUCGCCAAAAUGGUCCCUAAGAUUUGCAUAACUCAUCACUUUGGUCCUUGAGAUUCCAAAUCGAUAAAAGUGGUCCCUGAGACUGUCCACCAUCCAUCAUUUUGGUCAUUCCAUUAAAAACUCAGUUAAGUGUCCCGGAGCUCUUGGCCGAAAGUUUGGGCAAUUUUCAACGCUUCGUAACUCAAUCGUUUCUUACCCAAAUUCGACUCAUAAUAUAUCGAAAUGAAGAUAGGAAAGUAUAAAAUACAAUUUUACCUAUUUUGUAGCCUAAUGGUUGUCGGGCCAAAAAAUAGCCUCAAAGUUGACUGGUCCGAGUGAAAACUUGAAAACUAGUCGAAAACUGGGUAAAUUUUAAACGCUCAUAACUUCUUCAAUACUCAACGAAAUCAAGUGACUAAAAAUGAAAAUUAUACUUCUCGACGAGACGAAGAGAAUGAUACCUUUUUAGAUGGCUAACUCGCUGUGGUUUGGACAAAAAACAGCUCGAAAAUGGCUAACUCGAUACCAAGAUAGCCACUUUCAAGCCUUUUUUCGACCAAACCACGGCGAGUUAGCCAUCAAAAAAGGUACCAUUCUCUUUGUCUCAUUGAGAAAUAUGAUGUUUGUUUUUGAAUCACUUGAUUUCGUUGAGUAUUGAAGAAGUUAUGAAUGUUUAAAGUUUACCCAGUUUCCGGCGAGUUUUCAAGUUUUUACUCGGACCAGUCAACUUUGAGGCUCUUUUCUGGUAAUCUUCGACAACCAUUGGGCUUUGAAAUAGUUAUAAUCUUAUUCUAGACUUUCCUAUCUUCAUUUUGAUAUAUUAUGGGUCGAAUUUGGUUAAGAAACGAUUGAGUUAUGAAGCUUUGAAAAUUGCCCAAACUUCAUGCCACGAGCUCCGGGGCACUUAACGGAGUUUUUAAUGGAAUGACCAAAAUGAUGGAUGGUGAACAAUCUCAUGGACCACUUUUAUUGAUUUGGAAUCUCAAGGACCAAAGUGAUGAGUUAUGCCCUCAGGGACCAUUUUGGCAAUUUACCUUUUCAUCUCAUAAUCGAUGUGUAAACACGCCCUAAGGGUAUGUUAUCCACACACUUUUUUUACUUCUUACACACCUUUGUUAAUUUUUGUUCUUUGAUCUUCUUUAGUUCAGUUGAUCUGACGGUCGCAAAUUAAGAUGGUGUGUAUAAAGUAAAAAGGGAUGUGUGGAUAGCACACCCUAUAACACUAUUGUUUUCUGUAAUGCUUUGGCAUAAUAGAGAACCAGCUUUAUUAGAACAUCUCCAACCCUUAGGUUAAAACCUAAAAUUUAGGAUUUAACCCAGAAAUAGUUUUUCUGCUCCAACGGUCUAACCCUUCUAGGUUAAAUUUUUAGUCCCGAGAUUUUUAAAUAAUAAAUUUAGGAUCAUUUUUUGCUUAAAAUAACAUUAAAAAAAUUAUGUGGACUAUCCUAAUUUAAUUUUAUAGACAUUUUAACCUAAAAAUAUUUAGAUUCCAAUAAGUAUCGAAAAAUCACUAAACCAACACUAUGAAACUCGUGAAACACUAUGAAAGAAUCUGAAACAUAUUAAAAGAUAUAUUUUUUUUAAUUAUUUUAGCCAUUAAAUUUAAAUUUAGACCGUUAGAUCUUUUAUUUUUUACCUUUGCAUUUGAUCAUAUUAUAUCUUAGUUAUGACAGCCCGUCCCUGAUUUUAAGAGUUUUAAAGUUUUAAUAAAGGAUUUUACAAAAAUGCACUUUGAGGCACGCGCAUUAUUCAAGGUUAAUCGUUGUGUCGUGCCAUCUAAGAUUUGUUUUCUUGACUUAUCCUCGUAGUACUCGUCGCUACGAACGUGGGGACGCUGACGGUUCGUUAUUUGGAAUUAUAACGAAAAAGAUUUUAAAGUUUGAAGUUUGGGCAUUUUAUAAAUUUUAUUAUUAAAAUUUGGAUGGCCCAGAUUAAAGGAAAUUUGAAAUGGAUGGCUUGGAUGUAAGGGAAAUAAAAAUAAAAAUAAAAAGAUGUAGAAGGGUUUUGUGGUGUGUGUAUGUAACGGGAAAUGGGGAAGAAAAGAGAAGAAGAAGAAGAAGAGGGAAGGAGGAAGUCUGUUGCCCAAUCAGAGGAGAGGAAGGGAGAGACUGCCCAAUCAGAAGCAGGAGCAAGGAAGGAAAGGAGAGAGUGUGGCGUGGGGGGGAAACGGGGAAACGAGUUCCCCAACCCGCGACCCGUGUGCACCCAUUUCCAUCCCUUCAUAUUUUCCGGUGGUUUUCCACCGGAUUUCUCACGAAAUUGGACUAAGAAACCAUCCCCAAUCAUUCCCUAGUCUUUUCCUCUUCCAUUUUCAAUCAAAUUUUAUGGGAUUUGAACUUGAAUUCGAGUAGAACGAAAAUAUGGGUUCCGAGGAUGCCAUGGCAAAAUCCGACGAUCGUGAAGGUAAUCCAACAAAUUGCUACCACCACUAGACUCCCCUAGAACCCAGGAUCAAAGCCCAGGCAGUGGUGGAGGCGUCGGAGCAAGUUUGAAGGCCGAAUCGAAUCACACCCAUUUCUAGGGUUUGCACGGAAUUUGAUGCAUUUGAAGUGUUUCCAGGCCAAGUUGGCCUUGGCCUCAGGUAUAAAUUUUACUCUACUCAUUGAGAUCUUCAAUUCUUUAUUUUUUGAGAAUUUUUUGAAAUAGUUGGAUUUUCCGGCGAGCCGGGGCGGCCGACCGCCACCCGCGGCGGCCCGUGCGGCGGCGCGUGGCCAAUGUCAUUCUUAGCAUGUGUUUAAGGUUCUAGGUUCAGUUUUGAUAAUUGAUGGACGUAAAUUGAAUAAUUGAACCUAAGUUCGUUACGAUUCGUGGUUAGGUGAAAAUGUGAAUUGACGAUCCGACCGUUGGAUCGUCACCAAACUUUGAUACGUUGUGAUACGUAAUAUUUGAGGAUUAUAGGAACUUAUGGAUUGGGAAUCCGAAUUACGGAUCUUCCGGAAUUGGAGUUGUAAGUUCAUAAAAUAGAAUGUUAACGGUCUCUUGGUUUUGGCAAUUGACGGAGAUCCGACCGUUGGAUGGUAAGGAAAUUUUAGGAUGUUGUUCUAGAGAUAUAUUGUGUACCUCUGGAAGUUAUGGAUUUGAAAUCUGAGUUGCAGGUCUUCCGGAUCGAACUGCAUAGUGAUGUGUUUUAUAUAAAUUAUAUUCUAUCGAUAUGAUUUCUGAGGUUGGAUUUGAUUAUUGUUCUAGGCGUCGAUCGUCAUGACGCCUUGAUGUGUUGUGCUAGGGAGUUGUUGGGCGAACUCCAGGUGAGUGGGCAGUACUUUCUAUUUAUACCUAUAUACUAUGAAUUUUCCCAAAAAUUGAGUUUUAAUGAAAGUAUGUUUCUAAAAUGCCAUGCAUGCAUAAUAUGAAUGAUAUGAGCUAUAUGAAUUGAUAAUUGAUGCAUAUAUAUAUAUAUAUAUAUGUGAAUUGGUGUUGUGGACGCACAGGUAAGUAUCAGGUGAGUUUUAUAGUAUUCAUGUGAAUCAUUGAUGAUGUAUAUUAUGUUGAUAGCUCAUAACCUGCAAUCAUGGUGUUAGUGCUUAUAUUAUUCACCUCGCACCGCACGCUGACCUUGGAUCCAAGUAGGUGCAUGUCGUACAGACCAUGAGAGGGUUCCGACUGAUAGGUGACCUUAGAUUAUGUGCACAGAUGAUUGAUGAGAGAAGCACUAGAGCGUAUUAUUACACCAUUCAUGUCGUACAGACUACUUCAAGUAGUUCCGACUUAUAUGCAGUGUAGUGCCGUACAGGUCACCGAGGUGACUCCGGUUGGAUUGGAUGUUGAGCUAUAGAAUUAACCGUACAGGACCAACUGCAGGGUCUCCGAUUAAUUCACCAUUUCACCUGUUACAUUGAUGCAUCAUUCAUUCUGUUUUUGAAAUUAUAACAUGGCAUACUUUCUGGUUUUUGAGAAAAAUUGAUGAUUUGAGAUUUUUGAAAAGUAUUAUGCUAUUAUGCUAUUUUCUGGGAAAGUAUACAGGUUUUACAGCGAGGGGUUAGAAAUGUUUUAAAUGAAAAGUUUUCGAAAAACUUUGUUUUACUGACCCACUCAACUUUGUUUUGCGCCCCUCCAGGUUCUUGAUAGCAGAGCUUUGGUGGCCACGAGGAAUCAUACGGUGUUCUGACAGAAUUCACAAAAGUAUGACUCACCCUCGGGUGUUUCAUCUUAAUAAUUGUAUUUUUUUUAAAGCUUCCGAACUGUGUAAAUGGUUACGUCACACUCACGUGACGGCCAGCACACCCUCAUUCGAGACAGGGUGUGUCAUUAGUUGUUGAAUUCAAUGAAUUUAUAAAGGAAGACUUUAGAUAUAGUCCUUAACUAUAAAUAUUCUUUGACUGAAACCUUGUGGGUUUUUAAUUUUUGAUCAAGGUCCCUGAAAUUAAUGUGAUAAUUUAUUUCUAUGUACGUUACUAUAUUUUUUUAAAUUAAAAAUUAAAAAUUUUAGUUGUUUAUAUAAAUGAGAUUUUAAAUAAAAAACCAUAACUUGUGGAAUUAAAAAUAUUAAAAUAUAAAUAUACCAUUGUGUGUGUUUAUAUAUAUAAACAUGGGUACACUCAUCAAAAUUAACCAAAAAAAAUUAUUGUAUCAAAACAUGGGUACAUUCUUCAAAAUCACAAAAAAAGAAAAGAAAAAGAUAUUAGGCUUAAUAACAUUAGUAAAUUUCUUAGAUUAAACUUGACAUGGAUACAUUUUAAAAUCAAAGAAAAAAGAAUUAAUGUACCCAUAUAAGUUUAAAAAUGGAUUAGAAAAAAAUUGAAUAGGUUUUAUAUAUAAAAAAAGGUACAUUUUACAUAUAACAAAUUGAUAUAUUUAAGAAUGAGUACAUUAAAAAGUUUUACAUGAAUAGGUACAUAUAAUUAGCAUGGGUACAUUUAGCAAAAUAAAAAGUACAAAUAAAAAAAAUAUGGGUACAAAUACAAAUAAACUUUAAAAAAAAUGGGCACAAAAAGAAAUUAAUAUAUGGGUACAAAUUAAAACUAAAAUAAAAUUGGUAAAAAUUAAAAAAGAAUUACAAAUUAAAAAUGGGUACAAACUAAAACUAAAAAUAUAUGAUAAAAAAUUAGUCAUAAAUAUAAAUAUACUAAUUGAAACAUUUUUAACAUUAAAUGAAUAUAUUUAGAAAUAAAAAAAAUAUUUUAUUAUUGAAAUAAUUAGUGAUGUUAUUAAUACCCAAGGACCAUAAUAAAAAAUUGAAAAUGAAUAGGAUUUUAAUCAUGGAGUAGCAAAAGGAAUGAUGAAAACCUAAUUUCUCCAUUUAUAAAUAUAAAACUAAUAAAAAACACAUAUAUGGUGGGCCUGCCCACUAACCUAGGGAGAGUUAUGGCCUAAAUUUUCCCCAAAAGUGAGUUUUGGGUUAAAAAUUAGGCCUAAUCGGAUAAAUGGUCCUUGUGGUGACAAGAUAAUCGGAAUAUAGCCCUUGUGGUAAAAAAAUUAGGAUUUAAACCCUCGUGGUAUUAGUCCGUUAGCAAAUUUAGUCCAAAAGUAAUUUUUCCAUUAAAUGUCAAUUAAAUUUAGCGAUAAAAAUGUACAUUAAAAUCAAGUGAUGGAAGCUCAAUAAAAUCAUAUCCAAUUCAAUUCAAAUCCGAUGUAUUCAUGCCAUGCAAUCAAAGAUCAAUGCCUUCUUCAAACCCUCUUCUUCUUCUUCACCCAAACCAGCUGCCCCACCUCCGCUUGUUAACGAUGGAAACGACACUUCAAAGUCUUUGUUUUUAUUUUACAUUGUAAAAGUAAACUUGUAUUCCUCACCAACACAAAGACAAAGAGGCUUGCCAUAAAAUAAUAAUGGCUAGGUUGUAUAUUGGCUACAUAUAUUUAUGAAUCCAAUGAUGAACAUAAUUUAGUCACAAAUUGGACGCCUGGGAAAAGACGCAGCACCAACACUACCACUCCUGCAAGCGAAGAGCUCCAAGCCCGCAAAGGUUUUUUUUUUUUUUUGUUCUGGGAAUUGAUUUAAUUUCUACUGUUUGCGUGCUAAGAAACUAUAUAUCAAUUUUUUUUUUCUCUGGGUUCUUGAAUCUACAAGGACAAAAAUAAGAAAGAAAAUACAUUCAUUUAAUGCAACUAGGAAUUGUAACAGAGAGCAAUAGUGUUUCGAACGCUGUAUGUUUGAUCCCGUGGAGUGUAUGUAACAGAGAGACCAGAGAGGCAAGGAAGAAGAAGGUGCACAAGUUAAAGUACAUGUUUACCCUUUAAUUAACAAACAUUUAACAAAAAAAAAUUGGGUAAAAGAUUGUUUACUACCCUCAUAUUUUGUGGUUUUCAACAUUUAGUACAAAAAGUUUUUUUCGUCUCAGAUUCAUACCUAAAGUGUAAAUUUUGGGACAGUCUCAUACAUCUGUUAGUCAAACUGUUAAAUAUACCGUUAAUUGUGAUGUGGAGCCCAUGUGGACAAUGACUGGGCGCCACGUGUCAUCCACGUUUUUUUCUUUCUUUCUUCUUCCUUCUUCUUCUUCCUCCGACUGCAACUUUUUUUUUUCUUCCUCCUUCUCCUUCUUCCUUCCUCCUUCUUCCUUCCCCUUCCUUCCCAUUCUUCCUUCUUCUUCCUUCUCCUUCUCCUUCUUCUUCUUCUUCCUCCGGAAGUUUUUUUUCUUCUUCUUCUUCUCCUUCUCCUUCUUCUUCUUCUUCCUCUGGAAGUUUUUUUCUUCUUCUUCUUCUUCUUCUUCUUCUUCUUCUUCUUCUCCUUCCUCUUUCUUCCUUCCUCUUCUUCUUCUUCUUCGUCUUCUUCUUCUUCUUCUUCUUCUUCUUCUUCUUCUUCUUCCUCUGAAUCUGCCCAGAUUCAAUUUUUUUUUCUUGUUCUUCUUCUUUCUUCUUCCUCCUUCUUCCUCCUUCUUUUUCCUUCUUCUUCUUCUUCUUCCUCCGACUAUAACUUUUUUUUUUCUUCUUCCACCUCCUUCUUCCUUCCCCUUCUUCCUUCUUCUUCUUCUUCCUCAUCCGAAUCUGGGGAAGAUGAAGUUUUUUUUUUUUUUUUUGAGGAAGAUGAAGAAGAAGAAAAGGAAGAAGAAAAAAAAAAGUUGCAGUCGGAGGAAGAAGGAGAAAGAAAAAAAAAACUAAAUCUAGGCAGAUUCGGAGGAAGAGGAAGAAGAAGAAGAGGAAGGAAGGAGGAAGGAGAAGGAAGAAGGAGGUAGAAGAAAAAAAAAAAAAAAACUUCCCUAGAUUCAGAGGAAGAAGAAGAAGAAGAAGGAGAAGAGAAGAAGGAAGAAGGGGAAGAAGGGGAAGGAAGAAGGAGGAAGGAAGAAAGAGAAGGAGGAAGGAAAAAAAAGGUUGCAGUCGAAGGAAGAAGAAGAAGAAGAAGGAAGAAGGAAGAAAAAAGAAGAAAAAAAAAAUGUGGAUGACACGUGGUGCCCAGUCAUUGUCCACAUGGGCGCCACGUCACAAUUAACGACAGAUUUAACAGUUUGACUAACGGAUGUAUGAGACUGUCCCAAAAUUUACACUUUAGGUAUGAAUCUGAGACGAAAAAAACUUGAUGUACUAAAUGUUGAAAACCACGAAACAUGAGUGUGGUAAACAAUCUUUUACCCAAAAAAAUUACUUUUGGACUAAAUUUGCUAAUGGACUAGCACCACGAGGGUUUAAAUCCUAAUUUUUUUACCACGAGGGCUAUCUUCCGAUUACCUUGUCACCACAAGGACCAUUUAUCUUAUUAGGCCUAAAAAUUAUAUUUGGCCCAAGGGUUGGAGCAAGUUUGAGUAGGUUUAGAACCAUAAAUUUGAGUUUUACUUUAAGGGUUAGAUUAGGUCUCAGAACCCACAAACUCUUUGAACGCUCUUUAUAGAAAAACUUUUCCAAACGAGCUCUAAUUAUGUAAAUACUUUGUGGAGAACCACUUAAUAGGUGUUUUCUCAUGAAUUUCUUUCAAGUGGAUUCUUAUUUAUUAUUUGAGUUAUAAUGAUUUUUUUUUUUAAAUUUUAAUAUCUUGUAGAAGCAAUUGGUUUUUUAAAUGUUUUAUAUGCUUCUAAUAAAUAGACUGUUGCCACUUAAUUUUUAAUAGGGUCAAAUGCUAUUUAUCUCUACUUAUAAGUAGUAUGUUUCAAGUUCAAAUCUCGUAGAUAAUGAGUUCAAACUAAAUUAUUAUGGCAGACUCAUUGUGUGAUUUGGUUCAAAUCUCGUAUUCCUUAUUAAAAUAUAUAAUUAUUUUAAAACAUAAUAAUAAAUGUAUUACUACUGAAUGUUUACUUACUUGGAGUUGGAGAAACAACAAAUGGGCGUGGGAAAAACAUGGUCAUCCCAAAAAUGAUGUGAAUGAGAAUCAGACCCAUUAUUAUUAUGUUUUUUUUAAGAAAGUAUGAUAUUCAUUAAAACAGCUGAGAAUACGUAUAAAUUGAGCAUAAUGUGCAUACUAGGCCUCGAUAAAAACCUUGUCAGGGAUUUCAACCUAAACUAAGAAAAAAAGCGUCCCGCACAACAAUAGACCUAUCCUCAAAUGAACAAUCAAAUGGAAAUUACAACCCUUCUUCAAAUGAACAAUCAAAUGGAAAUUACAACCCUUCUUCAAAUAAAAUGUCCUGAAUCAAAUCUGAAGGCUCCUCGAACCACACCACCUCCUGAGAAGCCCCAAGGCCCAUACAAGCUAGACGAUGCGUGAUAUGAGCAUAUUUAUGCGACUGAGUUAGCUUGUUCUCAUGCAUUUAUGUUGUUAUUUCUUAGUUAAUUAUGUAUUUUAAGCUAUUUUCGUGUGUUUGUAGGUGCAAAGGGUUAAUGUGGCAAAGAAGUGCAUUUUGGAGCAUUUUGGAGCAUUUUUGGGCAUGGAAUGGAUAGCUUAUGCUUGGAGCAAAAGGAAUGGACGAAAUUUGAAGUUUGUGCAUCAUCCUCUCCCUAUAAAUAACCAUUUUAGCACACUCAUUUCACCCAACACAUUCACCUACCACUACAUACACUCAUUUCACCUAAUACAUCCACUCAUUACAACCACCCAACACAUUCACCUACCACUACAUCCACUCAUUUCACCCAACACAUUCACCUACCACUACAUCUACUCAUUACCACCACCUACUACAUCCUCUUCCUAGCCUAUAAAUACAUUCAUCCACCCUUCAUCAAAAGAGAGAGAUAGGCCAUCAUCCAAAGACACUACAUUUCACAUCUCACAACUCUCCACCCUUCACCAUAACUCACAUAUAUCCAUCCACCACCACAAGAGACCAUUCAUUCACCACUCACACCUUGGUGCCGCAUAUUUGCAAGGAAGGAGGAUUGCUUGGAGUUGUGCUAGUCAUUCAAUUUGGAUUGCUGGAGCAUUUUAGGUGUAUUCUACUUUGGUUUUCAAUGUCUAAUUUCAAUUGUUUCUGUUUAAUUGCAAGUAUGAGGAACUAAACCUCUUUUGGCUAGAGGAGAAUUCGAAACCAUGAAUAUAUUUGCAAUAUGAAUUGAUUUCUUCCAAUUGUGAUUUGAUAAGUUGUGAUUGCAAUUCAAUUAUCUAUUUUAUUCAUAACAGAUUUGUGUAUGUUUAUUAAGGAUGCAUACUUAGUUUUCAUGCAUGAAUUUGAUGCUAGGAUAUAAAUAAGUUUCACCUAAUCGUUACAAGUUUAUAUUCAUGAGUAGUGAAGGUUGCUUGUCACGAUCGCGUUAAUUGAAUUCUUGGCAAACGUAUCAUGCAUUCAUAGUUACAAUUGUCUCGUCAACGCUUAUGAUUUUCAUGGAACGUAAUGAUCUUUAAUUGUAUCUCUAUUAUGCAUUCAUAUAGGGGACUUUUAGAGAAUGAUUUGGGUUGUCGCAUGCAUUCAUCCAAUUCAAUGAGUAAAGGAAAAUCUGAGGGUUAAUUUGUGCAUCACGGCUAAUCUGGGGUGUUGAGCAUCAUAGUUUAUUGAAAAGCAAUUGGAGAUUGAUUUGUAUGCAAGUGUGUCAUGUGUGGAGAAAGACCUUCUAGCCAGCCCAUCAUCCAUCCAAAACAACCAAUUUUGUGCAAAUCUGUUUAGUUCUAAUUUCUGUUUUGUUUUACUUUAUUUUCGUCCAAAACACAAUUCCCCUUUACUUUAGUAUAUCUAAUUAGUUAGAAUCUGUUUUAGUUUGUGUUUUUAAGUGUUUUGAGUCUAUAAAGUCUAGUUAAGUGUUUUUAAGUUUCUUUUUAUAAGUCAAUUUAGUUUAGAUUAGCAAUCCCUCCUAAUCCCCGGUCCAGAACGAUCCCUACUUAUACAUAUACUACAAUUGUCAAAAGAGGGUUUAAUUUGAGUGCUUAACUUUCAUCGCAUCAAAUUUUGGCGCCGUUGCCGGAGAUUAGCAACUUUGCUAAUCCCCCAUUGUUUCUUUUUAUUUCUUUUUCGUGUCUUUUGUUUUAGUUACUGACUUUGUUUCUUUUCUUGUCUUUUGUUUUUAGUUUUUGUUUUUGUUUUGUUUUGUUUUGUUUAUUUUACUUUUGAUAUUUGAUUUAGUUUUCUUUCCUUGAUUUCAGAUACAAGAGAAGUAAGACAUGGAUUUUGCUACCAUUCAAGCUCAAUUGGCAGAACUUACUUCUCAAUUGUCACAAUAUGCUGAAAGGACCACAAUGCAAAGUGUCCCUACAUGUGGUGUGUCCUAUGGGCAAGGAUAUCCAAUUCAGCAAUAUUCUCAAUUCACUGCGAAUGAAGAUGCUUGGGGUUAUCAAGGCCAUAGCCAAUCAUGGGAAAGCAUGUUUUCCAACGCUUACAAUUCAGAUUGGAGAGAUUAUUCAGAUUACAUAGAACCUCAACAAUUCCAACAAGAUGGAUAUUGGCAACAAGAAAAGGAGUUCCAUUCAAGACCUAUGCAGCCAUCACAACCUCAUAUACAAUAUGCUCAAUCAAACUCAGGUUCGUCAAUAGAUUAUGAUCGAAUUUUUGAUGGAAUAAAUUCUAUGGUGCAGGGCUCACAAAAUCAAAUCAAGGAGGCUCAACAAGAUGGAUAUUGGCAGCAAUCUGAUGAGUUUUAUUUAACACCUAUGCAGCCACCACAGCUUCCCUACAACAAUUCCAAUCAAAUUCAAGUAUGUCCACGGAUAGUGAUCAAAUUUUUCAAUUACUAACCUCUUUGGUGCAGGGGCAGCAAAAUCAAAAUGAAACAAUGCUCAAUCAAGCUAAGGAGAUGAGUUAAUUGAAAAAUCAACUUGGAGAGAUUAUGGAGUUCACGGCACAAAUUCAAGAGCAAAGUGAACUCUCCAACUCAACUAUUGAAAAUUUGAAGGAAGAUUUUGAAAUCCAUGAUGCUAUCACUUUGGGAAGUGCUAUGGAGGUUGAAGGUGAACCCAAGACAUCCAAACCAAGCCAAAACAUGGAUAAACAGCUGAUGCUCGAAGAAGAGGAGAAUAACAAGGCCACGGUAAGGGAAGAACCACCCUUACCGCAGCCCCAUAUGCCCUCUAUGCCGUCCACUACAAACAAGGUAGGCCUAAAUUCAAUUCGUCUUGACCCCGUUUCACCAAAUGUCCUUAUUCCUUGCAGGAUCAAGCAAUCCAAGGAAAAAAAGGGUGAGAAAGGUAUCUUCGAAACCUUUCCAAAGAAUCAAGAGCAAGAAGUAGAUGGGGAAUGUCUAGAAUUCAUCAAAGAGGAUGUGCUUGAGAUAACCAUUCCUAAAGAAGUUGAAUUUUAUGACACGGGACAAGUCCCAACCAUCACAUUCAAUCUGGCCAAGUCAAAUAUCCCUGAAACUUUCAAAAAAGUGGUGUUUGUCAUUAAGUUCUUGUCGGACAAAGCAAGUAAGUCAUCUUCUCCAAUUUUACAUACGUUUUCCACUAACUUGCUGAUUUUGAUGAUUCAGGCACCCACACUAGAAUUUACACCAUUGCCGGAUCACUUCAAGUAUCACCUUCCAUUCGAAGAUCACUUCUAUGGAACCUAGGGGAAUGUGACGGGAGGUAUCGUCCGGCUGCAAGACGUUAAAGAAAGCGCUUCUUGGGAGGCAACCCAUGUAUUCAAAAAAGGAAGAUCUAUGAAUCGCUCUACAAUCAGUUUUGCGUUUCUAAAAACCUUCCCUUUUCUGCAUUUCUAUUUUGCCAUGAUUGUCAUUUUUUAUUUUUGUUGUUUAUUUAAUUAUUUUUGGGUGUGGGUUUAUUUUUUGAAACAUUGAUAGAUAUGCAAGAUAUUCUUACAUUCAUUUUCAUGAAAAAAAAAGAACAUUAAGCAGGAAAUUACAAGAGGGAGCCUUCACAAAGGCUGCUUAGGAGAAAUCUCAGUAGUCGGCGGAGCCUCAGCAGUCGGCGGAGCCCCAAAAGAAGAAGGCAACGGAGGUUGAUCAUUUGGAGCUUCAGUACGCGGUGCAGCCCCAGAAGACUAAGGCAAAUGCUGUUGGAACAAACCCACAAACCUCCGAUGAUCAAGUAAAAUCUGACCAUCAGAUUCCUGCAUCUGAUCAAUUUUCCUCUUCAUAUUUGUGGCAUAGUUGUGUGCGAGCUUGUGCAACUGUUUAUUCUCAUGCUUGAGCCCUUUGAUCUCUUGUUUGAGACUCAUCACUUCAGCCGCCAACGAUUCAACUUGACGGGUUCGAGCAAAUAGGCGUUGGGCCAUGUUGGACACAGAACCCGCACACUGCACACUAAGAGCCAGAGACUCCUUAACAGCCAACUCAUCAGACCGUCUGGAAAGCAGUCUGUUAUCUUUAGGAGUGACAAGGUUCCGGGCCACCACGGCAGCGGUCAUGUCAUUCUUCAACACCGAAUCCCCAACGGUAAGAGGACCAGUAGGGGAUAUGAUGGAUGGGCGCCAUAUGUUGUCUGGAGAAGGCGGGACUGCCUCUUCACCAAGGUUUAAGUCAAAACAACAGUUGGAUGGGCCAGACAUUUUCACAGGUGCUAAAGAAAGAAAAGGCCGGACAAGUCAAGAUCGUAAAAGUGCAAUAAUAGAGUUUUUACAGGCAGAAAUUCAAGUGUGCUUUGAACGUUCUGCGUACCUCUAUAAAUAAGCACUCGAUGGGAUUUCAGAGAUCGAAGAGGCGAGCUCAGAAAUCGAAAAGGCCAACUAAAAAAAGAGGCGCUAGCUUUCUCAAAAGCUGAGCUUGCUCAGAAACCACGGCCAAUCUUCUUUUCCAGAUUUGUCCGCACUUGUCACAAGCAACUCGACGGGAUUUCAAAGAUCAAAGAGGCAAUUCCAAAUAUCGGAAAGGCAUCUGCUUUUGCAGACGUGCCAACAUUUGUCACAUGCAGAGUAAGCUUUGCAAAAAUCACGGGCAGUUUGUCGAAGCGCCGAUUCCAACCAUCUGAUUUUGCAGACGUGUCAACAUCUGUCACAUGCAGAGUAAGCUUUGCGGAAAUCACGGGCAGUUUGUCGAAGCGCUGAUUCCAACCAUCUGCUUUUCCCAACGUGUCAACAUCUAUCACUUGCAAAGUUAGCUUUACGGAAAUUACGGGCAAUCUAUCGAAGAUCUCCUGUGAAGUAGAAAGCACGUGAAGUUUACUAUUAAAUCAUCCAACGGUUGCUGAUAAGAGUGAAAGAAUAGUACCGGUUAUUAAUUCCUAUAAAUGUCAUCCUUCACCCUCAAUUGCAAGGUAGACAUACAUAACCCCCCUUCUUCUCAGAAAAUGCCUUUCCAACACACCUUCUCGAGUCACUCAGUGUUCCUAAUUCCUUGGGGUACCUCUGCAAAAGUAUUUCAUAUCAUGAAGGUUGAAAGCAAGAGUAUCUCAUAUCAUGCUUUCUCCCUGUCCUUCUCCUUGUCUUUGUUUUAGGACAAGGAGCAAGAGAGCAAUCAGCCAGCACUUGGUAUCAAUCUUCCGAUCUGGAACCGACUGCCUGGAACCCCUUCCUAAUUGCUUACCUAGCCUUGCUCUCGAGUACUCAUCUUCAUCAUCUUAUGCUUCUUCUUCGUCUACCACAUCUGCCUGGGGAACAGAUAAGGGAAGUGAAAAUGAUACCUCGAAGCAUGUGGAGACAAUUUACCAAUUCAUCCUCAGCUAGGGACAAGGAGAAACAAAGCAAGAGGUGGGCACUUGGAAAGAUUGAAGAAAGAAACAGACCAACAUCUCUACCUCGUGCCUGCCUGCCGUGCAGAAGAAACAAGCAGAGAGGAAUGCAUACUGCACAAUCAAAUCAGGGAACUCUCAUAUUCCUCGCUCAGAAUUCCAAACCAAUUCAAGAUCAACGCUGUGGAAAGUCAACAAGAUCAUCUAUCUCCAAAACCAGAUUUGCGUUCUUAAACUCUACUCUGUUUGGUUUUUACUUUGCUAUACUUGUCAUGUUUAUUCGUCGUUUGUUUGUUUACUUGUUUUUGUGCGAGUUUAUGCUUAAAACAUUGAGGACAAUGUUUGAUUUAAGUGUGGGGGAGUAACUAUUGUUUUGCAUGAAAUUCGUAGGAAUUUAUCACCCAUUACUUCUAGUGUUGUUCCUUGCUGUUUUUUUUAAGUGUUUUUAAGCUGUUUUGGAGUGUUUUAGUGUGUUUUGAUAUAAAAAUCCGAAAAUCUCAUAAAAAUUUGAAAAAUUGUUUUGAAAAACCCAAAAAAGAGUCAUUUUUGUGUGUUUAUUUGUGUCUUAGGGUACCUUCCAACACAAUAAUGAGGAUUUAGUUUUUAAUUACAUGACUGUUAAAGAGAGUUAUAAACAUGGAUGAAAAUUUGAUUUACUCUUUGGUGUAUGCUUGGUUGUGGUUAUAAUUUAUGAAUUCACAUGCAAUCAUAAAGGAAAAAUCAGUUUUUGUAAACAUGCUUGAAGGAAGGAACUCAAAUGAACGCUACAACCUUGUGAGACUUGAGCCUAAACGUUUAUUUGGAGAGUUAAUAAUCUGUGCAUCAUUGUUUUCUAAAGUCGUUGCAUGAUCUCAUUAUUCUUUGCUUGGUUGCUACUUAGAAGGCGUUUCAUCAUUUAGUUCCAAAUGCUAGAACUCAUGCCUAUUUCAUUCAAAGCAUGCUAUUGAUUUGCAUAACACAUAUUCAAGAUGAAGUUGUGUAGUGACCACCAAAGCCAAAUUGUCGUGCCCCUAUUUCAUUAUGUGUUUAAGUUUAACCCCGUUGAGCCUUGUUAAGCCUAUGUUCUUUGUUAAUCCACACUAUCCUUACCUAGCCUAGUUUUAGGAUCAUCCAUACCCUUGUUCUUGAAGCAUAGUAAAGCAUGACUUAAAAUGAACUUUUUUUUUUUAUCAAUGCAUUGCAGAAAGCAAGUGUGGGGGAAGUGAUUCUUGUGUGUGUGUGUGUGUGUGCCAAAGUCCUUAAUAAGGCACGGGUAGAAAAGAAAAAAAAAAGUGAAAAGAAAAAAAAAGUUUGUUAAAAAAAGGUCUAAAACAUUGAAUUCGGCCCUAAGUGUUGCAUAAAUCUUCCCUUUGUAUUUAAAAGUUGAUUCUGCAUUCUAAAGUGAAUUCCAAGUGUCUAUUUCAUUGCUUUGCUUGCUAUCGCUUUAAGAACGUUUGUUAUUCCUAUCCUUUCUUUGUUAGCCAUUACCCCCAAGCCCUGUUACAACCCUUGACUUCAAUCUUGAGUGUUGUGUGUUUCAAUUUGUGGAGUUCGAAAUUGGUAUGAGCAUAUGGUGUCACUGGUUCUCGCAUCUAAGUAGUAGCAUUCCAUUCAUGAGAUCAUAUCUAAACAUGCUUAAUAACUCCAGAAAAUUGCUUUCUUUGUUAUAACAUAUGUGAGUCCUAGUCUUUCGUGUUUACAUUAAUCUUCUCACAUAUACUAGUGUAGGGUGUGUAGUCAGAAAAUGUGUGUGAAAAUAGAGAGUAAUCUUGUAAGGAAUUGAGCAAAUUCUCUAAGGCAUGUUACUACAUUCAAAACAUUCGUUUUAAUUAGUUAAUUGUGAACUAGUAAGUGGUGACUGUGAUUAAGUAUGUGCUCAAGUGUAAAGAUGACUAAAAUCUGUGGGAAUGAUGAUUUUUAACAUGUCAUGUUUCAUUAAAAAUCCCUGAGGCAAAUGUUGGAAGGUCUAGGUUGUGUUUUGUUUGUUUCGUUUGUUUUGUUUUGCUUGAGGACUAGCAAAAGCUAAGUGUGGGGGAAUUUGAUAGGAGCAUAUUUAUGCGACUGAGUUAGCUUGUUCUCAUGCAUUUAUGUUGUUAUUUCUUAGUUAAUUAUGUAUUUUAAGCUAUUUUCGUGUGUUUGUAGGUCCAAAGGGUUAAUGUGGCAAAGAAGUGCAUUUUGGAGCAUUUUUUAUGCUUGGAGAAAAAGGAAUGGACGAAAUUUGAAGUUUGUGCAUCAUCCUCUCCCUAUAAAUAACCAUUUUAGCACACUCAUUUCACCCAACACAUUCACCUACCACUACAUACACUCAUUUCACCUAAUACAUCCACUCAUUACAACCACCCAACACAUUCACCUACCACUACAUACACUCAUUUCACCUAAUACAUCCACUCAUUACAACCACCCAACACAUUCACCUACCACUACAUCCACUCAUUUCACCCAACACAUUCACCUACCACUACAUCUACUCAUUACCACCACCUACUACAUCCUCUUCCUAGCUUAUAAAUACAUUCAUCCACCCUUCAUCAAAGGAGAGAGAUAGGCCAUCAUCCAAAGACACUACAUUUCACAUCUCACAACUCGCCACCCUUCACCAUAACUCACAUAUAUCCAUCCACCAUCACAAGAGACCAUCCAUUCACCACUCACACCUUGGUGCCGCAUAUUUGCAAGGAAGGAGGAUUGCUUGGAGUUGUGCUAGUCAUUCAAUUUGGAUUGCUGGAGCAUUCUAGGUGUAUUCUACUUUGGUUUUCAAUGUCUAAUUUCAAUUGUUUCUGUUUAAUUGCAAGUAUGAGGAACUAAACCUCUUUUGGCUAGAGGAGAAUUCGAAACCAUGAAUAUAUUUGCAAUAUGAAUUGAUUUCUUCCAAUUGUGAUUUGAUAAGUUGUGAUUGCAAUUCAAUUAUCUAUUUUAUUCAUAACAGAUUUGUGUAUGUUUAUUAAGGAUGCAUACUUAGUUUUCAUGCAUGAAUUUGAUGCUAGGAUAUAAAUAAGUUUCACCUAAUCGUUACAAGUUUAUAUUCAUGAGUAGUGAAGGUUGCUUGUCACGAUCGCGUUAAUUGAAUUCUUGGCAAACGUAUCAUGCAUUCAUAGUUACAAUUGCCUCGUCAACGCUUAUGAUUUUCAUGGAACGUAAUGAUCUUUAAUUGUAUCUCUAUUAUGCAUUCAUAUAGGGGACUUUUAGAGAAUGAUUUGGGUUGUCGCAUGCAUUCAUCCAAUUCAAUGAGUAAAGGAAAAUCUGAGGGUUAAUUUGUGCAUCACGGUUAAUCUGGGGUGUUGAGCAUCAUAGUUUAUUGAAAAGCAAUUGGAGAUUGAUUUGUAUGCAAGUGUGUCAUGUGUGGAGAAAAACCUUCUAGCCAGCCCAUCAUCCAUCCAAAACAACCAAUUUCGUGCAAAUCUAUUUAGUUCUAAUUUCUGUUUUGUUUUACUUUAUUUUCGUCCAAAACCCAAUCCCCCUUUACUUUAGUAUAUCUAAUUAGUUAGAAUCUGUUUUAGUUUGUGUUUUUAAGUGUUUUGAGUCUAUAGAGUCUAGUUAAGUGUUUUUAAGUUUCUUUUUAUAAGUCAAUUUAGUUUAGAUUAGCAAUCCCUCCUAAUGCCCGGUCCAGAACGAUCCCUACUUAUACAUAUACUACAAUUGUCAAAAGAGGGUUUAAUUUGAGUGCUUAACUUUCCUCGCAUCAAUGCGCCGGCGCAUUACCUUCCCUAUGUACAUGGCUACACUCCGAAUUCGGCAAGCCUAGGAGGAAGAAUCUCAAAUUGUUUAUAAUAGAACCCUAGACAGAGUAAUCAUCCCCUUGUCCUUUCAUGGCAGUUAUGACCACGCUAAAGUCUCCUUCAAAUUUAACCUUCACAUCAUCUGGAAAACUAUUAUUAACUAGCCCCAACACACAACGAGUUGCAACUAACUUCAAGUGCAUAGCACAGACCGAUCAAAGGGUCCAGCAAGAGUUGCCAGGAAUUCACCCAUGUGGCCCCGAAUGAUGAUCCCAUAGCCUCCCCACCCCCCACAAACUCCAUCGUGACUCCAAGCACCAUGAAAAUUACAUUUGAUCCAUCCCUCAUCGGGUUUCCUCCAAUUCUGAACCUCCAUAGUAACCUUCCGAGCCUCAAGCUUAUGCCAUUUAUGAAACUCAUGCAUCCAUCCUUCAGAUAUCAGAUAUCUGCAUAAUCUCCUAUGGCGGCAGCCUCAACCCGUUCCAUAGGACAUCAUUCCCAAGUUUCCAUAAUGCCCAUAACAACAUCAAACAAAGCUCGAACUUUGAAACCACACCGCCCUCGCCAAGCUACAAUCUCUAAACACAUGCUCCAUUGAUUCGUCAUGCACACCACAAACCACACACACCUCUUCACCCAUCACUCUCCUUUUGCUAAGGUUCAAAUGUGUGGACAGAGAAUCCAAACAUGGCUGCCAAGCACCAAUUUUUACCUUUCCCGGGACAUUUUCAUUCCAAAGUUUCUUCCAAAACUACUCCCCCACACCACUAAAGGAGGAUGACGAGCCAACUACAUCAUUGCCGUGACUUUCUAUUAUUCCCCGAGCCACCUGGUAAACGCUCCGAACUGAGAACUUCCUGCUUCGCUCAUAAUGCCAGAUUCUCCUGUCUUUGACAUCCCGUACGCUAAGCGGAAUGCUUUGAAUUGCCUCCACCUCCUCAGCAAAGAAAAUAUCAUUUCACAACUGCACAUUCCAUUGCUUCCUUCAACAUGAUAUAGAGAAUAAUGCCCAUAUUAAAUAUAAAAAAAAAAGGCAAAAGACUGUUUACUACCCUCAUGUUUCCUGGUUUUCAACAUUUAGUACAUCAAGUUUUUUCAUCCCAAAGUCAUACCUAAAGUGUAAAUUUUGGGAUAGUCACAUACAUCCGUUAAUCAAACUAUUAAGUCUCCCGUUAACUAUGACGUGGCGCCUAUGUGGACAAUGAUUGGGCGCCACGUAUCAUCCACGUCUCAUUAAAAAUUUAAAAUAAUUAAUUAAAUAAAAUAAAAUAAAACCAAAUCCCCACCCGUGCCCACUCACCUAUCUUCCACCUCCCUUCCUUCUUCCCUCUACAACACCCUUUUCGGCUCCCCCUUUUCUCUCCCCCAUUUUUAUCCCCGCUUCUCCACAAUCACCACCUCCUCCAUCAUUCCUCUCCUAACCCCACCCCCUAUUCCUCCUCCUUAUCCUGCACCCCGUACACAAAUCCCAUUUCACCAAAUCCAAUUGAUUUUACAACCACCUAAUUUCCCAAAAUUUCAAAUUGAAUCAAAAAAAUAAAUAAACAAUUAAAUUUUUUGAGUUGUUUGAGCUGCUUUAAUGGCUUUGUCGGAAAACAUGGCAAGCAUGAUGGCGUUGGCUUUCCAACCUAACACCUUACCUACUAUUAGAUCUUUGACGCCUUUGCCUUCUCCCUCCCUUCUCGGCCUCCACUACAAAUCCAACCCUCUCCCUCCCUCAACCCACAACCCACUCAAUUUAAAAAAAUAAAAAAUAAAAAAAAUAAAAAAAGUUUAUGGGCACCCUACAUCCCUUCUCUUCCCUAAAUCCACGGCGACGGCUGCACCGCGAGCUGAGGAAGUUCCAGACCCUCGCGGUCUGCUACGUCGAACGAUUGCUCCGAUUCAGGUCAUGGUGAUGAAGAUGAAUGAUGAAAUGACGUCGCACUCUGAAAUCGUACGGCUCGGAUUUGGUCAUGGCGAUGAAAACGAAGGACGAAACGACGUCGUUGUUCUUCACGACGUUGUUGGAGUACAUUAAGAGCUCGAAGAAGAGCCAGGAUUUCGAGAUCCUGUCAGGUCGGCUGGCGAUGGUGGUUUUCACAGCGACGGUGUCGGUGGUCCCGUGGAGGUGGUGACUGGUAGGGGUGAGUGCAGAGAAAGUGGGGAGAAUAAGGGAUGGGGUUGGUAAGGGUGAAUGCAGAGGAGGGGAAUGGAUGGGUGUGCGGGGAAAAGAAGGGAGGGAGAAUGAGGGAGAAGAAAGAAUGGGGUCGGGAGGUGGGGAAAGGAUGGAUGUGCAGAGGUUGGGUAGGUGCUGAGAAGAGAAGAGAGAGAGAAGGAAGGGGGUCAGGGUGGGGAAGACGAUAGGGUUCUAGGUUUUUUUUUAAUAUUUAAUUGAUUAUUUUAAUAUUUUUAAUGACACGUGGUGCCCAAUCAUUGUCUACAUGGGCGCCACGUUAUCACUUAACAAGAGAAUUAACAGUUUGACUAACAGAUGUAUGAGACUGUCCCAAAAUUAACACUUUAGGUAUGACUCUAGGAUGAAAAAAACUUCAUGUACUAAAUGUUGAAAACCAUGAAACUUCAGGGUAGCAAAUAAAGUUUAACCCUAAAAUGAUUAUUUAUUAGAAGACUCAAAAUCGUUGACCAAAAGAAAAUAUCUCCAAACUGAUGGAAAUAAUUAAACAAAUUGGUCAUUAAAUAUCUACAAAUGUACAUCUUCAUAUUUUUUUAAAUACAUUCAAUAUUAUUUAUACUAGGAGAUGAGAGAGUGGGUCAUAAUAUGAUAGUUAUAAUCCUUUGGUACGAAUUCGUCUUUAGUAAGAAUCAAAUCUGGAUCUCUCACUUCCAUGGAAAAAAUAAAUAUUACUAGAUUGUAGUACUAAGUGACAAAAAUUUGAAAUAAGAAUAAUAAGAUAUUUUGUACUUUAAACCUAGGCCUGGUAAUUCCUGACACGACCCGAUAACUCGACACGACACGACACGACACGAAAUUAACAGGUGUUUGGGUCGACACGAUACGAAUCGAGUCGUUAUCGGGUAACCUGAUAAGCACCUGUUAAGAUAACAGGUUGGUUCGGGUAUACACGUGGGUAACACGAUACACGAUAAGCAAAAUAUUAAUUUUAUAAUUUUAUAACCCUACAAAAAUACUAUAAUAAUUAUAUAUAUUAAUUUAACAAAAACUAUAACAAUUAUAUAUUUAUAUAAUUAAAUAUUAAAAAUUGGUGACCAUUAGAUCGGCUUAAAUAUACAUACCAUUCAAUUUCUUAAGAGUUAUACGUACAAAAUAAAUAAAUUUAAAUCUACUAAAUAAAUAUAUAUAUAUAUAUAUAUAUAUAUAUAUACCAUUGAACUUGAUGGGAUACGAAUUCUACGAAACUAAUUUCAACUAUCCAACCGUCAAAUUUUUUUGUAUAUUCUUCGAGAUCACAUCAACAAAAAAUCGCAAAAAUCAAACAUUCAGAGAUCAAGUAACGGGACAAAACUUUUCGACGGUUAUCAACGAAAAAUCACGAUUUAACAGGUAUUUUCACUCCGAUUUCGAUGAUUUUUUAUAGCUACAAUCCUUGACCCUAUAUGAAUACAAUGAAUGAACUCGAUCUUCAAUUUAAAAUAUUUACACUAGUGGAUACCACAAAAUCUUAUGUUAUACUUAAUGAAAGUAUGAAUAAACUCUUCAGUGUUAGUGAUUCUAUUGUUUUUAUGGGAUACGCAUUCUACGAAACUAGCUUCAACGAUCCAACCACCAAACAUGUUUGUAUAUACUUCAAGAUCGCAUAUGCCAAAAAUUACAAAAAACAAAACAUUCAGAGAUCAAGUAACAAGACAAAACUUUUCGAUGGUUAUAAACGAAAAAUCACGAUUUAAUGGUUAUUUUAACUCCGAUUUUGAUGAUUUUUUACAGCUACACUCCUUUACCCUAUAUGAAUACAAUGAAUGAAUUCGAUCUUCAAUUUAAAUAUUUAAUCUAGUGGAUACCACAAAAUCUUAUGUUAUACUUAAAAAAAGUAUAAAUAAACUCUAAGUGUUAGUGAAUCUAUCGUUUUGAUGGGAUACGCAUUCUACCAAACAAAUUUCAAUGAUCUAACCGUCAAACUUGUUUGUAUAUGCUUCACGAUCACAUACGCCAAAAAUCGUAAAAAAACAAACAUUCAGAGAUCAAGUAACGGGACAAAACGUUUCGACAGUUAUCAACCAAAUAUCAUGAUUUAACGGUUAUUUUAACUCCGAUUUUGAUGAUUUUUUUACAGCUACACUCUUUGACCCUAUAUGAAUACAAUGAAUAAACUCAAUCUUCAAUUUAAAUAUUUACAUUAGUGGAUACCACAAAAUUUUAUGUUAUACUUCAUGAAAGUACGAAUAAACUCUUUAAGUGUUAGUGAAUCUAUCGUUUUGAUGAGAUAUGCAUUCUACGAAACUCAUUUCAACGAUCCAACCGUUAAACUUGUUUGUAUAUGCUUCGAGGUCGCAUAACCUAAAAAUUGCAAAAAAAAAAAACAUUUACAGAUCAAGUAACUGGACAAAACGUUUUGACGGUUAAUAAUGAAACAUCACGAUUUAACAGUUAUUUUAUCUCCAAUUUUGAUGAUUUUUUACAGCUACACUCCUUCACCGUAUAUGAAUACAAUGAAUGAAUUCGAUCUUCAAUUUAAAAUGUUUACACUAGUGGAUACCACAAAAUCUUAUGUUAUACUUAAUGAAAGUAUAAAUAAACUUUAAGUGUUAGUGAAUCUAUUGUUUUGAUGGGAUACGCAUUCUACCAAACUAAUUUCAACGAUCAAACCGUCAAACUUGUUUGUAUAUGCUUCAAAAUCACACACGCUAAAAAUCGCAAAAAACAAACAUUCAAAGAUCAACUAAUGGGACAAAACUUUUCUACGGUUAUCAACGAAAAAUCACGAUUUAACGGUUAUUUUAACUCCGAUUUUGAUGAUUUUUUACAGCUACACUCCUUGACCCUAUAUAAAUACAAUGAAUGAAUUCGAUCUUCAAUUUAAAACAUUUACUCUAGUGGAUAUCACAAAAUCUAAUUUUAUACUUAAUGAAAGUAUGAAUAAACUUUCAAAUGCUAGUGAAUCUAUCAUUUUGGGGUACGCAUUCUACUAAACUAAUUUCAACGAUCCAACCGUCAAACUUGUUUGUAUAUGCUUCAAGAUCGCAAACACUAAAAAUCGAAAAAACCAAACAUUCAAAGAUCAAGUAACGGGACAAAACUUUUCGACGGUUAUCAACAAAAAAUCAUGAUUUAACGGUUAUUUUAACUCCGAUUUUAAUGAUUUUUUACAGCUACACUCCUCGACCCUAUACAAAUACAAUGAAUGAACUCAAUCUUCAAUUUAAAAUAAUUACACUAGUGGAUACCACAAAAUCUUAUGUUAUACUUAAUGAAAGUAUGAAUGAACUCUUAAGUGUUAAUGAAUCUAUUAUUUUGAUGGGAUGCGCAUUCUACCAAACUAAUUUCAAAGAUCAAACCGUCAAACUUGUUUGUACAUGCUUCGAGAUCGCAUACACUAAAAAUCGCAAAAAAAACAAACAUUUAGAGAUCAAGUAACGGGACAAAACUUUUUUACGGUUAUCAACAAAAAAUCACGAUUUAACGGUUAUUUUAACUCCGAUUUUGACAAUUUUUUACAGCUACACUCCUUCACCCUAUAUGAAUACAGUGAAUGAACUCGAUCUUCAAUUUAAAAUAUUUACACUAGUGGGUAAUACAAAAUCUUAUGUCAUACUUAAUGAAAGUAUGAAUAAACUCUUAAGUGUUAGUGAUUCUAUUGUUUUGAUGGGAUACGCAUUCUAUGAAACUAGUUUCAAUGAUCCAACCGUCAAACAUGUAUGUAUAUACUUCGAGAUUGCAUACGCCAAAAAUUGCAAAAAACAAACAUUCAAAGAUCAAGUAACAGGACAAAACAUUUCGACGGUUAUCAACGAAAAAUCACGAUUUAACGGUUAUUUUAACUCCGAUUUUGAUGAUUUUUUACAGCUACUCUCCUUGACACUAUAUGAAUACAAUGAAUGAAUUCGAUCUUCAAUUUCAAAUAUUUACACUAGUGGAUAUUGCAAAAUCUUAUGUUAUACUUAAUGAAAUUAUAAAUAAACUCUUAGUGUUAAUGAAUCUAUCGUUUUGAUGGGAUACGCAUUCUAUGAAACAAAUUUCAACUAUCCAACCGUCAAACUUGUUUGUAUAUGCUUCAAUAUCAUGUACGCCAAAAAUCACAAAAAAACAAACAUUCAGAGAUCAAGUAAUGGGACAAAACUUUUCGACGGUUUUCAACAAAAAAUCACGAUUUAAAGGUUAUUUUAAUUCCGAUUUUGGUGAUUUUUUACAACUACACUCCUUGAGGAUUGCAAUGACAUACGGGCUAUCUUGCAUGAUUACGAAUAGGCUUCGGGUCAGGUAGUUAACUAUCGGAAGUAUGCCCACAAAGCCACUCAUUUGAUGUAAUAGCUUUUGGAAUACUUAUUGUGUUAAACUAUUAUAUGUUUAAUGAAGGGCAAGGCUUAUUGUUAAUCACUAUUUAUUGUAUUAUGUGUUUAAGCAAUAAGGGAAUCUAAGAAAUGUAUUUAAUCUAAGAGAGAAGUGAUCUAAGGAAGUUAGAUUAACGAGACCUUUCUCUUAUUUUCAUUCCUAAAAUGUUCCUAGCCAUAGGAUUGCCAAUUGGGCAUUGACAAUCCGCUAAGGUUAGUAUGUGUUAUGUUAACUCAAGCAUGAGUAUGACUAGUCUCAAGUCAUUUAGUGUUGGACACUGAGACAAACACGUAGGUGCUCAAAAGGUAAUCGAGUACAUUGAACAAUGAUCAAAAGAGAGUUCAAACAUACAUGUCAUGUAAGAACUCAUAAGUUGCAAUAUGCAAAUUAGUCCUUUGACAUGAGGCAUUAUAGAUGUCUAAUGGUUAGGUCAUUGAUCUUUGAUCAUGUCAAGGGCAUUCCAUCGAGAGUGUCCAUGACAUUGUUGGGGUUAAGCUGUCUAGUCAUGUAGGCAUAUGAGUGCACAACAAGGGAUCUCUAACCUUCCAUGGUGGAGGGAGAAUGCAUUCAGGAGUCUUUGGAUAAAGCAUACAAAUAUGACUUAGGAAGUUUGUUCCAAAUCAUAUUUAAUUGAAUCAUAUAGAGAAAUAUCAUAUUGAAUAGUAGACAUGAAUCAAACUAUCACUCAAACAAUGUGAUUAAGAGUAUUGUAUUAGAGAAGGAUCGUAUUGCAUUGUAAUUGUAACGGGAUAGGUUCUCCAACCACUUCUACUUGGCUUGGGUAGCCAUUACAUACUGCUAGGUGUCACUCAUGGUUUGUGGAAAGCCUAAAGAUUAGCAAACACUAAUCUUCAUCAAAGGGAGAAUUGAAAUGAAGUUUCAAUUCACAAUCGAUUGUGUAACAAUCGCCCACUGCCUCGCUAAUUGGAACCUAAUGUAUCGUACAUCGAGUAAGGAUGAAAGUGAAAAAAUAUAAAUGAGAUGCAUAAACAAUGAAAUGGUUUAAUUGAGAAUGGUCAAGAUUAAUUAAUUAGUUAAUUAAUUAUAUAAAAGGUUCGUAUUGGGCUUUCAAGUUAGUUUCGGGUCUUGGGGCCCAAAAGGGUUUCUUGGUCCAUAAGGCCCUUUGAGUUUAAGUUGUGUGACAACCAAAACUAAAUGGAAAAUAAACCAAAUACAAAGUUAAAACCGGCCAUAAGUUGAUUGGUAGCAAACUUGGGUUAAUUGCAAGUUUGCCAAUGAUGCGAAAAUUAACUUAACACUCAAAUUAACCCUCUUGUUGUCAAAUUGUAGUAUAAAUACAAGUAGAGAACGUUCUAAACCGGGGAUUAGGAGGGCUUGCUAAAACCUCUAAACUGACUCAAAAACAUAAAAGCAAAGUUAAAAACAUUAGAAUAAACUCAAAGGACUCAAAACAGGUUCACAAGACUCAAAACAACUUCAAAACACUCAAAACUGCCUAAAAACACCAACUAGGCAGUUUCUGACUCUAAACACAACUUUGGACGAAUUUAGAUUUAUGGCUUGACUCAAAACACUCAAAAACACAAACAAAACAUAUUCUAACUAAUUAGACACUCUAAAGUAAAGGGGGAUUGGGUUUUGGACGAAAAUAAAGUAAAAACAAAACAGAAACUAGAACUAGACAGAUUUGCACGAAAUUGGGGAUUUGAAUGGAUGAUUGGUUAGCUAGACUUCCUUCUCCACACAUAAUACACUUGCAUACAAAUUGAUGUUCAGUUGUUCUUUCGAUAAACCAUAAACCUCAAUGCCCCAGAUUAACCGUGAACUGCACUAAUUAACCCUCAAAUUUUCCUAGUUUCAUUUAAUUGGAUGAUUGCAUGCGACAACCCAAAUUAUUCCUCACAAGUUCCCUACAUGAAUUGCAUAAUAGAGAUACGAACAAGGUUCAUUAAGUUCUAUGAAAAUCAUAAGCAUUGACAAGGCACUUGUAACUAUGAAUUGCAUGAUAUUUAUGACAGGAAUUUACUUAACACGAUCGUGACUAGCAACCUCCACUACUUGUGAAUAUAAGUUCAUAACAAUUAGGUGAAACUCCCUUAUAUUUUAGCAUCAAAUUCAUGCAUGAAAACUAAGUGUCGACCCUCAAUCAACAUACAAGAAUAAUUAUCAAUCAGGCCGUUAAGUAAAUUGCAUUCAAGGUUUAUGAAAUCACAACUGAAAGUAAUCAAUUUAUAUUGCAAAUAUAUUCAUCGCUUUGAAUUCCCUCUAGCAAAAACGAGUUUAGCCACUCAUGUUCACAGAACAAAGAUUAUUAAACUUAAACAUUGAAAACAAAGAAUGAAAACGCCUAAAAACGCUUCAACAAUCCAAUCUUGAAUGGCAAGCACGUCCAAGGGUCUCCUUCCUUCUCCUUUUCUGCGGCACAAGGGUUGUGAGAAUGGAUGAGUGGUGAAUUAUGGUGGUGGAUGGAUGUAGGUGAAUUAUGGUGAAGGGUGGAUGGGUGGAUGAUGGAAUGUGUUGAUGGAUGUCCCCAAUGGUGCGGCAUAAGGGCUUUAUUUAUAGGAGGAGGAAAGGGCACGGUUUUGAAGUAGUUUUAGGGAAGGAUUUAGCUUUCCAAAUCCCCAAGAAAAGCUAACAGAAAUCAAUGAAUUUAGGAAAGGAAAAUAUUUGGCAAAUUCGAAGGAAAAGAGGUAAAUAAUUGUGGCAGAGAAGAGGAAAGGUGGAAUUUGGUGCGGCAUAGGUUUUAAGGAAAAGGAAAUGUGUUUUAGGACAUAAAAUAGGAAGGAGAACCUCUCCCUUGUGCGGCAAGGGAUGGAACAAAACAGGAAUGUGGUUUAGGUGCAGAAAAUAGGAAAGAAAGGUUGUGUCUUGUGCAAUAAGGAACAAGAAAUCAAAGGAGUGUUGCGGCAAUAUCUAGGGCAGGUUCUAGGACUUCUAGAAACAUGUAAUUGGGCAACCUAACAUGUUUUGAAACCCUUUUGUGGCUGGAACAUAGGUGAGGAAGGAUUAGGAAACUUCCAAGCCAAGAAUAGAAACUUCCAACUUUAGAAACUUUGGCUUCCAAUUCUGAACUCUUUGUUCUUCAUUUCUUUCAUCUCAUUAUUCAUUCCUAGCCUUCUUUGAUCUUCAAUUUCGUCCAUCUACUUAGCUCUUCCAUGCCCAAAACUGCUCCAAAAGGCUCCAAAAUGCAUUUUCUUGCUACUUUAGCCCUUUGGACCUAUAAACACACAAAAAUGGCUUGAAAUACUAAAUUAACUAAGAAAUAACAACAUAAUUGCACAAGAACAAGCUAACUAAGUCGCAUAAAUAUGCUCCUAUCAAAUUCCCCCACACUUAGAUUUUGCUAGCCCUCGAGCAAAACGAAACAAACAAAAUAAAACAAAGUAAAACCUAGACCUUCCAACAAUUGUCUUAGGGAUUUCCAAUGCAUAAGACAUGCUAAAACUCAUUACUUACACAGAUUUUAGUCAUCCUUACCCUCGAUCACAUACUUAAUCAUAGUCACCAUUCACUAGCUCGCAUUUAAUCCUUAAAACAACAUUUUGAAUGUAGUAACAUGCCUUAGAAAAUUCCCUCAAUUCCUUACUAGAUAUGCACUCAAUUUUCACUCAAAUUUUCUAACUACACACCCUACACUAGGUAUAUGUGAGAAGAUUGAUGUAAACAUGAAAACUAGUACUCACAUAUGCUAUAGCAAAGAAAGCACUUUUCUGGAAUUAUUAAUGCAUGUAUAUAUAUGAUCUCAUGAACGGAAUGCUACUACUUAGAAGCGAGAACCAGGAAUAUCAUAUGCUCAUACCAAUUCCAAACUCCACAUAUUGAAACACAUAACACUCAAGAUGGAAGUAAAGGGUUGUAACGGGGUUAAGGGUAAUGGCUAACAAAGAAAGGAUAGGGAUAACAAACGUUCUUAAAGAAAUAGUAAGCAAAGCAAUGAAAUCACACUUAGAAGUCUCUCUUGAAUGCAGCAAUCUAUUUUGAACAAAAAGGGAAGAUUUACACAUUUUAGGGCCAUAUUCAAUGUUUUGGAUCCUUUCUUCAACAAUAAACACUUUUGAACUCAUCUUACUCCUUUUCAAACUCUUUUUCUUUCUUUUCUUUCUUUUCACACGUUUUCUCAUCUUUUUCUUUUCUUUUCAAAUGCAAAACUUAAAAUUGAGCUUAAAACAACCAAUCCUUCCCCCACACUUGUUUUUUUGCAUAAUGUAGAUCAAAAGGAAUUCAUUUUAAGUCAUGCUUCACUAUCCUUUAAGAACAAGGGUUUGGACAGUCCUAUACUAGGCUAGGUAAGGAUAAUGUGGGUUAACAAAGAACAUAGGCUAAACAAGGCUCAAAGGGGGUUUAAUCCUACAUAACAUAAGGAAAUAGAGGGUACGGCUAUUUGGCUUUGGUGGUAACUAAACAACUUCAUCUUGAAUAUGUGUUAUGCAAACUCAAUAUCAUGCUUUGAAUGGAACGGGCAUGAGUUCUAGUAUUUGGAUCUAUAAUGAUGAAACGCAUUCUAAGUAGCAACCAAGCAAAGAAUAAUGAGAUCAUGCAACGACUUUAGAAAACAAGAAAUCACAUAUUAAUAACUCUCCAAAUAACGUUUAGGCUCAAGUCUCACAGGGUUGUAGCGUUAGUUUGAGUUCCUUCCUUCAACCAUGUUACAAAAACUGAUUGUUUUUCUUUUAUGAUUGCAUGUGAAUUCAUAAAUUAUAACCACAACCAAGCAUAAACCAAAGAGCAUAUCAAACUUUCAUCCAUGUUUGUAACUUUCUUCAACAGUCAUGUAAUUAAAAACCAAAUCCUCAUCAUUGUGUUGGAAGGUACCCUAGACUCAAACAAACACACAAAAAGAACUCAAAAACAACACUUUUUGGGUUUUCAAAACAAUUUUUUCAAAUUCUGUUUUUCAAAUUUUCGGAUUUUUACUUCAAAACACAUUAAAACACACCAAAACACACUAAAAACACUUAAAAACAGUGAGAAACAGCUUUAGAAGUAAUGGGUGAUAAAAUCCCAUGAAUUUGCAUAAAAAACACUUAUUUACCCCCCCCCCACACUUAAAUCAAACAUUGUCUUCAAUGUUUCAAGCAUAAACUCACACAAAAGUAAAUAAACAAACAACGAAUAAACACACUAAACAUGGCAGAAUAGAAACAACAAAGAGAAGGGUUUAGGAAUGCAAAUCUGGAAGUGGAGUGAUUCCUAGGUCUUCCUUUGUUGAAUGCAUGGGUUGCCUCCCAAGAAGCACUUGCUUUAACGUCUUGUAGCCGGACAAUACUUCCAUGGAAUUGAUCUUUGAAUGGAAGGUGAUACUUGAAAUGAUCCGGCAAUGGUUUAAAUUCUAGUGUAGGUGCCUAAAUCAUCAAAAUCAGCAAGUUAAUAGAAAACAAAAUCGAAGUUAGAGAAGAUGGCUUACUUGCUUGCUCCGACACAAACUUAAUUACAAACACCACAUCUUUGAAGGUUGAUAUUGGACUUGGCCAGAUUGAAUGUGAUGGUUGGGCCUUGUCCCGUAUCAUAAAAUUCAACUUCUUUGGGCUUUAUUGUCUCAUGUACAACCUCCUUGAUGCAUUUUACACAUUUGCCAGCCACUUCUUUCUCUUAACUCCUUCUUCUUGGUGUACAAGGUUCUUUGAACAUUUCAACAUAAUCUGGAACUUGAUUUGGUGUGCCAAGAAUUGGGAUAUCACUUUGCACCUUUGGAAUGGCUUCCAGAAUGUCUUGUUCACUCUCAUCUUUCUUGGGAAUUAAAAACCUGCGAGGAAAAGGUGCAUUCGGAGGAAUAACAUUAGAAUGAAAUGAAAUUGGGACAUCCUUACUUGUGGUGGAUGGUUUAGAGGGCUUAAGGGGUUGCGGCAAGGGUUGUUAUACCCUUGCCGUGUGUAUGUCUUUUUCCUUCUCCUCAAUCAGUAGCUCCUCAUCCACUUCUAGGCUAUGUUAUGACAUUUUUAGGUCAGCUCCAACCUCCAUAGCACUUCCCAAAGUGAUAGCAUCAUGGAUUUCAAAAUCUUCCUUCGAAUUUUCAAUAGUUGAGUUGGAGAGUUUACUUUGCUCUUGAAUUUGUGCCAUGAACUCCAUAAUAUGCCCAAUUUGCUUCUCCAAUUCACCCGUCUUCUUGGCUUGAUUUUGCAUCUCUUUGUUUCUAUUUUCUACUUCCUGGUUCAAAGAGGUGAGUAACUUAUUAAACAUAUCAUUAUCCAAAGACGUACCUGAAUUGAAUUUCCCAGAUUGUUGUGGUGGCUGUGAUGGUUCAUAUGACCAGUGAUAGAACUCCUCAGAUGGCUGUGAAUAAUCUUCUUGUUGUGAGCCAUGCGUCAAAGAGGUUAGUACAUCAAGAAUUUCAUCAUAACUCAUAAGCAUACUUGAAUUUGAUUGGAAUUGUUAUGGGGGAGGUUGUGGUGGCUGCAUAGGUCUUGAAUAGAACUCCUCUUCUUGCUGCUAAUUCCAUCUUGUUGGAAUUGUUGAGGUUCUCCCCACAUGUAAUCUGAAUAAUCUCUCCAAUCCAAAUUGUAAUCGCUAGAAAACAUGUUGUCCCAUGAUUGGCUAUGGCCUUGAUAACCCCAAACAUCUUCAUUUGCAGUGAAUUAAGAACAUUGAUGAGUUGGAUAUCCUUGCCCAUAGGACACACCACAUGUAGGGACACUUUGCAUUGUGGUCCUUUCGGCAUAUUGUCACAAUUGAGAAGUAAGUUUCGCCAAUUGAGCUUGAAUGGUAGCAAAUUCCAUGUCUUCCUUCUCUAGUACCUGAAAUCAAGGAAACAAAACUAAAUCAAAUAUCAAAAGUAAAAAUAAAAGACAAACAAAAACAAAGUCAGUAACUAAAACAAAAGACACGAAAAAGAAACAACAGGGGAUUAGUAAAGUUGCUAAUCCCCGGCAACGGCGCCAAAAUUUGAUGCAAAAAUUAACUUAACACUCAAAUUAACCCUCUUGUUGUCAAAUUGUAGUACAAAUGCAAGUAGGGAUCAUUCUAAACCGGGGAUUGUAGUAUAAAUGCAAGUAGGUGAUAGGAGCAUAUUUAUGCGCCUUAGUUAGUUAGUUCUUACGCAUUUAUGUUGUGUUUUCUUAGUUAAGUUAGUCUUUUAAGCUAUUUUCAUGAGUUUUCAGGUUUUAAAGACAAAGUGAGCAAAAAGAUGCAAUUUGGAGCGUUUUGGAGCAAAAUUGGGCUAGAAUGGAGUUCAUGCAUAUGAAGCACAAAGGAUGGACGAAUUUGAGGGAUUGAUGAGGCUAGGAAUGUGUUUCAAAGUUGAAGACUUGAAGAUGCAAAGUUUCCUAAUUGAAGUGGGAAAGUGCUUAAUUGAAGAUGAAAUCCUAGUCAAACAUGGAUUCCUAGUUGAAGAAUGAUUCCUAAGUGAAGUUGGAUUCCUAGAAGAUUGAAGUUUCCUACUCAAACAAGGUUUCCUACUCGAAGAAGGGAAGUUAAAGCCAAAGAAUCAGCUCAAGUGAAGAAAUCUUAUCCAAAACAUUAUCCAAACCCUAUCCUAUCCUAUCUUAUCCUAAUCCUAAUCCACCUAUAUUUCAGCUACUUGGGAGGAUUCCUAGCUAUAUUGGGAUGCUUAAAAUCAGAUUUCUAGAAAACCUAAUCCUUUCCUACAAAAAUGGCGCCUAGAACCUUUCUAGAAGACCUUUGCCUUGCAUUGCAAAUCAGCCACUUUCCCUCCACUUUUGUGCCUUGAGUUUUUACCCAAUUCCCUUGGGAUUUUGGUUUCUAGAAGCCCUUAUCCCUUCCUAGAUAAGUGCCGCACCUUAUCCUCCCAUUCCCUUUGGAUUUCUGAUUUCUUUUCCUUCAAGGAUUGUGUUUUAUUUUCCUAUGCAACUUAGGCCUUUAAAUCCUUUUCCUUUGCUACUUAGGGGCUGUGAUUUUCAACCUAUAUAUAUGUAGUGCCACACCCUUUCAUUCUCACCACUCUCUACCACAUUUUCACUACACCAUUCACCCAAAAACCCCUCAUUGUGCUGUGAGUUUGCAAGGAGAAGAAGGAAGAAAUCUGGAGCCGUGCAUGCCAUUCAAGGAGCUUGGAUUGUUGGAGCGAUUCUAGGUGUUUUCUAUCUUUAUGUCAAUGUUUAAAUUUAUUUAUCUUUGUUUAUUUGCGAACAUGAGGAACUAAUUUCUUUAUAGUUAGAGGGGAAUUCAAAGCCAUGAUCAUAUGUUUUAUAUGACUUGAUUUCUUCCAGUUAUGAUUUCAUAAAUCGUGAAUGUGGUUUACUUAUCUAUUUGAUUGAUAACAUGUUUAUGUAUGAUGAUUGAGGGUCGACACUUAGUUUGCAUGCAUGAAUUUGAUGCUAGAGUAUGAGGGAAUUUCACCUAAUCGUUAUUAACUUAUAUUCAUAAGUAGUAAAAGUCGCUAGUCAUGAUUGUGUUAAGUAAAUCCUAGGCAAGAGUAACAUCUGUAUCCCAUAGUUAUGAAUGCCUCGUCAAUGCUUAUGAUUUCCAUUGAACUUAAUGAUCUUUGAUAUGUCUCUUUAUCAUGCGUAUUCCAUAGUUAGGGUCCUUGAUAAGAAUAAUUUGGUUGUAAUGCGUAUUCCAUUCAAUUCAAUGAAUCUAGGGAAAUCUGAGAAUUAAUUGGUGCAAUCUAGUUAAUUUGGGGCAUUGUCAUUCAUGGUUUGUUGAAAGAGUAAUUGGAAAUCGAGUCAUAUGCAUAUGGUUCAUGUGUGGAGAAGGAACCUUCUAACUAGCCUUUCACCAUUCUUUUUCAUCCAAAAUCGUUUUCGUUAAGUUUGUCUUUAAAGUUUAUGUUUUAAAGUCCAAUUUCGUCAAAACCAAACCCCUUGCUUUUAAAUCUUGUUUUUAGAGUCAAAACUUGUUUCCUUUAAGUCUUUUGAGUCUUUGAAGUUCUAUUUUCGUCCAAAUCACUUGUUAGGUCUAGAAUUGAGUCUUUUUUAUUGUUUCUUGCUGUUUUUAGUGUUUUAAGUUAGUUUUAAGUCUAUAGAGUCUCGUUUAGUGUUUUUGAGUCUUAUUUGUGUUGAUUAGCAUCCCUAGUUAAUCCCCGGUUUAGAACGAUCCCUACUUGCAUCAUUACUACAAUUGUCAUCAAUAGGGUUUAAUUUGUGUGUCAACAUAAUUUUCACAUCAGUAGGGAUCAUUCUAAACCAGGGAUUAUGAGCGUUAGCUAAAACCUCUAAACUGACUCAAAAACAUAAAACCAAAGUUAAAAACAUUAGAAUAAACUCAAAGGACUCAAAACAUGUUCACAAGACUCAAAACAACUUAAAAACACUCAAAACUGCCUAAAAACACAAACUAGGCAGUUUCUGACUCUAAACACAACUUUGAACGAAUUUAGGGUUAUGGCUUGACUCAAAACACUCAAAAACACAAACAAAAUAGAUUCUAACUAAUUAAACACUCUAAAGUAAAGGGGGAUUGGGUUUUGGACGAAAAUAAAGUAAAAACAAAACAGAAACUAGAACUAGACAGAUUUGCACAAAAUUGGGGAUUUGAAUGGAUGAUUGGUUAGCUAGAGUUCCUUCUCCACACAUAACACACUUGCAUACAAAUUGAUGUUCAGUUGUUCUUUCGAUAAACCAUAAACCUCAUGGCCCCAGAUUAACCGUGAAUUGCACUAAUUAACCCUCAGAUUUUCCUAGUUUCAUUGAAUUGGAUGAAUGCAUGCGACAACCCAAAUUAUUCCUCACAAGUUCCCUACAUGAAUUGCAUAAUAGAGAUACGAACAAGGAUCAUUAAGUUCUAUGAAAAUCAUAAGCAUUGACAAGGCACUUGUAACUAUGAAUUGCAUGAUACUUAUGACAGGAAUUUACUUAACACGAUUGUGACUAGCAACCUCCACUACUUGUGAAUAUAAGUUCAUAACAAUUAGGUGAAACUCCCUUAUAUUCUAGCAUCAAAUUCAUGCAUGCAAACUAAGUGUCGACCCUCAAUCAACAUACAAAAAUAAGUUAUCAAUCAAGCCGUUAAGUAAAUUGCAUUCAAGGUUUAUGAAAUCACAACUGAAAGUAAUCAAUUCAUAUUGCAAAUAUAUUCAUGGCUUUGAAUUCCCUCUAGCAAAAACGGGUUUAGCCACUCAUGUUCACAAAACAAAGAUUAUUAAACUUAAACAUUGAAAACAAAGAAUGAAAACACCUAAAAACGCUCCAACAAUCCAAUCUUGAAUGGCAAGCACGUCCAAGGGUCUCUUUCCUUCUCCUUUUCUGCGGCACAAGGGUUGUGAGAAUGGAUGAGUGGUGAAUUAUGGUGGUGGAUGGAUGUAGGUGAAUUAUGGUGAAGGGUGGAUGGGUGGAUGAUGGAAUGUGUUGAUGGAUGUCCCCAAUGGUGCGGCAAAAGGGCUUUAUUUAUUGGGGGAGGAAAGGGCACGGUUUUGAAGUAGUUUUAGGGAAGGAUUUAGCUUUCCAAAUCCCCAAGAAAAGCUAACAAAAAUCAAUGAAUUUAGGAAAGGAAAAUAUUUGGCAGAUUCGAAGGAAAAGAGGUAAAUUGUGGCAAAGAAAAGGAAAGGUGGAAUUUGGUGCGACAUAGGGUUUUAGGGAAAAGGAAAUGUGUUUUAGGACAUAAAAUAGGAAGGAAAACCUCUCCCUUGUGCGGCAAAGGAUGGAACAAAACAGGAAUGUGGUUUAGGUGCAGAAAAUAGGAAAGAAAGGUUGUGUCUUGUGCAGCAAGGAACAAGAAAUCAAAGGAGUGCUGCGGCAAUAUCUAGGGCAGGUUCUAGGACUUCUAGAAAUAUGUAAGUAGGAAACCUAACAUGUUUUGAAACUCUUUUGUGGCUAGAUCAUAGAUGAGGAAGGAUUAGGAAACUUCCAAGCCAAGAAUAGAAACUUCCAACUUUAUAAACUUUGGCUUCCAAUUCUGAACUCUUUGUUCUUCAUUUUCAUUUCUUCAUUUCUUUGAUCUCAUUAUUCAUUCCUAGCCUCCUUUGAUCUUCAAUUUCGUCCAUCUACUUAGCUCCAAGCAUGUGUUAUCCAUUCCAUGCCCAAAACUGGUCCAAAAGGCUCCAAAAUGCACUUUCUUGCUACUUUAGCCCUUUAGACCUAAAAACACACGAAAAUGGCUUGAAAUACUAAAUUAACUAAGAAAUAAUAACAUAAUUGCACAAGAACAAGCUAACUAAGUCACAUAAAUAUGCUCCUAUCAGCCAUCACAUGUGAGGUGGUAUAAAGGCAUCUUUAUAGCCAUUCUCUCACAAGGGUUUUUUUUUUUAUAGGCAAAAGAGAAAAAUUCUUUCUCUUUUUGUCUUCCAAAGAGGCUGGCCAUACUUAUAGGAAAAUAGCUAGCAAUCUUCUUUCCUCUAAGUCAUCCAUUUCAUCUUCACACCUCAUCCUCCUUAUCCUUGGUAUGGAGACUAGAGACACUAAACUUUUGGUGUUCUUGGAGUUCCUCUCCUCAAAUACUCAAGGACCAAAGGAGAAGCAAAGAAGCAACCAUCCAAGGAGCAAAUGAGGUGACUUGAAGGCCCUUCACUUGGGUGAAUCCCUUGUGUAAAUAAGGAUGAGCUUCAAGGGUAAUGAAACUCAAACUCUCUCUUCUCUUUAAUUUGUUAAAGAGUCCUUUGGUUCACCAUUCACUAGGCUUUGAAAGUCAUGGGUUUUAGAAUUGUUUUUGAAUGCAUGCCUACUUUAAAGUGUUAUUAGCUUGCUUAUGUGUUCAAAUGUUCUUAGCUAGGACAAAUUUUUUUUCCUUCAAGAAGCACUGUGCAACCAUGGUAAGUCUCAAAAUCCCUUUAAUUUUUCAUUUUAAACAUGAUCUUGUACCGUUUUUAACCUUUGUAUGUGAUUUGGGGAAAGGUUAGUGCGGAUUGGAUGAGGGAAGGAUUUUCCAGUUUUAUGGGAAAUGAAAACUGUGGCCUUCUAACCAUUUUCAGACCAAUUUCUCAGCCAACACUGACCACAACUAGACUUCCAAUAGGUAUAGAUUUAUUUUGUACACUUCUAGGUUCACUUGGGUUUUUGUAUCACUGGUUUUGGUUGAUAUUUGAGCUCAUUUGGAGCUCUAAAAGUCAGCCAUGCAAUCUGCAAAAACUACAGAUUUCAUCAAGAAGGCUUGUGAAAGCACGUGGGCAGCCACGAGUGGUGUAUGCAGUGCGUGGAUGCCAGUGCAGCCAUCUUGUGGUGGGGCGUAGAGGAACCCAAGGUCGCUCCUUUGGUUUCUCGACGUGUUAAACCCAAAUCUGCCCUCCGUUUUCUGAAAUUCGACCAUUUCAAAAUAGUUCCUUUAGUAGCCGUACUUAGUACGAAAAACACGUUUAAAUGUUAGUACAUUAUAUAUUUACAUUAAUGAUUUCGUUUCUAGGCGAAACGCAUCACAAGGAUCUUCAAAACCCACAGGCAGGUUCGACCCAAUGACAUAAUCUGUGAGUGGGUCUUUACUUAUAAAUAUCAUAUAUUUAUUAAGUUUCCAUUUACACAUUUGAAAAAGAAUUUUAUACGUAUGCCUGGAUUAGAAUAACGUUUAUAAGAAUUAGCGAAAUAAUAGAAUUUACAAAAUUAUCCUAAAUCCUAUGAGAUGGAUAUGUAUGUGUACUUUUAUGGGAUUUUAAUUACGGCCAUGAUCAAUAUUUUAUUUAUUAGUAUUAUGUUGAUGUGAAUUAUCAAUUUACUGUUGCGUGAUCGUAUUUACAUUAUUUGCUCAUCGUGUGCUACACUAGUGUCAGUACUCGCCCGGGCCAGGGCCAAUCUUCAUGUGUAUGUUCAUAUCGCACCGUACGCUCACUUUGGAUCCAUUGUAGGUGCCAGUCCUGUCCUAGAUUGCUAUAGGCAAUUACCCGUAUGUGACGCGCAUAGCGCCAGUCUUCACAUGAUUGUAGUACUAAAGCGUAAAUCAUACUUGUUUAUUUCUGCGAGAUAUUGUGAUUACUAGAAGUUAUAUGCUUAUUUACAAAUUUGUGAUGUAUUGAAGUCUUGAGAUAUUGUAGGCUACAGUAAGUAUUUUCAUACUAUACAUAGUAUGUAUAUUUUGGAAACUAUACUUGUUUUAUAGAGAGGGCUUAUUAUAUUUUCGAAAAUGUUUUUACAAAACUUUAUUUUUAGGCUCACUCACCUUGUUUUUCGCCCCUCCAGGUUUAGCAAUUGAGCUUUUGUGUCGACGAGGAUUUUUGGCAAAUCUCGAUGUAGGUGGUUACCUUCGAUGGUAUAAUCUCCUACUUUACUGUACUUUACUCGUGUGAAAUGGGUUCAUUCCUGCCCGCAAGUUAGCACUUUUAGAUUUAAAUUUAUUCACAUUUUCCACAUCACUACACUUUAUGGCUUCGUCACCCUCCUAGUGUCGGCCAGCACAGCUUGAUUCAAAGUUCAGGUGGACAUUCCGGGUCGGGGUGUGUCAAUGCUAGCAUGAUCGAUUAAUUGAUGUAAGGUACAAUCUCUAAACUUGGAUUGAUGUUUUCGAUUAUAGUGAUUGAUGAGAUUUUAUUAUUAUAGUAGUAAAUAUUAUUAUAUAGUCUCGCUAAAUAUGUUUUCAAAACAGGGGUCAUUAUGUUAAACGAUGAUUUUAUAACUGUGAUAAAACUGGUCCACUCAUGUUUUGUUUUAUCGACCCUUACUUGAUGUAAAAAGAGUAAGCAGAGCACUGGUGAUGAUGAGUGGGCUUGGUAGUGAACCUUUCAUCCUUUCAAUUUUCGGUGAUGGUUCAUUUACUGCAGUUUUAUCUUAGUUGUAAUAAUGGUAUAAUCGUACCUUUGAUUAUGCAUAGCACUACACUUUAUUGUGGUUAUUGUUGUGUGAAACUUCUAGCCGCUCUAAUGUGAUGUGAUAAUAAUAGGGUUAAACCCAAGAUAAUUUGUGUCUCCAAGUGGGGAGGAUGAUAAGUGAUUUAUUGUAGCAUCUUUGGAUUUUAUUAAUGAACAUCUUUGGUUCAAAUUCUUACACAUCAUAAAUAUCUUGCUAUGACUUCAUCAUUAAGUUCGCUUAUGAUGUCAUCUCCAGAUUGGGUCAUAUGGUCAAUUUAAUGUCGGCCAGUACAUCACGUCCUCAUAACUUUUGUUAUUAGGGUCGGGGUGUGUCAGGUGAUUUCAAAUUGGACUCAACCUCUUAAAACAUCUUAAAUAACUACUAACAUUUAGAAAAAUGAGGACUCGUUAGGUUACCAAGGUUAAGUGAUGAUUCAUUAGAAUUAAUUGAUAAUGCACUACAACAAAAAAAAACAAAACAAAAAAAAGAGGCUUUUGUGUACAAAUUAAGGACACAAAUGAGAAGUUUGCGUCUCUUUAAGCACCAACAGACUACAACAGCGCAUGUUCAAUAAAGGGCACCGCCUAUUGUGCCCAGUGGAAAAAAUGGACACAAAACAUUUAUGAACACGGAAACAAUGCAAAGUUGGACAUGUAUACUUUGAUCUGACAAAUUUUGACAAAAUACAGACAACAAAGGCUUCUUGUGUCUAUAAAUGUGAUUUAUGCACCAUCAUAUGUGUUUUACUUUAUAAAUUUGAGCACAAAAAAGAUAUAAAACAAACAAACAAAAAACUAAUUUUUAUUUGAUCACGGCACAAAAGGUACUAUUGUGCCCACUAAUCCAUUAAACUAUUUAAACUAGAGAACUUUAACAAAAAACUUCUGGUAUUGUUCACUUUAACGAAAAACCACAUUUUUACACUAAAAAGUCAAUCCUGAUACUAUUCACUUUACCCUUUAUUUUGUCUUUAUCGUUAAAACUCAAAAUUUGCAAAAAAAAUUCAUUAGUUUUACUUUUAAACUAACCUGCCAAAUUUGGGGAAGGAAGCCCAACCCACACAAAUUAUCUCGUAACUUUUUUUUUUUCCAUGGGACUUCAAAAGAUAAACCUAUUACUUUUUCUCUCUUUCCCUACAUUUUUCUAUUUCUUUCCCUCCCAAUUCUUCUCUAGCUCAUUUGAGGACGUAUCUCACAGCAUGUCAGUUCCUGCUCACAGAUAUCGAUUGUCCUUCUCUAACCAUCGUGUAUCUUCCUUCUUCAUCUUAUCUCGGCUCGCUGACGCUUCCAUACUUUACCACCGCUUACUCGUACUCGAUAUGAGAUCUACCCGCUUAGACGGCCUGCCAACUUGCAUGUUCUCACUUGACUAGUCGACAGCAUGUUGUCCAUACUUGAUAUGAGAUUUUUCAUGGUCACUACGAAAGCGAUUGGUUGGUUUUUUUUCUCUUUUUUUUUAUUGGGUAAUUUUUCAUUUGAUUUUCUUUUUGAAUUUUUGUAUUUAAUUAUUUGCCUUAUUUAAUCUCUAGGCUCUUAAAAAGAAAGGGGCGAAAAACCACCACCAGGGCAGUCCUGAGUUUUUGGGUGUCCAGUGCAAAAGCUCAAAAUGUGACAUUUUUUAAUACAGAAACAUAUGUUAAAAAAAAAAUUUAACGAAGGCUGGAACUCAAUCAAAGCUGAGAGGCUAGACCCUCACGCCCAAAUUAUAUUACUUGAAAAAAUAUACAACGGGGGGGACAUAGUACCUAAACCCCGACAAUCAAAAAUACAAUCAUAUACAACCAUUCCUAGCAAAGCUCCUUGAAAUUUCAACCUUUAAGAAAUUGUCUUCUAGCAUUUUUUGAAGCAAAAUCAUCAAUUAUAUCAUCAUACUCCAAGUCUUCAAUCUCAUCCUUUUCAAUGCAUAAGAUUGCUAAUCCAUUUAGCCUAUCUUGAAUCAUAGUGGUCUGCAAGUAAGAUUUUAAUAAUUUCAAUUUUGAAAAACUUCUUUCUGCAUAUGUCACGGUCACAUGUAUAGUCAACAGAACACGAUAAGCAAUCAAAACAUUAGGACACAUGUUAGUUUCUUUUACAAAGUUUGCUUUUUCCAGGAUGUCCAAGGGUUAUUAGAGAGAAAUGCUUCUUUAGGUAACAUCAUUUGCAACACUUGUAAUUCGGAACAUAAGUCGGCUCCAUCUACAUCCAUGGUAUUUCCAUGUUUCAAAUGUGCUUCAAGAUUCAUACAAUUUUCUUUUAGUUGUUUAUCAUCCAAUGAAAUUAACUUCAAUGCAUCAAACAAGAAGCCAAAAAUAGAUUCAAAAGCCUUUAAUUGUUCAAACCUAUGUUUCAGUUGAGAAAGAGCAAUAUCCACUAUAAUAAGAAAAUAAUAUGUUCUAAAUGAUUCUUCAGUAGACUGUUGUUCCCUCUUAUUACCAUCAACUUCAUCAUGAUGUCUUUUUCUAGGUCUAUGACGUUUAGUUUGAAAAAUAGGGUCAAUUUUCGAAUCAAGUGCAAUUUCUUUAGCAUCACGCAUGGCAAAAGCAAAACCAGUUUCUUUGUAGUUUUCAAAAAAGUUAACAAGUGCUUCCAAUGCCUUUACAGCAACAUCAAGACACAUGUCUUCAGAUUGUAAUUUUGUGCUCACCAUGUUAAUCUUCAACAAAAUGUGAUACCAAAUAACCAAACUUAAUACAAAAUCAAAACUGGAAAGUUCUACUGAUGCUAAACAUCCUGCAUCCCUACUCAAUUGGGGAUUCUCAGUAAUUUCCACCAAUGUAAACAAAGCAUUUCUAACUUGGGCUACUUAGGAUUUAAUUGCUUUAACACUUUCAAUGUGACUUUCCCAUCGAGUAGUUGACAAUGACUUCAAAGCUAAACCAUCAAUAUGUUUAAGCAAAAUAUUCCAAUGCUUUGUAGAGUUGGAAAACUCUGUAUAUAUGUAUUGACAUGCUCCAAAAAAAGAUUUUUCUUUAAGACAUGAACUUGCCAUAUCACAAACUAUUAAAUUAAGACAAUGAGAACCACAUGGCAUGUAAAAGGCUCUGGGAUUUAUGUCUAGUAAUAUUUUCUAGACACCUUGGUGUUUCCCUUUCAUGUUAGAUCCACUAUCAUAAUCUUGUCCCCUCACAUUAUCAAUAUCAAGAUCAAGAGACUUUAGGACAUCUUGCAACUCAUUAAAAAGUCUUUGUCCUGAUGUAUCUUCCACACUUAAAAACUCCAUGAAAUACUCCCUUAUAUUUAUUGACCUACUUGACAAGUCAACACAUCUCAAAAUUAAAGUCAUCUGUUCCACAUAACUUGCAUCAAAAGUACAAUCAAGAAUGACUAAAAAAAAUUUGGCUUCUUUUACCUUUUUAAUGAUUGCGGUUUUGACUUUUGAAGCUAAAGUAGCUAUAAACUCAUUUUGGAUUUUGUGGCUCAAAUAGUGAUGAUGAAUCUCUUUAUUCUCAAUGAGUUGAAAAUGCUUUUGCAUUAUUGGAUCAAACUCCACAAUCAUUUCAAGUAAACCUAAGAAGUUGCCAUUAGAGUCUUCGUAAGGUCUUUCAUUUGUUCCAUGAAAUGCUAAGCUACGUAUGGGAAGACAUUUCACAACAACAAUAAUUCUGAGCAUCACUUGUUUCCAAUGAUUUGUCUCUUUCUUGAUUCGCAUUUGAAAUUCUUUAUCAAUUGUCUGAUUUUUUGUCAAUCUACUUUUCAACUCAAACCAAGUUCUCGAAUUAGUGAAAUGCUCUUUACUCUUUUCAUGUUGGUCAAGCUUCACACCAAGAUGUCUCCAAUCAUUAAUUCCAUCUUUUGCUAUCUCACUUUUUGAGGCAAUUGUUUUAAACAAUUUACAACAAAAGCAAAAGACUUUAUCCAACUCUUUUGAGUACACGAGCCAUUUCCUAUCAUAAAUUUCACCUGUUAGUAAUUUUCGAUCAUAGUAGUGUGAGGAAAAUUUUCUAGAGAGUUUGUCCUUAGGAUAAGUGAGAUUAGUUUCUCGAAUUGGUCCCUUUUCUACAAGUAAAUCUCUCAUUUCUUUAUUAAGAUCAUCCCAAACUCUUGGAUCAUAAAUAUUUAAAUGGAUAAUAGGUUCAGGAGAUUCAAUAUUUUCCUCUACACCAAUAUGAUCAUCAUCAACAUUUAAAUCCACAUCACCACCAUUUUCAUGGUCUUGAGACUCAUCACCAACAUUUUCUUCCAAAUCACUACCAUUUUCAUGGUCAUGAGACUCUCCAACAACAUUUUGUGACUCUUCACCAACAUCAUUUUCUCUCAAAUUUUUAACUAACUCAUUCUUUGUAGAGAAAAAUUUAUUAAGAGAUCCGUUUAAACUUAUGGCAAUUUCGUUAUCCUUUGCCUUUUUUUUCCUUUUCAUAUUACCAGAGAGUUGUUUCCUAAAAGACAUGGCUUCGAUAAUUUGUUUACAAAAAUUACCUACACAUGAUAUAACAAAAAUAUCCUAUCAAAAUUAUCAUUCCAACACAUAUUAUAUAUUUUAAAAACACUAACACAAAGUCUAACAUAUUAUAAAAAAUUGGGUUUGAAAUAAAAUCAAAUAAUUCAAUUAGUCAAGAAUUCAAUUCAUCAACAACAAUUCUAUAUCACUUGCAAAAUUUUAUAUUAAAUUAUGAAUUGAUAAUUCAAAUUUUAAAAAUUAAUUUACCUCAAAACUCAAAGGGGUUGGUGGUGAGUGAAUGCUCUUGCACUUGAGCAACCAAUGCCCAAUGUUCUGUGACUGCUGUCUGCCUGCGUGCAACAGCUUGCUAUUGAACUUUUGAAAGGGAGUCAGGAACUGAGGAACGGCAGGGAGGAAGUGGGAGAAGUGGGGAACAAAGGGAGGGGUGGCUUGGGUGGGAAUUAGGGUUGUAAGGUUAUAGGAAAUCGGGAAAGGGUUGUAAAAUGGGGACCAAGUGGUCCCUCUAAUAGUCAAAUGUUUGAUUGUUUUUUUUUUUUUUUUUGGCUAUAACUCCCAAAACCUGGACCUAGUGGUCCCAAAUCCCAAAACCUGGACCGAAUGGUCCCAAAACCUGGGCCCUUUUUAAAAAUUUCUUGGGCUCUUGCCCUCCAGCCCCUAUUUGGGCUCUGGACUUUUUUUUAUAUUUUUAAUUUAUAUAUAUGUAUACACCUAGUUAUUUGGGGUUUUUUUUUUUUGGUGCCCCCUUCAAUUUGGGGGCCUAGACAGCUGCCACUGUGGCACUGGGCCUGGGCCGGCCCUGACCAUCACUCAUGGAAAAGAUUGUGGUUAAUGUUGGUGAUCUAAUGAAUGUCUAAUUUUAGGGUUGUUGACCCUAAAUUGAACAGUCUUACCGUUGAAUUACAACGAUUGUUGACCUUACUGUUGACCUUUGACUAAGGGUUGACUUUUAAUUAACACGUCCCGAAUCUAUCUAGAAUGUUGUAGUUGAAGUGUACAACCUAGAAUUAUGCGUUUUUUAUUGGUAGAAUUCAAACACGAGACUUGUGCUUUGUUUUAGGCAGUAAUUGUAGGUAUUGCCUUGAUCUUUGUGCUAGGGUGUUGUAUAUUUGAAAUGUUUAUGAAACGUGAGGGCUAGUAGAGGAUUGUUAACACAUUGUAAUGGGGAGUUGUGACGUCACACUUGUAUUAUGUCUAGUUCCUUUGAGUUGUUCUAAACUAAGUUCUUAUAAUUUUACACAUUUUCGUUAAGUUGGUCAGGAAUCGGGUUUCGUUUAGGUUUCGUUGAGUUGGUCCAGAACCCAACCAUGCUCUGUUAGGAUUCCGUUGAGUUGGCUCAGAAUCUCGCUCCCUAUUCGGUUCCGUUGCGUUGGCCUGGAAUUCCAUUCCCUAUUCAGUUCUGUUGAGUUGGUCUGAAACCCUACUUCGUUCAGAUUUCAUUGAGUUAUUUCAAAAUCUUGUUUCCAAUCUGUUUCUGUUGAGUUGGUCCGGAACCCUCCUCCAUUUGGAUUCUAUUGGACUACUUCGGAAUUCUGCUUCCGAUUCAGUUCCAUUCAAAAUUGUUGAGAACUUUACAUCUUAUGGAUUCCAUUAAGUUGGUCUAGAAUCCCACUCCCUACUUUCUAGCUUCAUUAAGUUGGUCUAGAGCUAGAUCCCUAGAAAUAUUUAGGUUCCUUUGAGUCAAUCCAGAAUGCAUAACUUAAAUAUUUAAAAUUUCCACCAUUUAUAUAAAAACACGUGGUGAACCACUUAUGUUCCAGUCACAAUGAAAAUUUUCUCCUUUUGGUGACACAUCACUUAGUUUGCAAAUUUUGUCUCCUAGCAUUACCCCUUUUUAUUAUAGGAAAAUUAACAAAAAGGGUUUUAAAAUUUAAAUCUUUACUAAAAGCAUCAUAACAACUUUAUUUAAUAGUUAGAAUGAAAUCUAUUAUCAAAUCAGCCCAAUUAAAUUAGCCAGAAAAAAAAAAAGUAAACUAUCUAGUUUCUGCUUUAGCCAAACAACAAACCUUGACCCCAUUUAAUCUCUCUCUCUCUCUCUCCGCCUGAUCUUAGUUUAGUCUUUGUUUCCAAUUCAAUUCCAAUUCCACCAUUUUUGGCACGUCCCAAUCCCAACAUAUGUCCAAGAUCGACACGUCACUUCACCACAUCCCUGUUUAUUUAUCAUGUCUCACCUUCGAGACAAGACCAAUACACAAACAAUGACUCACAAGCAGUCCUUUUCUUUUAUUUCAUGGUUGCAUCUAACAUUUGCAUUAGACUGCCUGCAUACUAUAAGAAGGGAUAAAGUCAUUCGUAGUUCACCAUUCAUUACACUCCGAUGUUUAUCACAAUACAUUCUAACAGAAAGGCAUAACAUUCCUCAAUCAAUUAUUGGAACUUGACAAGCAUGAACUACUAGAUUCAGGCUACAUAACAAACCUAUAUGACAUUCAAGAUUUCCAUUUCAUCAAUCAUAUAAUCACUAUGUUUUCAACAUAAUACCGCAAUCCAUAGCACAUAACAUAUCAAAGAACCAACGAAGUGCAAUAUUAUUCUCUAGCCAAAUUGAUCAACUAAUCUGAUCAUAAUAAUAACAAUCAUAUCCAAUAUCAUUCAACAAUCACGUCAAUUAAUCAAUUCCAUGAAUAAAAAAAAAUGAACGAUAUAAACAUUUAACUACGUCAAUCAAUCAACAAGAUCACAUAUCAUUUCACGAAAUUUAAUUAGGAAAUCUACAUAAUUCCCUACCUGGAUUCCAAGUAAUAACAUGGUAAAUCUAAUUUAUAAUCAUAAUGUCUAUUGUGAGCAAGGACGGGGAUUGCGGAUCACUUAAUGGAAUCCAACUAAAAUAUGGUCACCUAUUGAAAUGUACCAAGUACAACUAAUCCUCAUAAACCUAAAUAGGCAGUAUCACCCAUCACAGAUAUACCAAGUACGACCACCCCUAGAAUGUGUAUGGUUCUCCAUUGCGGAUAUACCAAGCCGAACCAUAAGCAUAAUCUAAUCAUGCAGGCAGUGAUCACCCAUUGUGGAUAUACCAAGCAUGAUCAACCCUAAAAUACAUAUGGUCCCCCAUCACGGAUAUACCAAGCAGAACCAUAUCCUAACUCUAGGUAGUGAUCACCCAUCGUGGAUAUACCAAGAAUGAUCACUCCUAGAAUGCGUAUGGUCCCCUAUAGCGGAUAAACCAAGCAGAACCAUAUGCAUAGUCUAAUAACGUAAGCACUGAUCACCCAUCGCGGAUAUACCAAGCAGGACUGUAUCCUGUAACUCUAGGUAGUGAUCACCUAUUAAUGAUAUACCAAGCAUGAUCACUCCUGUAAUGUGUAUGGUCCUCCAUUGUGGAUAAAUCAAACAAAAUCAUAGGCAUAUCUAAUUGUGUAGGUAGUAAUCACCCAUCGCAGAUAUAUCAAGCAUGAUCACCCCUGAAAUAUGUAUGGUACCCUAUCGCGAAUAUACCAAGCAGGACCAUCCAUGUACCACUGCUACAUAGUGCAGUCAAUUCAACACACAACCUAUCCAUACCUCAACCCCUAUGAUUUACAAUGUAGACACAUGCACAAACAAUUUCUCAUGACCACUAUCUUGUCAUAUAAGCAUAUAAGUUCUACAAAUUACUUUUAAUAAGAUUCCAGGCCUGCACUUCUAUACCAACAAUUGUACAUUUCAUUCAUAUCAUCUAGAAAUUCAAUAAACAUGUAUAACACAAUAAGGUAUUACUUGCACAUAAAUAGAGGUUCACAUGUAUCGUACGUACAAAUUUUUUUUAUAACAACUCCUUAACAUAUUAUCAACAAAAAGAAUAUAUAUCAACACCUUAUUAUUUAUAGGAUAAGUGUCAGUACAUACGUACACAUAAAGCCAGCUUGGAGCAAAAGCUAUCAAAACGGGUGAUUAGCGAAGGAAAGAUAGGUCCAUUCACAAACAUUAUUGGUUGGUUCACUCCUCUCGCGGGAACGACGACAACCUAAUUAUCAGCUGAACUACGUAAUCAAAGAAUCCACAAAGGCAUGGAAUUAGUAAAAUUGCCCCUUGUUGUGUUGGGAAUGGUCUGUUAGCUUCAAAUCUAACUUGUCUUAACUCUUUAGUCUCUGUCCCGUUGCAAUAUGUACGAAGGUAUGGAAGUGUGGGUAUAUACGUACACAUAGGUACGAAGGCUUAAGUGUCCGUACACACACACACACACACACACACACACACACACACAGAGGCACAUAUAUAUAUAUAUAUAUACACACACACACAUACACACACACACUUAAACCUUCAUACCUAUAUAUAUAAGAAUGGUACGAAGGUUUAAGUGUCCGUACACACACACACACAUAUAUAUAUACACACUUAAACCUUCAUACCUAUACACAUAGGUGAUACGAAAAUUAACUUAACACACAAAUUAAACCCUAUUUUGACAAUUGUAGUAUAUGUAUAAGUAGGGAUCGUUCUAGACCAGGGAUUAGGAGGGCUUGCUAAUAACCUCUAAACUGACUCAAAAACAUAAAAACAAAGUUAAAAACGUUUGAAUAGAUUCAAGGGACUCAAAACAGGUUCAAAAGACUUAAAACAACUUAAAAACACUCAAAACUGCCUAAAAACACUUGUUGGGCAAUUUCUGACUCUAAACACAACUUUGAACGAAAAUUGGGUUUUGGCUUCACCUAAAACAAUCAAAAACACAAACAAAACAAAUUUGAAACAAGAAACUAAGAGGGAGGUUUUGAUUUGGAUGAAGUUGAAACAAACAAACAAGUAUGAAAAACUAGACAAAUUGUAAAACAAAUUUGAGAAAUAAGAUGAUGGAUGGGAUAGCUAGAGGCUUUUUCUCCACACAUGACUUGUAUGCAAACAACUCAAUUUCCAGUUACUACUUCAUUGAAUUAUGAACGACAAUGCCCUAAAUUAACUGUGACAUCACUACUUAACCUUCAAAGUUUUCUUGUUUUAUUGGAUUGGAUGACAUCUUUCGACAACCCAAAACAUUCGUCAAAAGUUCCCUCCAUGACAUCAUAAUAGAGAUACAAUCAAAGAUCAUUACGUUUAAUGAAAAUCAUAACCAUUGACAAAGUACUUGCAACUAUGACAUCAUGUCACUCAUGCUAGAAUUAAACUUAACGCGAUCGUUUAUAAGCGACAUUCACUACUUAUGAAUAUAAGUUUGUAACGAUUAUGUGAAACUUUCUUAUAUUCUAGCAUCGGAUUUAUGCAUGCCAAUUAAGUGUCGACCCUUAAUCAACAAAUACAAAUAAGUUAUCAAUCAAAUAGUUAAGCCAAAUGCAUUCAUGAUUCAAGAGUUCAUAAUUGGAAUUUAUCAAAUCAUAUUGCACACAUAAUCAAGGCUUUGAAAUCACCCCUAGCUAAGAGGGGUUUAGCCACUCAUAUUCACAACAAAAGGAAAGAUAAUGAAUUUAAACAUAGUAAAUAAAGAACAAGUUACAACUAAAACGCUCCAAUCUUCAAGCUUGAAACGCCAAGGACCUUCUUUUUCACCACCUUGUUACGGCUUAAGUGUCUAAGGAUGUGUAUGGAUAUAUGGAAGGGAAUGGCUGAAUGUGUUUAGGUUGGAUGGAGGUCAUGGCAAGGAAAGGGAAAUGAAAGUGCUUGAGAAAAUGAAUGGAUGUUUAUGGAUGAAGGUUGUAUUGAAAUGGUGAUGAAUGAUCAAGCAAAAACUAAACUCUAUGGCUACCACUCACACUUCCUUUUAUAGAGGAAGUGCACGGCAAGGAGGGGAAAAUGAUGGUGUGUGCAAUGAUUCAAGGGUGAAAAUGAAGUAAUGGUGCAAAGCAUGGGGGGUAAAAUGGAGUGGUGUUGCAGCAAUGAGUGCAUGGAGUGGUGUUGAAAUGAUUCAAAGGUGAAAGUUAAGUGAUGAUGCAAAGCAUGGGGGAUAAAAUGGAGUGGUGUUGCAGCUAUGAAUGCAAGUAAGGAAUAUAAUGGCACAUAUAAUAUUAUACCUUUUUUAGUCAUUUCACAUAGUCACAGCUGUUUUACAUAAAAGUUUACCAAACACUAUAAUACUGUUUUUUUUCUUUCCAAAAGCACUUUUACAAAAAAAAUUUACCAAACACUCUGUUGCUUUAUUUUACAGCUGCUUAUUCUCACAACACAAUAGAAACAGCACAGCAAUACCAAACCAGCCCUUAGUUGUAUAUUGUAUUUUGUGUUCUUACAAAUACCUCUUUUUAUGAACCAGAAGUUGAUAAGUAAAUUCGAACAUGCAGUUUUGAAUUUAGUGCCUUUGAAACCCGAAGUUUUCAUAAAACAAUACACCUAUGAAAACCCAAAUUUUCCUGUAAAUCAUGUCUCAGGACUCGAAUGUUCUAACUUUGAUGCUUUUGGAUAUUUUAUUUUCCAUAGCACCAAUCACAAUCUUGUUCCCUCCAUUCAGUGGAUUGUCGAACUAGUUUGAUUUCAUUAAUUUGUACGAUUCUUGACAGAAAUGUGGGUACAAGACGUGAAUCUCCACUUGACUAUCAAGAAGCUGAGAAACAAUUGAAGCCAAUAAUGGCAUGGAAGAGCUGAAUAAGCCUCCGCCAUGAUCUUCACUCGAAGACUUAUGCCCAAAGCAUUACAAACAGAAAUAGCUCCUAAACGAGGAUUUCAUGGCUCUUUGGCUUGCUUAUACGGACCGUCUAAUCAUGAAAGACAUUGCCUAAAGUACAUCAUGAUUACGUCCAUGAAUGAGUACAAUUCUAAAGUUUAUAAAUCCGAUCGAAUUUUGACUGGAGAAUAUUUUUCUCGUCCUUCCUUGUUUCUAACUCGCUCUCAAAGCAACAAUGUAGAGAACGGAAGUUUACCAAAAUUCUAGGAUCUGAUUACUACCACACUUGUGAGAGAAAGUUACCCCAUCAAUUUAGCUGGGAGGUACCGAAUGGUAGAGACCUAGUUUCGGUUGGAGUCUACCGAAUGGCAGGGAUGCAUCGACAUGCUUGCUCUGCUUCAGCAAAGUAGCAUCGAACGGUAUUGCUAUGCUUUGGUAGAGGCCUACCGAACAAACCCCUCCAGCUUCGACUAGAACCCAUGUAUGGGUCUGUCUCUCUCACAAUCCAAUUUAAAGUUUGUUUUCGCAACAUAUGUUAGAAUCAGGGCCUACCAAGGUGUGGCAUCAUGCUCGAAACGUGAUCCUUGGCACCUAAGACCUAAAACUUCAAGAAUAAGGGAUAUUGUUACUGAACCUCAACCCUGUAGAAUCUACUUUUGUCUUGAUGGAAGAGAUCAUUGGUUAUGCACCUGUUCGUGCCCCUACCAAUGCUGUUAAGGAGUACCAUUCUCGUAGUCAAUAUGUGACACUAAUUUUGCUCCACCAAACAUCGUUGGAAGAACAGAAUGUUGACAUAAAUGACCUUGUUGGCCGAAUCCCUUUAGUAACUUUGGUUUACUUGGUGAACAAUUUUCCAUGUUAUUGGAUUCAAGUUUGGUGUUUGUUUUAGUUAUGGAUAAUCUUAUGGAUAUUGUCCUCAAAUAUGAGUUAAUUGAAUCAUGUUUCCAAUGCAUGUGAUCAAAUUCAAUUAAACACAUGAUUAGGUACGAAUAUGGGAAAGUUAGUUGUCUGGAUGAAUGCAACACUACGCACUCUAACUUUAUACCUAAAUCACAUCUCUAUCAACGACUUCAAGUCUAUCUAACUUGAUUAAGGGCAUUGGCAGGCUCCUCGUUGUAUGAAUGAUACUACAUCACCGUUUAAGAGACCUUAUAUUCUCCUUGUUCUGGAAGAACAUUGUUGAGUUUUGAGGAUAUUUGAGAGAACAAUAAUCAUGAAUGAAACCACUAAAGAAAAUAGAGUGAAAUAUCUUUGUACCACCUCUAAAAAUGAACCUGAAGCUUUAUUUUGGGGCUAAUGGGCUGCUUCCCAACUUGGACGUGCCACAUGGUGUUAGCCUAGUGCUUGGUGAUUCGAGCAGUUUACUUGCCUUGACAUGACCGUUUGAGACACUUAGGUUGAACAAUGAUACCACAACACAUCUCCUUACCUGAAGUAAGGAUCUUGUGCUGACAUGCACAUUUUGCAAAGCCUGCUCGUGGGGAAAAUUGAUUUUCUAAAUCAUCCCUCGCAAUGAUAUGAACGACCCUCUUUUCACAAUGGAUUCAAGGGAAUAAUGUGGACUAAUCCAACCAAAAUGAGGACCAUAUAAAUACUUAUGGUUUUGAUUGAUGAAUCAACAAACUGGUCACAUGUUUGUCCACACACAUUGCUGCUAAACCUUCUAGUCGAUUUUAAGGGUUCACCACCUUAAUUAUCCUAUAAAGUAUGAAAGACUGGAUAAUGCUGAAGAGUUUAUAUCAAUAGUUUUCGAUAAAGUAUUGCGCAUGUCUUUUGAGUUUAUAAUUGAACAUCAAAUUCUCAUGUUCACCUCAAUACAGCCUCGUAGAGUGAUCAUAAAGCGCAAUUUCAUUGAUCGCCCAAACCUUGGUAAACUCACCAAGCUUUCAGUUUUUACCUAAAGUUAUGCAAUCUUGUAUGCAACUAUGUUAGUCUACCUUGAGGCUUAUUGCCACCCAACAAUUUUCAACAUUAUAAUUGGUUAUUGGGUAUGAACCCGACGUUUCGUACUUACACAUUUUGGGUGUGCAUUCCAUGUGCCAAGUUGCUCGCCGCAACGUACCAAUAUGGGUCCUCAAAGAAGGAUGUGAAUCUUUGUCGAUUAUGAUUCUUCUUCACACUAGCUAUCUUAAAGCCCUUGCAAGUGAUCUCUUUACCCGCUCAUUUGUGGAUUGUCACUUCAAUGAGACACUAUUCAUGCCGUUAAGGAGAGAUAAGAACGUCAACGUUCCUGUAAAAUGGUGCAAAUUUGCAUGGAUGUUGCCCAUUAUGUCUCAUAUUGAUUCUCGUACCGUACAACUAUGAUAAACAAGUGUGAUGUAUUAUAGCUUUCAGAAUGUUACUCCAAACACAUUCCUUUGAUCUAACUAAAGUGACGAGAUCAUAUACCAGCUACAAACAUGCUUGUAAGGAUAAACAUAUUUAAUAGACGUCAAGUCAACGUCCCUGAAGGGUGUGCCACCCAUGUUGGACGGUUUGGCCGCCCAUGUUAGAUGGUUCGGUACCCGGCGAAUAGCCAAUCAAUCUGUCUCGACCUGAAGCAUGACAGAUCACUUGGUUCAUAGGAUUUACUUCCCUAGAAGUGGAAGAUCAUGACAAAACAUGAAUAUAUACUCGAUCGUUAUCUCAAAUCAUUUUCAUCUCAUGAGAUUAAUUUGGAUUACUCCCGAGACUUGAAGUUCUUGGUCCAAUAUACUAGUUUGGAUGAGUUAAUGGAAUUGUAAAGAGAUUAUCAUCGAUGAUGUUUUCACUUAUAUGGGAGCUAUCGACAUAAAUGAAAAAUGACAAUAUCAAACCGCGUUUCGUUGAUUAGUGACAACGUAGAACUGAUUGGACAACCGAAAUCAUAAUCCUAGUUAAAUUCCUUACCAAAGUGUGUCUAGACUUGUAGUUCCUACACUGCCCGAGGUAACUCUAUUGUGUUACUAGUGUAAAAGAAAGUGUAAUACGAUGAAUGAAAUAGUGCAAUAUGAUGCAUGCCUUAUGGCACAAGGUUUCUCUCAAACGUCAUAUGAUUGUUUGCAGCGUUAUGAAAUGUGGUUAGUGUUUAUCCAUGGAGAUAUUGAUACAGAAAUUGACAUGUAAGUUCCCGAAGAGUUACAUGGAUCGGUUCAAAUAGUUCCAAACCACGGAACACCCUAUCAAUUCUUUUGAGGCGUUUACUUACGGACUGAAGCAAUCUGGCAAAUAUGGUAUAUCCGUCUAAGUGAUUAUUUGAUUAGUUAGGGAUAUGAAUUAUGCUCUUGUGUGUUAAACUAUGAAUUCUUAUUCUGAAUUGCUAGAGUUACCAUUUAUUUCAUUGCCAUGAAUCUCACUAAGACUUUGAAAGAGCUUAAGAAAACUACCUCGCACCUAAAGAUGGAAUUUGAGGUGAAGGAUCUUGGGAAAACUCGUUUAUGCCUUGACGUGAAGUUCAAGUGUUGUUUUGACAGUACUUUGGUCUGCUAGUCGAACUUUACCCCGAAAGUGUUACCUUUAAGUAUACCUGUAAUCUUUCAUACGCUAUAUGCAAAUGAGACCCUUGAAGAGGUUAUGAAACCCAAAAUUCCAUAGUUCAACUUUGCGCUGUGUUGUACUUAGCUCAUUGUGUUAGACAAGACAUGUCAUUCGCAGUUGAUCUAUUGGUAAUGGUGCAGCAUCGCGCCUACACGUAGCCACUAAAUUGGUAUUAAGGACAUAUUAUCAUUACCCUGAAAGGUGCGACAGAUUUGGGCUAAUCUCAAUGCAUCAUGAGCGGAUCUGACCCCAUUGAUCCUCGAAAUGAUGUGAUAGGAUUUUUACUACUUAUGUGAACGGGCUUAAAUCUCCUAUUUUACUUGCAAGAAUCACAAGGUUAUUGUAGUAUAAACGGAUUUUGCAAGGUCAUCUCCACAGGGAUUAUUAAAUAAUUCGAACUAAUCAGAUUCCAUUUAAUUAUUGUAAAGUAGAAAUUGAAGUGAUUGAUUUUAUAACCUAAUUAAAAUAAAAACGAAUUUAAUGAAUUAAAAUAAACAAUCUGCAAUAUUAGGACUAGAGAGAAGAAAACAGUUCUGAGAAAAUCAAAUUAAGAAAGCACUAGGGUUUCACCAUCACCUAGCAAUCCUACGAAUUUUUACCCAUUACUUAUGAUCUAUACAUGCUACUUUGAAGGUUAGAUUUUCCUAAUUCAUAUUCUACUUGGAACCUCCAACAUAGAACGUAUAUCUAACAUGCAACCCGUCCAGACGUUCGGAUCAAAUCUAAACAUGAAAUACUCAUUAUGCUUUAUGAAAAUCCUUUGAAAAACCAUGCAAUCCUUAAGACGUGAUAUUCAUCUUAAGAGAUUACAAUUAUUAAUCACAAGAAGCCAGUGUCAAUUUCAGGGAACCUUCCGACCAAAAUUGCAUCAAAUUACUUUUCUAAAAAUCCUAAUGGUGAUCAGGCAUUAAAACAAUUAGAUAGUUUUUAUCUUGGUGAUUAACAAUUCAAGGUACGCAUGCAAUCAAUCAUAAGCAAUUAAAUAAAAAUCACAUAUUCAUGUUAAGGCUCAAGGCUUCGCCCUAGCAAUAGAAAUUAGUUCCGCAUAUUCAUAAUUGAAAUCAUAGAAAAUAUAUUCAAGAAAAGGAUUGAAAGCACCUUCAAGUAAAAAGUCUUCAAAACCCUAACAAUUCUCUCUGUCUCCAAAAUUGCAUAAAAGAAAGCGUAGUCUAAAACUGUAGACGGCUCAGCAAUAUAUUUUCCAAGCCACCCCCCAAAAACCCUAGGAAACAUAACCCUAAAUUAAAUGAUAAAAUUCGUCUAAAAUCUGAACAGCCACGUUUUGGCCCAUAAGCUGCUCCAAAACUGGCCCAAUAUAGCUGGAUUUAAUGUUUGGAAUAUUCUGAACACUUUUCCAGAAGGCCACGAACCCAUCCGAGGUCAUUUUGGGCUCCAAAAACGCAAUUUAAGCCCAAAAACGUCACUUUCCAGCACUGCGCACUGCUUCUUUAUUUCAUCGCCAGAAAAUAACCGCUUGGUGGAAAAUUCCCAAAUUUUGAUACGAUCAAGCUAAGUGACUCACGAACGUCCUCCAACUGGAAUUACUCCAAAAUUCGUCCAUUUGGUCCUGUUUUGCUCCAGAGGAAGUUGAAAGUCCUAUAUUGAAAAUACAAUUCAAAGUAUCAAAAUUCUUCCAAUAUAUUAACCAAAAUAUACUAAGAUUAGGGUAAAAUAUAUAAUAUAAAAUAUACUCAUCAUGAUGCAUUCCUUGUUUGUUAUGCUGACGCAGGUUACUUAUCAAACCCACACAAGGUACGUCCCCGAAUGAUUAUAUCUUUACCAUUAAGUAUAUCACAAUAUCUUGGAGGUCCAUGCUAUGACUUUAGUUGUGAAAUGUUCGAAUCGUUCCAAGACUCACCUUACUUCACUAUGCUACACGUGAGACAUGGUUGAGAGCUCUUGUUGAGCAUAUUCGAAGAACGUACUGUUUUCAUUCAUCGUUAAGUCCUAACAAUGAUCCCUAAAGACUAUACAGCAUUUAUCCACCUGACCAAGACAUGAUAGAUCAACGAAGUCAACAUCAAGAAGCAUCGUGUCUACACCACAUUAGCAAAGCAUCAGGAUAUUGAAGUCAUGCAAGCCAAUCCCAGAUAACCUUGUUGACCUCUACACGACGUCACUGUCGAGGUCCACCUUCCGAAAGCUUGUCCAAGGAAUUGGUAUGCCUAACUAUUCAUAUGCAAUGCUUGUAGUUCUCAUUUGGAAGUUUUGUCAAACUCAUGGGGAGUAUCUAGAAGUAUACUCACUUGAUCUUAAUGUAUUAUUUUUCCCUACAUAAUAUUAAUGUACUAUUUUUCCCUACAAUUAGGAGCACUUUUCCUACUAUUUUUUUGCUACCUAACUAGGUUUUGACGAGGUACCCAUCUUAGACUGAUCAUACCCUUGUGAGCUUUUCUACUUGCGUCCAAAAGACGUAUAGUUUUGAUUACAUGCAACUUCUCACUUUUCUCCUUAGUCUAUGCAUUUUUAUCCCACUUGGGUUUUACCAUAGUAAGGUCUUGUGAGUUUUACCAUUUAUGCAUUCUUCCAUUGUUUUGAGACUCACAUUCGUUCAUUAUGCCGACGACUUCAUCAACUGAACUUACUUUAUCGUUGAAGACCUGAUGCACCAUUUGUUUGAAUAUUUACACACUCAAGGGGGAGUGUUGUAGUCCUAUUAAAUUAGGAAUGUGAUCGUGUAAAUCCUAAAGUAUUUGGGAUAUCUUUAGAAGGUUCUCUAGGGUUAGAUAUUAUCCUAUUAGAGUUGUAAUCCUAUUAGGGUAAGGAAUUUACCUUCCAUACUACUAUAAAUAAAGGCACAAUGGGGUGAGAUAACACGCACCUCACAAUUACACAUCUCUCUUUCUCUCUAUUGCCGCCGCACCCCCUCUCUCUGUCCUUUUUAUUGUUCAAUAAAUUAGGCCUACAACAAUAAGAGAAAUUAAAUCUGGCAUUCAUUAUAAAUAUUGACCUGGACAUAGUCAAAAGACUUAUCUUAGAUAAGGUUUUAGUCUAAAAGUAAAGUUUUUCAAGGCUUAAAAUCUAGUUUCAGGUGAGAAAAUCAAUGGAGAUCGAAUCCGCACCACAGUGCAUAGGCUAAAAGGUUGUGUGAAAAUUAUCUCCCUAUGAAAAUAUCAAAUGUAUCAACGGGGUGGUUUUGUGCUGAUUUAUUUUGCUGACCUAGGCUUAACUAAAUUGGGUAGAGAAGUGUGUUCUCAUUCUAGUGUAAAAAAGUGCUUGUAUUAAAACAAAACGUGAACGGCUGGCUUUCAAAGUUUUUUUCACAAAUAAAAUCCUUUUGAAAUCCUUUCAUAGAUAUCAUCUAUAAAGAAUAAGACUUCCUCCUACAGGUAAAUGAACGUAUUCCCAUUUUUUGUGAAUAACUUAUCUUCAAUGUAUAAAUUUUAUAAUUGGAACACAGUUGAUGGCAGUGACCGAAAGGUUUUACAUUCCGUACUACCUCAAUCAAACCCUAUCAAGCCCUUCUAAGUAUAGGCCAUACAACUGCGGCCGGAAGGCUCUGUAAUUUCAGUGUUGAAACAUCCAUGAUUCAUCACUUCAGGAUUUUAAUUGAAUAACAGAAGCAAUAUUUUAUUUGGACUACCUUGUGUUCCAAGCAUGAAAGGAUACAAAAAUACGGAUUUGGAUCCCAUUCGGAUCUUCUUUGUGAGGAUCUCAUCAUAUCUGUUAAUUGUACAUCGUAUGGCCCGAUAUCAUUUUGAAUUUUUUUUUUAAAAAAAUUAGACACAAACAAUACCUAAUGAUAUGUGGCCACAUAAUGUAUGAUAAACGGAUAUGAUGUGAGAAUCCUUACAAAGAGAAUAUGGAAAGGAUCGUCAUCCCAAAAAUACUACACAUAAGCGCGGAUCAAUUAUUUGACCAUCCUACGAGAUAUGGCAUUGAAAUUUUGCUCUCACCAUCUUCCACAUUUUCAAGCUUUUGGCAUCAGCAACAUUAACAAUUACAAGACCAAAUGCUUGUUUAUUCAAGUAGUAACCUCUAAGUCUCGGGAGAUGCAAUUUUAAAUUUAUCAGUCAAAUUCAACAGAAGUUUUUGGUCCAACCCAAACUCUCUUUACUUUUUGAACUUAAUAAUAUAAAUACACAACAAUGAAUCUGUUUGUCAAUCAAUUUGGUGGUGACCAAACCAGCAACACAAACACAUAUGGAUCAACGAAAGCCAAAUUUGAUUACAUCAAUCUCUACUUUUCUCAUCGUUCUUCUUCUCUGUGUAGCAAAUGAAAUCGAGUCGGCACCUACAAAUCCAAGCAAGCAGCAGCACUUUGUGUUAGUUCAUGGGUCAUGCUUCGGUGCUUGGUCUUGGUACAAGCUUGUAACCCUAGUUAGAUCAUCCGGUCACAACGUCACUGCCCUAGACCUAGCUGCUUCCGGGGUCGACCCACUGCAGGCAAAGAAUCUGCGAUCGAUUUCCGACUACUUGAAGCCCUUGAGGGAUUUCAUGGAAGCUAUUGAUGGAAAGGUGAUUCUUGUUGGUCACAGUCUUGGUGGGUUGGCCAUUUCUCAAGCCAUGGAAAGAUUUCCAGGUAAGAUAUCUGUAGCUGUUUUUGUCACUGCCCUGAUGCCAGGCCCGGCCCUCAACAUUUCCAGCCUUAAUAAAGAGGUACCUACCUGCACAUUUUUAUAACAAAAAGCCCCAUCAUAUAACACUAUUGUCUUCUGUAAUAUUAUUUAUCUCCACUUAUAAGUGAGAAAGUUUUGAAGUUCCAAUAUCAUAUAAUGAGUUCAAAUUAAAUUAUUAUGACAAACACAUUGUGUGAAUUAGCCCAAAUCUCGUACUCAUUAUAAUAUAUCGUUAUCUUAAAACAUAAUAAUAAAAGAUAAUAUCUCUAGAUUGAUUGACAUAAUUAAACAUAGAUCUACAAAAGUACAUCUUCAUUUUUUGUAUAAAUACUUUUGAUAUUCUUUAUACUAGGAGAUAAGAGACUGGCUAAACUUCAUAAAAGGGUAUUUAUAAUAAUUUGGUUUGAAUUCACUUUUAGCGAGAAUCAAACAUACACCUCAACCAUGUGUUGGUGGUCUAGUGGUAAAGGGCAGCUUGCGAUGCUUCAUUCAAACUAAAAGAUGGAGGUCUCAUGUUCCAAAACCCGUUGUUUGUGUGGAAGCUAGACUUGUGGCCAGAGAGAAACUGAAAUGCAUCUGUGAGUCUUCACGGCCCCCGAAGAGGAUGGAUAAUCGUGACUUACCACAAGUUCUCCCUCUUUUUAAGAAAAAUAAGAACAUAAACCUCUCACUUACAAGUAAAAAAGAAUAUACCAUAGUACUAAGUGACAAAAUUGAAAUAAGAACAAUAAGAUAUUUUGGGAAAGGAAUCAUCUCUGGAUCCAUUCCUCCUAAUCCACCAAAUCAGAGAAUCGGUGUCAUUGAAAUUUGAUCAAACGGCUACAAACAGGGCCCACUUUAAAAGUUAUAAUAAUUUCAACGGUUGGAUUAAUUUUCAAUGAUACGGAUUCUCUGAUUUAGUGGAUUAGGAGGAAGGGAUCCGGAAAUGAUUACUUUUCGAUAUUUUGUAUUUUAAACCUAAAUGGGAGACUCAUUGUCUUUUAAUUUUUUUUUAUUAUAUGUUGGAAUUAUAAAGUCUUUCAGGAGACAAGAUUCUCUAUUAGACAGUCGAUACACAUACGACCAAGGCCCAAGCAAUCCUCCGACCACUCUCAUAUUUGGCCCGUUGUAUUUGGUAUCAAGAGUGUACCAACUUAGCCCAAUUGAGGUAAGUGGAAUCUCAACUGUUCAAUCAUUGUCAAACCUAUAAGAUCUGACCGUUCAUGUAAUGUACUAUAAUUUGCUGCAGGAUGUUGCUUUAGGCAGCAUGCUAAUGAGACCAAUACGUUUGUUCAGUGAAGAGGACUUGUCCAAGAAACUCAAGCUAACCAACGAGAAUUACGGGUCGGUCAAUCGGGUUUACGUAAUAUCGGAAGGAGAUUUAGUCGGAAAGAAGGACUUUCAACGGUGGAUGAUCAAGAAAAAUCGGCCAAACAAUGUGGUGGAAAUCACAGGAUCUGAUCACAUGGUCAUGAUAUCCAAGCCAUUGGAACUUUGGCUGCAUCUCCAAAUAAUUAUUAAAAAGUAUACCUAAUAGCUUAAAUUAUCUCUAAAUAAUAUGUCAAAUUUUAAACAUGAAAUUUAAAUUUGAAGAUGUAUAUUAUAACAUCUCACAUCGCCUAUGUGAGUGGAUCUUGUAAGUCUUAUAUGUAUAUUCUCAUCUCUACCUAGCACGAGACCUUUUGGGAGCUCACUGACUUCGGGUUCCGUAGGAAUUCCGAAGUUAAGUAAGUUCGCACGAGAGCAAUCCCAUGAUGGGUGACCCACUGAGAAGUUCUCGUGUGAGUUCCCAUAAGCAAAACCGUGAGGGCGUGGUUAGGGCCUAAAGCGGACAAUAUCGUGCUACGACGGAGUCGAGCCAGGAUGUGGUGGGGGCCCGGACCAGGAUGUGACAUAUAUGACACUUUGAUUUUUUUUUUUUUUUAAUUUUGUUAUCCACCUGAUAUGUCAAGUUUAAACUGUUAUUUAUUUUUCAUAAUUUUAAUAAGUAUUUAAAAAAUAAUUAAAAUUAUGAAAAACAUUUACUAAUCACCAAAAAUAGAUUUGAAGUUGCUGUCAAAUUUGGUAGCAACCACCUUUACUGUUAAUCCAUAUCAUACCACAUAGAAAUUGACAUUUCGGUUGGAAUCACUAAUGCUGUCUUUUUUUACUGUUAUUGCUGAUGUAGACUUUUUUACUUCUAAUAUUAGAGAAUUGUUAUUAGCAUUCCAAAUAUCUCAUUCUACACUCCUCACAAGUGUAUUUUUCUUUCUAAUGAUAGAAAGUAUGAAAUGUAAAAUGAGAUUUUUGGAGUGCCAAUAACAAUUCCAUAAUAUUAUUGUAAAAAUAAAGAUUAAGUAUGAAUAACUACCCAACCAUCUAAGGUGAUUCCAAAUUAAACCCAACCUUUUAAAACGUUCCAAAUAACUACUUAACGUCUAGAAAAACAAACACUCGUUUGGUCACCAAGGUUAAGUGAUGAUGUUAUUACCGUUAAUUGAUAAUGUCCUUAAUGUUAAGUGAUGUUGUGAACAAAUAUUGAAGUAGAUUUUCCCUAACACAUCAUUUGGAGUUUUAAAUCCCAAAAUGUGUCCUUCUUAGCCAGAAUAAACAUUAAGUUUGUCUACUUAAAAGGGAUCAGUUUAGGGAUCAAAGAUUUUAUAGAUGAUAUGAGAGUGAAACUCGCUUCAGUACUUGUCCAUGUUAUAACUUAAUGUUGGUGGUCUAAUGAAUGUCUAAUUUUCAACACUUUAGUAAUUAUUUGAAAUGUUUUAAAAGGUUGAAACCAAUUUGGAAUUACCUCUUAAGAUUAAUUAACCCUAAAAAUAAAAAACUUAGGGAAGUGGGUUAGGCCUUUUCUCUUCAACACACUAUUCCCGAGUUCAAGCUAUUCAUUUUCUUAGUGUAUAACACUUCAAAAAAUUAAAAUAAAAACCAUAGAAAUCGGCUUCCACUUGUGCAUUGCACAAUUGCAUAAUGGUUGAUAAAAGCAGAAGCUUUUUGGGUUCUUUUUUACUUUUUUUUUCUUGAAAAGAACGUCUCGUAAUGUAUUGGAGAGUAUAAUUUAGAGUAAAUUAUAGUAACGAUCCUUAACUUUAAUUCAAUUGGAGCAAUAGUCCCUCAAUUAAAAAUUCAUUAUCAUUGGUCCCUCAACUCAUCAAAACGUGCAGCUAUGAUCCCUCAACUAAAAAUCUAUUACCAUUGGUCCCUCAACUUUAAUCCAACUAGAGAAAUGGUCCCUCAACUUUAACUCAAUUGAAACAAUGAUCCCUGAAACUUUAACACAAUUGUAGCAAUGGUCUUUCCAACGUCACUCAUUUUGACAAAAUUUUGACGAAGUUGAUGAAAAUGGCCACAGCUACAAGUUUUGAUUAGUUGAGGGACCCCGAUUGUAGCAAUGGUCUUUCCAAUAUAACUUAUUUUGACAAAAUUCUGACAAAGUUGACGAAAUGGACCAUAACUACACAUUUUGAUGAGUUGAGGGACCAUUGCUCCAAUUUGAUUAAAGUUGAGAGACCAUUGCUACAAUUUACUCUAUAAUUUAUGCCUAAAAUUUUCAAUUCUACAAAUUAUGGGUUUUGUUUAAAAUCUCAUUAAUAUAAACAACUAUAAUUUUUAAUUUUUAAUUUAAAAAAUAUAAUAACUUACAUAUAAAUACAUUAUUACAUUAAUGUCAGGGAAUUCAAUAAAAAAACUUACAACCAACAAGAUUUUUGUCAAAGAACAUUGAUAUCUAGGAACCUUAUCUAAAGUCUCUCAUAAAACCUAGUCCAUGAUUAUUAUUUUUUAUUUGUUAUUAGUACAUAUAAAAAAAAGUGACAAGAGACCUCUACCACAUUAAAAAAGAUGAAUACCUCUAAAUUUAUAGUAUUUAAUUUAUAAUAGUAUUUUUUCUUUGUCAAACGAUAGAUUUUAUUAGAUUAAAUAUUAUAUUAGCCACCGAUGAGAUUCGAACUCAUAAUUUAUAAUAGUACUUUACAUGUGUGAUUUGUGAGUAGUAUGUAUUUAGAGUUUAUCAAUUUAAGCAAUUAGACGCUGAGUAUUUUCUUAGAAAAGUUGAGAAAUGCUAAGGAGACUCUUUUAAAAGUGAGACUCUCCGCCACCUUAUAUUUUUGGCACAGUUUCCGUGCUAAAAUAUAAAACAUUAUGCCAAAAAUAUGAGAUGUCAGAGAGUUUAUGAAAAGUUUCAUUUGAGAGAGUUUCCUAAGCAUUUCUCUAGUAAGUUUGUUAGGAAUCCAAAACGUGUAAAGUCAUUCGGAAGACUUGAUACAUGCCUUAACGUGGCUUCUCAAUGUAUAUGUAUGUGUAUAAUCCCAGUAAGUGAAACCCUCAGGAAAUAAUAAUUUGGAUUAAUAUUCUGAUUAGACUUGUCAAUUUUUUACAAAAUUUGUUAACUCGACUUGAAAUGACACGAAAUUAACAGGUUUUAAGUUGAUAAGAUAACGAAUCGGAUCGUUAUCGAGUAACCAAUAAACACCUGUAAAGAUAACGGAUCAGUCCAGGUAUGCACGCGGGUAAUCCGAAACAUGAAAAGAAAAAUAUUAAUUUUAUAAUUUUAUACCACUAAAAAAAUACUAUAAUUAAGAGCACUAGGAUUAAUCUCACUUUUGUGAGGUUAAAUCCCUACCACUGAAUUAUGAAUUCCAAUUACAACAGCAAUCAGUAGUAUAGACACAAAACUUAAUUCUCAAUCGCAAUUUCACAAAACGUAAUAUAUUUUUUAAGUGAUAAGUACUAUUAUUUAUUCCUUUUUCAUAAUUAUUUUUGGUAAACUUCUCAUAAUUUGAAUGGUUUAUAGUGUUUGGUUUUUCUAUACUUGGUUUAUGCGGAAGAGACUUCUAAUGUGGAAAACAUUACUGAAAACGUUAUCAAUAUAAUUCUUGAAGACAAUAGAACAAGCCAAAGUUCCUAUACCAUUUCUCCAUGAUGAAUGAUGAAAAUUGAAGGAUUUUGUAAAAAGAACAACAUGCAAGCUUUGAGUUUUUUUUUUUUGGUUUAAGGCAAGCUUUGAGUUUCAUUGGCAAGGUUUUAAUUUUUUGAAAAAUGUUCAUAACCUUGAAAAGAAAAACCCCUUCAUUUUGCAUAUCCUUGCACAUUUGAUAUUUUGUAGUAGUGUAGUGAUACUUUUUUAUUAGGCACUUAUGUUGGAGUAUGUAGUACUUAACGACAAAUGUGUUUUUAUGUUUUGAAGAAAUAUUUAUAUGGCAAUGUGUUGUGUGCAAAUUAAUUUUUUUUUAACGGGUUAAACGGGUCAGGUUAUUUUACCUGUUAAUUUUAACGGGUAAAGUAACCCGACCUGUUAAGAACCCAUUAAGAUAAUGGCUGUGACACGAUACGACAUAUUAAGAUAACAUAUGUUACACAAAAACAAAAUGAACACAACAAACACAACCUGUUUACCAGACCUAAUCCUAAUUAAGCCAAACAAAUAUCUUGAUAUAUAUCCUGAUUAAGCCAAACAUAUUAGCCAAAUGUCAUCCUUAUCAAUUUGAGUAUAUGACUGUAUGUGACAGGAUAAUCUGUGAAUGUGAUCAAAUCAAAUGGUCAAUGAUGGAAAUAGGUUAGUUCACAAGAUCAGUCAAUGUCGCUUAGACUAUCGAUCACAAUAUGGUGUGAAGGACAUGAAUUUAAGAGGGAGAAUGGAAUUGAAUGAAUAUGUCUUGACCCUAAAAACUACCAAGCCUACGUGGUGCGUAGGCCGAAUAACUAAUGAGCUAACUACGUCAUUCAAUUGAUGCAAGGCGUGCCAACACGUUGGCCGAGCUCGGCCGAGGAGUAAAAUAUGUUGAUGUUGCGUUGAGCGCACGGCUGACUUCUCGAUCUUACAACUACGGCCGAGAAAGGAACACGUCUCGGCUUUUGGGUUCUAGAGCCUGAAGACAAGGCUGCUAGUUCUACGAAGUUCACAAAUCGUCUACGUCGGAUUCAAUCACGAUGAUUAUGUUUGUAAGAAUAUAAGCACGCCGAAUUAACACGAGACUAUAUGGACACAAGUAUUCAAAGCAGAUGAACAUUUUAAUCGUAAAUCUGGUUCGGCCGUCAGAAUGUCGAACUCUAAAUCUAACUUAUGAGUAUCCAAUCAUAAAACAACUCGACCUUCAAUGUGCCGAGCCCUAGUAAACUGUAACACCUCACCUCGCCAAAAAGGCUAAUGAGAUUACCUCUGCCAAUAAAGACCCGAAAGUUUUUCUCGACCGAGACUUGGAUAGAUAACUAGUCGGCCUUGACACAGUAUUGUUUAUCCAAACUGAAGGUGUUUCGCGAUAGGCUGAUUCUACGGCGACAAUGCUAGUUAUCCAAACUGAAGAUGUUCGCCAGUUGCCUUCACCGUGAUAUUUAUCCAAACUGAAGAUGUGUUGGCGGAAAAAGAAAAUAAAAAUCUCAAAGUUGUUGAGAGGUUUCGCGAAGAGCGAGAGUUUGCGCAAGGCAGUUUGUGUGUUGAAUAUUGUGAAAAUCAUGUUAAUCAUAAUCAUAUUCCAACAGAUAUGGGUCCAAUGCAGUCUAGAAAAUAGAAUAUGUACGUAGUAUAGCAUCUUCUUUUUUAGUCGUCUACAAUAUUAUGGCAUCUUUGAACGUGUAAUGGAAUAAUAGUAGCGAGUAAUGCAAAUUGUAAAGAAUGGAAAUGUUGACCAUGGUCUUUGAAAUUAUUAUAUUAUGGGGCUAACUACAAUUUAUACUCUCAAAUAUUUUUAGUGUGUUCAGAAUAUAAGUACACUACAUAUCAUAAUACAAGUGAAUAGACACUAAAAAAUAUCUCUUCUCUUAUAUAUGACACCUAGUGUACCGUCUUAGAUUUUGCGUACAUGAAAAAAUUCUCUCACCUUUGAGGUGAUUUUAUCGAGGUUCUAGUUUUCUCAUACUACUUUCUGAGGUUUUGAAAUUAUAUUAGUGUACACUUUUUGUUCUUUUCAAAUUAAAAAUCUUCCAUUAAAUUGAUAAUUUUUUUUUGUCUAUGUGGUGCAAAUGUAGCUUACGCGUUUUCCCAUACAAGGAUCUAGGCUCACUAUGCCAUAAGUUUUAUGAAGCAUAUCAAACAAUCCAUCCGACCAAAAACAUAAAUUGAUACAAUUUUAAUACCUUUGUAAAAUGGAAAAAUUUAUACUUUAUAUUAGUAAAGUAUACAACUUUGUUCUUAAUUAUUCUCAUUUGUGUGAUAUACAUUUUAAUACAUAAGUGAUUGUGUAAAUCCUAAGUAGAGAUAAAUUAGAACUCAUACCGGACUAGAAAAUCUUUCCUAUUAAACUUUUAUUACUUGGAGAGCAAGUUUCUCUCGUCCUUAUUACUAUAAAUAAAGGUACAGAGUAUGGGGAUAACAUAUAGAAUUCCUCAAGCCUAUUUUCCAUCUAUCUUUCUCUCCAUGACGUGCGCUCUCUCUAAACUCCUCUCUCAAUUCUUUAAAAUAGUUCAUAACAUGUUAUCAGCACGAUUUUGACGCUACGCUAAAGAGAAUUCAUCCAUCUUUAAUCAAGGAGUAUUAUGUUUCAAUUAUUCUUAAUUGAUUAAUUUUGAGUCUAUUGAAUUCAUAUACUUUUUUUAAUUCAAUUUAUUAUUCUCGUGCUGAACAUGAUUGAUAACACAAUAUUUAUACAUUUAUAUUGCCCAUAUUUCCUAAGUUUUAUGCUAUGUUUUCUUAUGAAAUUGGUUGUUUAAUGUGUUUAGUGCAUAUUGUAUAGAUAAUGGACCGCAGAGAAGACUUUGGAGUCUUUUGGUGAUUUCAAGACUAAAAAGGAUCAAAACUGAGAAGAAUUGAAGUUAAGAAGUGGAGUCCAGUUUGAAUGAGGAAACAUGUUGGGAUUCUUGUUUGGGCUGGGAUUCAACAAUUGCAGCAAAGCAAAGCCUAACCUAAACCUAACUAUAUAUUCCUUGGAUGAUUGUAAAAAGAAGAAAAAAUGAGCAGCAACUUGGAAAGAAAAAGAGGAGUCACACUUCAUCAUAUGGUUUUAGCGAAUUGACCUAAGGAAGAUGACAACGCCAAGGGGUCCUCCAAGGGUUCUCCUUUACAUAUUUUCAGACUUUGUUUCAUGAUUAUGUUUUGUUAUAAUUUGAUGGUCGUGAUGAACUAACUCCUUUAUUAGGGAUCCGAUGUAGCCUUUAUGAUAAUUCUAUGUCUUAAUUAACUUUACUCUUUAUCAAUUCAAGGUUUUCUAGUUUCAUUCAUUAUGCUUAAAUCAUUCUUUAUGUUCAUGUUAUUGAUUAGCUACCUUUAAUAUGAAUUUUUAGAUGUAUGAGACAAGGUUAUAGUAGACGCCAUAUGCUUAGCCUUGAGAUAGCUCUCUUGAAUGAAUGAAUUGAUGUUGAUGCAAACGCCAUGCUAAGACACUUUUUGGUUUUCUUUGUUCUUCUUGCACUUAAUGGAUUUUUGAUUAUUGACUUAGACUAGAUGCCAUGGUUAUGUUGAUGAUUAAGAAUACUUGGUUACACCUGGAUGCCUAACAGAUAAUCAUAAUAAAGAGAGAACGAACCCUAGAACCUGAAUUGAAUUGUUCUUACUAAGUUAUCUAAUGACAUAGAAUUGGAUUGAUAUGGUGAAGUCGGAUACCUAGUGUUUCAACCAUUGUUUUCAAAAAUUAUUUACAUAAAUUCUCUUUAAUUUACUGCACUUAAGAUUACUUGUUCAACUUCUCUUUGGUUAAUUAUUUGAAUUUCGUAGUUUAGUUGUUUUCGUUAUUUUAAUUCUAGUGGGUACUACAAAAUUGGAUUUAGUUUGGUGACUUUACAAAUCCUUGUGGGUGCGACACUCGUAUUUGUUUGCUAUACUAUCAUAUCGAUUCGUACUUUCAUACCUCACGUACUAUUUUAUUUCAAAAUAAUACCUCUAUUAGAUUUUCCAUCUAUUAAUCCGUUAAAUGCUGACGUGGCUGCCAUAUUUGUGCCACAUGACUGCCAAAUGUGUGCCACGUUAAAAGGUUUUUUUUUGAACAACCCAAAUCUUCUAAAAUAAAAAAAAAUUAAAAAAAACUGAAAAACGCAGAACCCACACCCCACCUUCCCCAUAACCCCUCCCCACCCAUCUUCUUCCCUGCAACCCAAACACCCAUUCCCACCUUAACCCCACCUCCCCCGCCAGCCCCCCAACCUCACCUCCCCUCCCAUCCAAAAACCCACCCAAUCUCAUCCAAACAAACGCUCAAAUCUCCUUCUCCCCCACAUUUCUCUGAUUCGGAUUUGACUUUCCUCGUUUCAGAUCCGCCGAGAUCAUCCCCUACCUCUUCAUCACCGCCCAUCAUGCUCCUCUUCAACGACGACACGAUCCGACGAGAUCGACUCCAAGGGGAAGGUCCACGAUCUCCUGCAGCCCCACAAUCCGACGACUCACCUUUCUCCUCGCUUGCCUCACCGCGGGUAUCGAGUCCAGCUUCAGCAGCAACUGCAUCAGGGAUUUGGUGGUCGGUGUCCAUUUGGAGGCGGGAAUCGGGGCCGAACACCUAAUACUUUUCGAGGAAGCCAUAGUUGAAGGAUCUGGGGAGGUCUGCUAGGCAAACUUUGAGGGAAUUUUGGGGAGAAAGAUGGGCGUUUUGGGAAAUGAAAGAUGAGCAAGAAGGAUGAGAGGAAGAAGGAGAAGGAUUGGAGAGGAAGAAGAGAGAACGAGAGAGAGAGCGCAGAGGAGAGUGGGAAAGAGCAACAGGGAAUAUGAGUGAGUUUUUUUUUCUUUUUUUUUAAUUGGAUAAAUUAUUAUAAUAUUUUAAAAGAAUAAAAAAUUAUUAUUUUUUGCCACGUGGCACAAAUGUGGCAGUCACGUCAGCAUUUAACGGAUCAAUGGAUGGAAAAUCUAACGGAUGUAUUAUUUUGAAAUAAAAUAGUACGUGAGGUAUGAAAGUGAAAUGUUUUAAAGAUGUUGUUUGGGGUUGUAAUAGACCUCAAACCUGAGGGGUUACUAUGUAAUUUACCCUAACAAAAAAAGUACAAUAAGUAAAUUAAAGCAAUAGGUGGUAAUUUCAACCAUAGUGAAUAAAUUGCAUUUAAGUAAAUAAAGUUUGUGACAAGGGCUUUAAUUCAGUAUCAUUCUCAUAAAUAAAAACUUAAAGCAGUAGACGGUAAAACCGUCCAUGAUAAAUAAAUUGCUUUAAAGUAAAUAGAACUUGUGAAAAUAUUUUAAGCUAACAUCAUUCACAUAAAUAAAAAGUAUCAGAACCUUUUAUUUUGCCACUUCCUUUUGUCCCUUUUAUUUGUUAAUUAAUUUUUUUUUCUAUUGGCACCAAACUUCAAAACCUUUUCUCACUGCACAAUUCCUUUGCUUUUUACUUUUUUUCAAGCUCAUCAGUUCUCUUUCCUUAUCACCUGAGGAUGCACCAUCUCCUUUUUUUUUAUUUUAUUAUUAUUGUCCUUAUGGUGCCACGCAUGUUCCAUAAAUUUUUAGUGCAUGUCAGCAUCAUACUUUUGUCUGAACCUUUUUCAAAACAUCCAUCUUUUACUAUUGACUGAAGUCCUCUGGUUCUGGCUCUGCCUCAUGACUUGGCCGUUCUCGUAGCAGCUCCAUGAUAUCGUCUUCAUGGAUCAGCAACUUCUGCAAAACAUAGAGAAACAAAAACUAAAGCCAAGAAAGAUCAAAGAAAAGUUUUAUACCAUCCUCCCUGCUCUUAGCAGAAAGAGAAGUUGCAACCCACCACCCCCAGCACUAGAUCACAUGAAGCUUUUUGCUGCCACCAUGUCUGAAGAGGAUCGCAACAGGAAGCAGCUCUAGUCCAUCAGUGCCUCAUUGGAUUGCAGGAGCUCGAUGUCAAGCUUGCCAAUGUAGACGAAGCCGCAGUCCCUUCUUAUCAGGGCUGGUCUAGAGAUUUUUAAGGACCAGAAUGAUGCUAAAAAAUGUGCCCCACUUUAUGUAAGAAAAUUAUUUGUUUUGACACAUAAGACAUCGAUAAAAUUAUACUUGGAAAAUCACUUCAAACUUAAUAAUUUAGAAAUACAGAAAAAUUAAUUUAUUAUCGUGAGAAGGAAACAAAAAUAACUUUAGGUUUAUAAGUAGAUAGAUAUGAGUUUUGUUUUCCAUCAGAACUUUUAAAGUGUUUUUGUAUAAAUCAUGAGGUGUUUUUUCUUAUUUAUUAACCUUGUCAAUACGCAAUUAAAAAAAUAAGGCCUAAUCGAUAAAUGGUCCCCAUGGUCAUAAGGUAUUCGGAAGAUAGCCCAUGUGGUAAAAAAAUUUGGAUUUAAACCCCUGUAGUCUAAGUUUGUUAGGAUUUAUGCUUGAAAUUAGAACUUCUGUCAUUCCUCCUUUAGUAGCUUGCAGGUGGAUCUCACGGGUAAGACUAAGAUGGUCAUUUCAUCCCUUCCAUUUAUCUCCUUUCAGAACGAUGAUGAUGGCCACAACCGCACCGCCAAACUUGUUGUCUAUGUCUUAUCUUCCUCGCCACAAAAACAAAUCAAAAUCUUUCAGACCCUCAAAUGGUUACAUCUUCCUCAAACCCUCUUCAAAAACCCCUAUGUUAUCUCCAAAUUCGGGUGUUUCUCGUGCCCGAUUUCGCGUCUCCGACUUUCUCGCCACACCCACCAUCACCAAAGUUGCAGACAAGAACACCAAGAUUAACAAGUACUAAAAAUGGGUAAUCUGAAAUCCGCAAUGGAAAUGGUGUCGGGGGCUCAAAAAUUCGAGCUUGACCUUGAUAGAAGCAUAUUUAUGCGACUUAGUUAGCUUGUUUUCUUGCAUUUUCAUAGCGAGUUUGUGUUUAUUAUAGUGUGUUAAGCUAUUUUCAUGUGUUUGUAGGUCCUAAUGGCAAAGUUGGCAAGAAAGUGCAUUUUGAAGCAUUUUAAAGCACUUUUGGGCUGAAUUGGAUUGCAUGCAUAUAGAGCACAAGGAAUGGACGUUUUUGAAGAUCAAGUGAAGCUAGGAAUGUGCUACAAAUCUGGAGAAAUUAUUUCAAGACUUGGAAGAUAAGGAAUCAGCAAGAAAGAAGGAACAUUAUCCAAACCUUAUCCAAACUGCCUUAUCUUAUCCAAACUGUAACUAACCUUAUCUCAUCCUAUCCUAAUCUUUUCCUAACUUAAUUCCUGCUACAAGGGGGAGUUAAUUUCUGAUUUAAAUCAUCUAGAAACCUUUCUAGAAGGCCUUAUCUGUUCCUACAUUGGUGCUGCAUGUUUUUAGGCCUUGUUCUUCUAGAAAUCAGCCACAUAACAUUGUUUCUAGAAUUCCCUACAAAAGUGGCGCCCCAAACCCUUCUAGAAACCCUAAAAUCUGUACAAACCCUAGUUCUUUUCCCCCUUGGAUUGAGGCCUAAGCCUUUGUCGAAAAUCCUAAGCCUUUUCCCAUCAGAAUUUGUCAAAACCCUAGGCUAUAAAUAUGUGUUUUCAGCCAUAAUUUUGCACCCCCACCACCCCCCAUAUAGUUCUACACCCCUUUCAGCCGUAAAAACACCACCCACCACACCAUAAUUCGUUCUACACCACCAUCCAUUCAGAAAUCCAUAUUUUACCGCAUAAGAAAGAGGACAAGACCUGGUCGUGGCUUCCAUUGGAGAAUGAGGAGUGUGCCGCAAGCCUACAUGCAUCCUUUGGAGUUUCUAGAGUUCUUUCUUCCCUUGUUUUGUUUCCAUGUUUAUUUCAGAUUGCUUUUCAAUUGUUAUGAACAUGAAGAACUAAAUUCUUUUUAGUUAGAGGUGAAUUCGAAGCCAUGAUUAUAUGUUUUUUAUAAAUUGAUUACCUUCAAUUUUUGUUUCGUAAAACAUGAAUGUGGUUUACUUAUCUGAUUGAUUGAAAACUUAUUUGUGUAUGUUGAUUGAGGGUGCACACUUAAUUUGCAUGCAUGAAUCUGAUGCUAAAAUAUAAGGGAGUUUCACCUAAUCGUUAUGAACUUAUAUUUACAAGUAGUGAAGGUUGCUAGUCACAAUCGUGUUAGGUAAAUCCAUGGCAGGAGUAUCAUGCUGUUCAUAGUUACGAAUGUCAUGUCAAUGUUUAUGAUUUUCAUAUAACUUAAUGAUCUUUGAUUGUAUAUUUAUCAUGCUGUUCAUAUAGGGAACUUGAGAAGAAUAAUUUGAUUGCCAAUGCAUAUUCCAUCCAAUUCAAUGAACUUAGGAACAUCUGAAAGUUAAUUUGUGCUUUUCACGAUUAAUUUGGGGCAUUGUCGUUUAUAGUUUAAAGAAACAAUACUGGAAAUCAAUUUAUGUUGCAUAUGUUUCAUGUGUGGAGCUAUGUGCUCGAAUGAUGUCGCUGCAAGACGGAAAAAUGGUUCACUCAAUUAUCUGUGACAAUGGUAUGGAAGCUGAUGGGCAACUGGGUGCCAAACUUGUGUUUAUGUAUGUAAGGGAUGAAAUGGAAAUGAUGAAAUGAUCAUCUUAGUCUUACCCGUGAAACCCACCUGCAAACUACUAACUGAGGAAUGACAUAAUUUCGAGCAUAAAUCCUAACAGACUUAGACCACAAGGGUUUAAAUCCGAUUUUUUUUUACCAUAGGGGCUAUCUUUCGAAUACCUUAUGAUCACAUGGACCAUUUAUCUGAUUAGGCCAAAAAAAUAAUGAUGUUUUGAAUAUUUAAUUGAUAUGUAUAAGUAAUAAAUGGGUAUUAAAUUAAACUUUUUGAUGACACGUCAUAUAAUUUGCAAAUUUGGUCAACACAUUACUUUUUGUUGAAGAUUAGACUUGAAUUGGAACAAAUGUCUAAAAAUAACAACCUACAUAGCUACUAGCUACUAAUUAAAAAUAAAUUAACAACCAAACAAAAAUUCAUAAAAAUCGAAAAAAAUAAACAUGCAUUUAGCAUUUCGAACUUAUGACCCCUAGUUAAUUUUAAACAACAAAAACCAUUAAUUAAACUUCUUGAUUAUUUAGCCAAAUUUUAUAUAUUUAUAAUCUUAUGAAAAGAAAUUUGUAAAAAUUGAAAGGUAAAUAACCACACAUGGUAUUUUGAACCCAAGACAUCCUCAUUAAUUUCAAAUAACAAAACCACCAAUUCUAGUUAAAUUUCUUUAUAAUUGAACCAAGUUUUAUAAAUUUAUACUCUUAUGAAAACAUAUAUAAAUAUAUCACCCUAAUAAUUUUAGUGCUCCCAAUUAUUUUGGACCCCGAACGAUCACCCUACCAUCACUGGGCUUGGACGGGGCCCGCUCCUUAUGAGGAGGUAGUCUGGGCUUGGACGGGGCCUGCUCCUUAUGAGGAGGUAGUCGUGGCUGAGAGCGAAGAUGAACCCAACCACGAAGGUGUGGCCGAAGACAGUGUUGACGGUGGGCAUCGUGAGGGAGAUGAGAUCGGCAGUGGGCCUUCUGUCAACUCCAGCAGAUCUGAGGGAAGGCCAUUAUUUCUUGUUUCUUUCCACUGGCACGAAAGCAACUCGUGUUGAUAAUGUAUUGUAAAAUCGACGGUGUUUGUGCUGAUAACAUUUCUUCCCACUUGUAGCUUAGUGGAUUAGUGGCCAGCGCGAACAUCCACCAUUUUACAACAAUUUGUAAACGUGGUCUGCUUUUGAUAUGGAGAUUUAGAAAUAGUUGGCAUGCAUAUAUUACAAAAUAGUUACGUGUGCUUGUUGAAUUUAUUUGAUUUUUUAUUUACACUUUUUUCGUGUCUCGGAUGUUUUAUGUAUGGCAUUUUCAGAUAAAUACUGUAUACAGUGGUGAUUAAGAAUCUGUGUAUGGUCAUCUCCCCAAAAGCAUAACUUACGUAAUUUUAACAUCUCUAAUUUUUUAAAAUAAAAAAUAAAUAAAAAAGAUAAAAAAGAAGAUCUUCCAUUUCUGUUUAAUUUUUUAAAAUGAAGAUGAUCAUCGGGAGAAGAUCUUCCAUUUCUGUUUAAGUUUUCCUUCAAAUACUUUUUCCCUAUCCUCCUACACAACAACAUUAGUAAACUCAAUUAUUUAAUGAUUACAGUAAUGUAAAACAAGAUAAUUACAUAAGAAUAGAACCUCCAACAGUAUGCAAUUGAAAUAUAUAAGUUUUUCCACUAUAAGAACAUCACCGUACCUUGCUACUUACAACGACAAAAGUGGAUAAGUAAGACAAAAGUUGAUACUUCUUUGUAGUAAAUUGCUACUUACAACGACAAAAGUUGAUAAUUAUCCUAAAUAUAAAUAAUGUCAUUUUGGCCUACAAGAGAGAUCGCAGACCAAGUCACAUUUUCACCAAGGAUGGGAAGUUCAACAGUUGGAGGGCAAACAUAUUUCACAGUGGUCAGAGAAAGUAAACUUUAAAAAGAACAAGAAAUGUGCAAGGUUUUGAGAGGAUAGAUGUACAUAAGUCUCACCUGGCUUGCAACAAGGAGAACUGCAUUGGCAUUUUCUUUCUAGGAAAACACUGAUCAACUAUCACCAGAGAACUGAAACGCCCUUUAUUGCAAGAGCAUUAAAGGCUAACAAGCUGAUGUGCAGAAUCUGCAAGUAGAUGCCAAUUCAUUCAACCCAUCAAGUUAUUAAGACGCUAUCCAGAGACUACUAAAUUCAAAUUCAUCAAAUGAAUUUUGCUUCUCACCCAUAAUAUAAGUCUGGCUCUUCUUAAGACGAAGAAUGUCCAUCAAAUCUACUCAGUUUGAAUACACCAUGGGAUUUAAGAUAUUGGAUACGAAGGCAAUCAAAAGAUCACAUAAUAACUUUUGGAUUAUUAUUUUUGCGAAGAGACAAACCUUUUGUUUAUGUAACAAAAAUUACAUAAAUGGGGGUAAGGCUAGCCGACAUUCACCUCUCCCAGACCCUGCAUCAAGCGGGAGCCUUGUGCACUGGGUACGACCUUUUUAACAAAAAUUACACAUCAUUGGACAAGGAGUGCACCCUAAGAACAUAUAAAAUACAUCAUUACUUUUAUAUCAAUUCUACUAUCUGUCUUUGAGUUCAUGUUUGAGAAAUCAUCUGACUUGCCUAUAAAAAUUCAUUACCAAGUUUAGCUACUUGCAGAGUAUGUGAAGUGGGGUCACUUACAAACUGUAUAAAAAAACUCAACUCCCCAACAAGUAAAUAUAAAGUCCUAGAACUGGAAGCAUGCUAAUUGUUAAUCUAAAAGUGACUUAAUUGAAAUAAACUAAAGGAGCAUAAAUUCCCAUUUCUACUAUGGUAUUAAAGCAUUAAUCUCGUGAUAACAGAAAAACACAACGAAAUAGGGCGAAUUUCAUACCUUCCCAUUCCAACAACCACAAGGAAAACUGGAGGCUUAACCAUUAACAGCAAUGACAGGGACCUGCUAACUUGUAUCCAUAGCACCUGAACAACCAACACAUGUUACAAGUAUACAAUCGUACUUUAAAAAUGACAGGGACCUCCUCUUCCUCUUCUCCCACUGCUCUUUCUCUCCCUCCUCCCUCCAUAUCGCCGACUCCCAAUUCGAAGGUUACGGCGACGAAAUAAAUGAGGACAAUGACGACUACUCCUCACUCCCUCUUCCGACUCGCACCCGCCCUUUCCUCACCUCCGCAUCCCAACCCGACUCACCUUCCAUGAUCCAUCCCUACCAGACCCGGAUCCCAACCCGAUUCCCGAUUCCCGAUUCGGACUCACCAUGCAUCCAUCUUCCCAAACCUUCCUUCACCAGCUUCGAGUAUUGGGAUGAAGACGAGUUCGAAUGCCUCCUAAUCCAACCCUAGAAACUGCCCCUCCAUGACCCUGCAUUUAUCAAAACUGCGAAUACCUCCUCCAAUUCCGAUUCCAAACUCUCUGCCGAUCCCAACCCUCCACCGCUCCGAGAUCCUUUUUUGUGGAGAUCGUGUGUGGAGGGUUCCUACCAAGGUUUUCUGGCGACGAUGGAACUCAGGAGCCUCCACGAUUUGAUCUGAUGAAGGUAGUGAGACAAAGGGGGUUGGAGAGAGACGGGUGAGAAUGAAUCUGAGGAAGGAGAGUUUGAAUAGGCUGAGUGAGUGUGGGUGAGGCUGCUUUUGAAACCGAGUGGGUUGUGCGAUCGAUAAAAACUAAUACUUAAAUAUGACUUUGUGUCCAGACUUCAAGGGAAGACAGAACAUUGUGUCUUUAACAUUAGAGAUUGGCAGGGUAAUCGUGGUUACACGUUCAUUUAAAUUAAAUGGUUACGGUUAUGGGUAACUGUUUAGAUAAAUAAACGGUUAUGAGUAUUAACUGCGGUUAUAAAUGAGUAACCGUUUACCCAUUUAUUUUAUAUAUGUAAAAUUAACUCAAAAUAUGUUCUCUAUUGGACAAAACUUAGAUCAAUGCUAUUGAUUAUAAUGUGAUUUAUAUAGCAGUGUUUUAAAUUAAGACCAAAUGAUUUAAAUAAUACUAAAUCAAGGGGCACAAAAUACUUUUCGUGUGUUUGUAACUUAAGAAAAAAAAAUAUGAUUACUGAUAUUUAUACUAGAAUAAAGGCACAAAUCCAUAAUUGUGCCAACAUAUCUUUUGCUAUAAAGUGAUUUAUUAUUAUUAAUAUUUAUUAGACACAAUUUCUAGCUUAGUGUGAUAAAAAAAAAUUAUAAUUAUUAACUCAUUUGUCUAUCUGAAGACCCAUUACACUUUUGCACGAAGACCGAUGACCUUAAGAACAUAAUUGUUGGUUAUGUGUCACUGCAUGAAGGACUUUCUAAUACAGUAAAAAAAAGUUGCUGACAAACAAUUUUUAUAGACACAAAAUGUUUUUUGUACCCAUCUUGAGUAAAAAAGUUGUCAUCUGACCCUACUCGGCACGGUUUCCGUGCCCAUAACUGUUUUGUGUCUUCUUUUUUUUACAUUGGGCACUAUAGUUGGUGCCCUCUAUGGAAUGGGAAUUGUUUCAGCCUUUGAGUGGUCAAACAAACACAAAAUUCUUAAUUGUGUCCUUAGCAUGGAAGAAAAUAUCGAUAAUAUCGGCGAUAUAUCGCCGAUAUUAUCCGGUUGUUCCCCAAACCGAUAUUUUAAGUGGUAUCCAAGGGGGUUUCGUCAAAAUUUCACGAUAAUAUCGAUAAUAGCGAUAAUAUCGUGAAAUUUCGGAACUGUGCAAGUCGGAGACGAACGCCGGAGCUUCUAUAGCUCCGGCCGACUGUAAAAGACCUCCUCCAUCAGAACCUUGAAGGGGAACUGUGGAUCGGCGGCGACUCGGGAUCUCCACCCAUUAAGAAACAUACCCAGAACUCCAAAUCCCGAAACCGACGACGACGAGAGACAUUGAAAUGGUGGUGGUGCGGAGCACCCGAGCCGAUGAGAACACCGGAUCUCAACGCACCCUCUCGAAAUACCGCAGCAAAACGCGGUUUGAAAGCAGCUGCAUGCCGGAUCUGAAAGAUGAAGGAGGAUGAUCGCUGCUGGGGGUGGGUAGGAGGACAUGGCCAGAUCGGGAAAGGACGCAGGGGGAAAAGAAAAAACACAGGAGAAAGCAAAAAGAAAAACAGAAGAAGAAGAGAAAGAAGAAAAGACAGAGGAACAGACCGAGAAGGGAAAAACAAGAGAAAAACAGGAGGAGGAAGGGGGAAAAGGCGACCGACUCCAGCCGAAGCCAGAGUCGACGCCGGAGAAAAUGGGUACAAAGAAACCCUCACCAACACGGGAGGGAAGAUACUCUCACAGAAGGAGAGAAAAAGGAACAUAUGAUUUUGUUUGGCUGAGAAAGAGAGUGAUGUGGGCAAGAGAGAGAGACACACACACACGGGUAGAUGAUAGAAAUUUGUGUGGUGUGGGUGCGUUUAGGGAAGAGAGAAAGAUGAGUGUGGAUGUCGACAUAAGUCUUUGAAAAGUAAUAAAAUACUAAUAUAAUUGUGUUUUUUUUUUUUUGGAAACUAAUAUAAUUUUGUCUUUAAAACACCAAGGGGAUUCGAACCCUUCCCCUUUUACUCCUUCAACACCUUGACCACUAUAUCACUUAUAUUUUUGUGAAAAUAUGCUAAAAUACACCUACUCUACACAUAAAGAUGUUUUGAACCUCAUAAGAACUCUAUGUGGUACUAAGUCACUCAUGUAUCUUACCAUGCAAUGUAUAAAGUGUAAAAUAUUGUACUAAUUCAUUAUAUAUAAAUGAUUAUGGUGUGUUUAGACUUCUUUUUAUUAAUUACUACAUAUUUUCUACACUCACAAUGUUUGUUAGCUCGCUAUAUAUAAUCAAACUUGAUAAUGUUAAAUCCAUCAUGCAAUGCAUUUCCUUCCAAUUUUUUUGUGAUAAAACUAAUAGAUAAUUGACUAAAUAAACAUCCUGCAAAGUUUCAAUAAAAAUUUCCAAGUUUUUCUUACAAUUUCCGUGGUUUCCAUGUAAUUUUUAUCGAUAUCGAUAUUAUCCCGAUAUUUCCAUAGAUAUUUCCGUGUUUUCGGACUACCGAUAUUUUCGAUAUUACCGAUAUUUUCUUCCUUGGUCCUUAGUUUUGUACCUAAAGCUCAUUUUUCUUGUAGUGCACUCUCUUCUUCUCUCCUUCAAUUUUAAAAACAAAAAUAAUACAAAUUCACACUCUGUGUGCGUGGGCAUAUACUAAUUUUUAAUUAUAUGACAAUAUUUAAUUAGAUUUGUAGGACUCAGUUAUGUGUCACAUGAGUACAUAACAGAAUUUUGACAAAAUUGUGAUGAGAGAACCACAUUGAUUUGCGACACUCAUUUUUAGGGACUACAUUGAUCGAUUUUCAAUUUCAAUUUACUAUCUUGAUAGGGUAGGUUUGAGAUAAAAACCUACUUAAAGUGAAGGAUACUUCAUGAUUUUCACUUGCACCUAAGAAGUGAAAAGUGUGGAGUGAGUAGAAACUGUAAGAAGUAUGUUAGAGUGUUGGAUAGGGUAGGUUUGAGAUAAAAACCUACUUAAAGUGAAGGAUACUUCAUGAUUUUUCACUUGCACCUAAGAAGUGAAAAGUGUGGAGUGAGUAGAAACUGUAAGAAGUAUGUUAGAGUGUUGGGAGUCAGGAUAUUAUGGGCAAGUAUGUAGGGGCGUAUUAACAUGAAUUUUAAUUGAAAAAUAAUUGUAUGAUGUAUUAAGUAUGUGAGGGGUAAUCAAUAAUAUGUGGGAUGUUAAUAUAAUAAGCUUUAUAAAAUCAGUAAUACUUUACUCACCAAAUUUAUUCAUCAAAUUUGUUCAUUAUAUAAUAUAAAAUUUUACUUGUUAGAAAUAAUUGAGAUCUAAAGUGGGUCUACAUUUGAAACAACGCAAACUGUUCUGGCAUUUGGUAUAAUGUACACCAACUGUUAUGCCACUUGGUAAAUGUAGGCAAACAUUAUAGUUUGUCUACUGUUGAUAUUCAUUUGCUAAGGGCUGGUUUGGUAUUGUUGUGCUUUGAAAAAAAAGCUGUUGUGAGAAUAAGCGGCUGUGCUGUGAGAAUAAGCGGUUGUGAAAAAAAAUCAGCAGAGAGUUUGGUAAACUUUUUUGUAAAAGUGCUUUUAAAAAAAAAACAGUCUGAUAGUGGGUCUUUGCACUGUAGCUCCGUGUGCUUUGAAAAAAAGCCAGUUUUCCAAAGCUACAAAUAGCAGCUUCAGCUUUUUCCUUUGAUUUCAGCUUAUUCUCACAGCAGCUUCCAAAAUAAGCCUUUUUUUUUCAGUUUACCAAACACUUAAAGCCCUCACAGUUUUUUUUCAUAGGUGUUUUUUUUUAAGCACCUCACUCCCAAACCACCCCUAAAUAAAAUUGGUUAUUCUGGUGGCACUCUUACAAGUAGCUCAUCUACAUGGACAUCAACAACACAAAAUAUAAUGUCGUCUUCCAAUCAUCAGCCACAAUGAACCAACAAAAACCAAAAAGCUAGUAGGUACUACGUACUGGUUUAGUAUUGAAGUGCUUUUAUAAAAAGUGUGUAUUAAAAAAAGCUAAGCUCAAAAAGGUAUUUUGGUAAACACUUAAAAUAGCUUAUUUUCAUAGUUUUGGGUGAAAAAAAGUUGAAAACGUGAAGUGUUGUAAACUGAAAUAGAAAGAAAAGAAGUUACCCGAAAAAUAUAAAAGCCUUGAGUGGUGAAUGAUUCUUGGGAUGAGUCGCGGACUAAGUCGCUCUCUUUAAGACGUUUCGCAACUCUGCCCAAAAUGUGCAAGCAGUUCACAAACACCAUGUCGUCCCUAGGAUAAAACAGCCCAUAACCUUCUUCUUCUGAUAAAGUUCUUCCUUGCAUAGUGGAAGAACCUUCGAACUCACACCCUCUCAAUAUAUUGCUUUUAAAAUCAAUAUAUGUAAAACUUUUUUUUUCUUGUUUUUUUACUACUAAUCCGCAUGACUUACAAAUAUAUAUAUAUAUAUAUAUAUAUAUAUAUAUAUAUAUAUAUAUUUGUUGGUGUGUAUCCUGGUAUCCGUUGAGAUGGCGAUUUUUAUAAAAUUAUGAUUGCAUGUGUGUACGUAUGUAUAUAUUAUCAUAAUAAAAAAAAUAUGUUGAGAUUACAAACUAUAGGAAUCAAUGCAAUUGGAAGCCAAAACGCCAGGAAUAAUGGCAAUCAAAACGGACAAAAAAUCACAACGGGACAAAACAUAGUCAAUUCAAACUGAAAAAGAAAACAAAACAGUUUGAAAAUUAACAUUGGUAAUAAAGGAAAAUAUUAAAAUGUCGUACCCAGUGCACAAGGCUCCCGCUUUACGCAGGGUCUGGGAGAGGUAAAUGUCGGCUAGCCUUACCCCCAUUUAUGGAGAGGCUGCUCCCAAGUCUCGAACCCGAGACCUACCGCUCAUGGGCGAAGGCACUUGCCAUCGCACCAAGUGCGACCUCUAAUAAAGGAAAAUAUUAUGUAUAUAAUAUUGGUAAUAAAACAAAAUAUAAAUAUAUUUAAAUAUUUAAAUAAAAACAUAACUGCUCCAGCAAUCCCCCACUUGUUUUUAUUUAAAAACUAUAUAUCAAGCAACAUAUCAUAAAGCUAUGCAUAAAUAAAGGUGUUUCUCAACUUGAACUUGUACAUAGUGUUAGUGAUCCAGAUUAUACUAGAGUAACUUAUAGUUUUGAACUCUAUCUCUGACAAUACCACCCACAUAACUUUAUUAAGGUGAAGUUCAAAAAGCCAGCACAUUAAGGCUAUGUGCUUGUAUCCCAGUAUAGUGAACGCUCUAGAAACUUACCCAAGAUUUUAUAGGAAGCGGCCUCACUUCCACAUUCACAUAGGUAAGACUAUCAAGGAUAUUCCUGUAGCUAGAUAUCCCACUCAACAUAGAGUAUAUACCUUACUAAGAGAACAAAUCUCAACCUAAAAACGCUUCACGAUGCCAUGCUUUUUUAGGGAUGGACAUGAAAAAUAAUAUUCCCAAUUAAAAUUAGCAUUACUUCACUCAUAUCACUUGUGACUUUUUAUUACCCUUUGAACCUAUUUCUUGGGAUCUCCAAUCUAUAGGUUGGGUUGCUAUCACAAAUGACUCAAAUUUUCUACGGGCUUUAGUCCCAUCCCUUUCGAGGUUUUCCAAACCUUUUUCUCAUGUUAGUCCUUUCGUCAAAUGAUUUUUCCAAACUUUUUCUCAUGUUAGUCCUUUCGUCAAAGAAUCAACUAAAUUUUCUUCAGAUCAUAUAUGACUGGAAUCGUUUUCUCCCAUAAGGGGUAGUAUCUAACAGUAGGUUUCUCAACCAUCCUGCUUCUUCUCCCAUAAAGGGGUAUCUGACAAUAGUUUCAUAAAUUUUAGAAGAAUUAAUACCCCCACUAUUUCGAAGAUUAAAAGGAAAUUUAUUUUCAUAAUAAUCAGAAUCAAGAUUUUUACACACAAAUAUUUGAUCAAUACAGAUCACAUACUAAAAAUCAUAGAUUUGAUUUUAUAUACAUGCAUAAAGAAUUAAAUCACCGCAUAUCAUUUAGGUAGUUUCUGUAACUUAUGUAGUACCUAUUUACAAAAAAUUACGAACCACUGGCCUAUAUACAUGCAAAAUAUAUUAGGGGUUUUGUUUCAUUUACAUUGAUAAAGAUGACAAAAGUUGUUCAACAUCAUUUUGUGAUUUAAAUCAGAACCAACCAGAAAUUAGAGUUGGAACCAAGAGAAUACCAUUUCAAAAUAAAAAGAAGGAAUAAAAACUUGUACAAAAAAAUAAAUAAAUAAAGAGGAGAGAGGAGAGAAAAUAAAAAUUUGAUGUUUAUAACUUAUUUCUUAACCAUCCAAAAGCCAUAGCUGACCUGAGCAGCACAUCAAGUGACUCAAUUAUGAUAUUUUAUCAACAUUCAAUUUAAACAUUCCAUCGGUAGCAUAUCCCUUUCCCACAAAAACCCUAUUUUUAGUAAGAGUAUACGUAUAUGCUCCAAUAGUUUGAGUAAAUCUAGCCUUGUUGAGAAGAAAGCCCGAGACCAAAUUCUUCCUCAUCGCUGAAGUGUGCAUCACAUCUUUCAGUAUCAUGGUUUUUCCAGAGGUGAAUCUCAACUCCACCUCUCCAUUACCAGCAACAUUAGUUGAGUGCGAAUCACCCAACAACAUCUUCCUUCCCUCAGCCACAAAAUAGGUCUUGAAAAGGGAAUGAUCAUAGCAAACAUGGCGAGAAGCGCCAGUGUCCACCCACCACCCCUCGGAUCCAUCAACUAAGUUGAUUUUUGAUAUCAUUGCAAUCAGUUGCUCUUCAACAAGAUUUGCCUGUGGAGCAGGGCUUUUCUUAUUUCUGCAAUUAUGGGCAAGAUGGCCCAGCUUGUGACAGUUAUAGCAUUCAAACUGUCUCGAAUCAAAAGCAGCACUUAGGGGGGUUGGUACCUAUUCUGAGGAUGAGAGGGAUUUCGAUUCUGAACUUUGUUUGUGUUGUUGUUGAGGCGCUUGUUGUGAUUAUUGCUCUGAAUCUUCAUGUUCUUCCCAUUUGGCUUCAGCACAACUAGAGUCUGGUUCCGGUUGAAGUUGGUAGCCUUCUGGUUGCUUGACACGACCAUAAUUUCCUCCUUCAAUUCUUGUUUCCUGGUCUCUUCCUUAAUGCGAAGUCGAGUGAUCAAGCUUUCCAGGGAGAACUCUUUUGUCUUGUGGCGGAGUGAGUUCUUGAAAAUUUUCCAAGUAGGUGGCAAUUUAUCAAUGAUGACAGCAACCUAAAAUUGAUCAUCUAAAACCAUGCCUUCAGAAAUAAUUUCAUGAGCAAUUUUCUGUAAUUCAUGAGAUUGUGCUUCAACAGAUUUAUCAUCAGCCAUCUGAUAUUUCAAAUAUCGACUAACAGCAAAUUUCUUAGCCCCAGCUUCCUCGGUGUCAUAUUUUUUCUUAAGUGCCUCCCAUAAAUCUUUAGCAGUGCCAUAAUCAGAAUAGUAAUCAUAAAGGUCAUCAGACAAUCCAUUAAGAAUAUAAUUCUUAGCAAGAAAAUCAUUUUUAAUCCAAGUUUGUGAAGCUUUGGUCUGUGCAAUAGUGGGCUCUUCAGGGAGAGUUGGUUUGACAGUGGGGCAAAAUGAAGCCAAUUUUUUUGUGGUGAGAAAAAAUAACAUCUUCUGCCUCCAACGCUUAAAGUGGAGACCCUCAAACUUGGAAGGCUUGUUAAGGUCGGGUGUGGUGUUGUUUUCAGAUUCCAUGGCAGAUUAAUCUCGUCUUAAAAUUGUUGUAAACUGAAAUAGAAAGGAACGAAGUUACCCGAAAAUUGUAGAAGCCUUGAGUGGUGAAUGAUUCUUGGGAUGAGUCGCGGACUAAGUCGCUUUAACGUUUUUGCAGGAAAGCAGUUGUGCAAAAUAUUCAAAAAAAAAAAAAAAAAAAAAAAAAAAAUAAAAAAAAUAAAAAAAAAAAAAAAAAAAAAAAAAAAAAAAAAAAAAAAAAAAAAAAAAAAAAAAAAAAAAAAAAAAGAAAAAAAAAUAAAAAAAAAAAAAAAAAAAAAAAAUUAAAAAAAAAAAAAAAAAAAAAAAAACAAAAAAAAAAAAAAAAAAAAAAAAAAAAAAAAAAAAAAAAAAAAAAAAAAAAAAAAAAAAAAAAAAAAAAAAAAAAAAAAAAAAAAAAAAAAAAAAAAAAAAAAAAAAUAAAAAAAAAAAAAAAAAAAAAAAAAAAAAAAAAAA
Molecule: long non-coding RNA, 132635 nt
Filed under: Malus domestica (apple)
Lineage: Eukaryota; Viridiplantae; Streptophyta; Magnoliopsida; Rosales; Rosaceae
Source: RNAcentral